GAUGGGUGAACUAAGUAACUACACUUCUGGACAUUCACCAGCUGGCCAGAAGCUUGCUGGUACUGCUCUAAAAUCUGCAUGACUUUCUUCAAGGAUGUAGCCGAGCCAUUCGCAAAGACCAGAACGUCGUCGGCAAACGCCAGGUGUGUCACAGGGGGACAUCCCCUGGGUACUGUGUAACCCAAAAAGCCAGAUUGAGCUGCGAGACUGUUCAGCCCCCUUGACAAUACCUCCGCUCCAAUAACGAAUAAAGCCGGAGACAAAGGGUCUCCCUGACGGAUACCUCGACUAGAUUUAAAAAACCCAUGUGAUGCCCCAUUAAUAAUCACUGAAAACCACACGUUUGAAACCAACCUCCAGACCAUGUCAAUGAAUCGUUCCCCAAACCCAAAUUUGCGCAAGACACCGACAGUGAAACCCCACGAGACUCUGUCAUACGCUUUAGCCAUGUCUAACUUGAAAAUUACAUUUCCCCCUCUAGCCCGGUGUCUAAAUCCCGACAUCAAUUCCUGGGCCAGUAGAUAGUUCUCAGUUAUAUUCCUACCCUUGACAAAACCCGUCUGUUGCGGUGACACCAGUUUUGGCAAUAUCCCCACAAGCCUAUCCGCCAAAAUUCUAGAUAACACUUUAUUAAUAAAAUUGCAAAGGCUAAUAGGCCGAUAUUUCGAAAAGUCCUGAGGAUUUGGUACCUUCGGGAUUAGAACAAUAGAUGUAGAAGUAAUAAAUCUAGGCAGCUCCGCCCCACAGAAAAAACUCAGCACUGCUUGAUAGACAUCAUGUGCAAUAAUCUCCCAUGCAAAAGUGAAAAACUUACCUGUAAAGCCGUCUGGGCCUGCCGAACUGUCCCCAUCUAUAGCAAAGAUCACUCUUUUCACCUCCUCAAGGGACGGACAUGUUUCAAGUGUCUCAUUAUCAUCCCCCGUGACAACACGCGGAAUCAGGUGCAAUAAGUCCCCUGAUGCCCCUCCUGGCUCCGAGAACGGCUCCGAGAAAUACCGGACUGCCAUGGAGGCAAUCCCCUCAUCGUCCUCAACCCAUGCCCCACUCUCAUCCUGCAUCCUAUGAAUCGCCCCUUGCACCCUUCGUUGCUGUACGGUAGCAUGAAAAUACUUAGAGUUCCUAUCCCCGUGCCGGAGCCAUUUGACGCGAGUCUUUUGACUCCAAAAUCGCUCUUCGUUGGACAACGCCAGCCGCAAUUUUGCUUGAGCCUUUUGCAGCUCAAUUUGAGCGUCCCCCGAUUCAUCCUCCUCCACUCGAUUUUCCGCUGCUAACAAGUCCGAUUCUGCCCUUUGAACAGCAAUAAAAAUAUUUCCAAAAGCCUCCUUAUUCCACUCCUGUAUCACCCGUCGGGCCUUUACUAAUUUGGAACAUAACUUCCGUAGGGGGGAGCCCGUACACUCUAACUGCCAUGCAUUUCGAAUAACCUCCAGCAGAUCCUUUCUGUCUGUCCAGAGAUUCAAAAAGCGGAACGGCCUAGGCUUAUUAUCCAUGCGUGAUGCCAAACCAAUCCUCAGCGGGGCAUGAUCUGACGGAUGUCUAGCCAGAUGGACUACUGACACAGAUGAAACGGCAUCUGAGAAGAUUCCAUUAAUUAGUAGCCUGUCUAGACGCUUCCAAAUUCGUUCGCGGCCUCUCCGAUUAUUACACCACGUGUAGCUGGAUCCAGAGAAACCCGCGUCAAAGACCUCCGCCUCCUCCAUGAAUGACAGUAGCUCCAUACCCUCUGCUCUAGCAAAUGGUCUCCUCCCUCGCUUCUCGUGAGGGUCUAUGAUCACAUUAAAGUCACCACAGACACACCACGGAAGUGAGGUGGGUUUGUCAGUCAACAGGUCUUGCCAUAAAAUUCGCCGCUCCUCCAUCGUGCACCGGGCAUGCACAAACGAGAAGCACAGCGACCUUGGUAGCCACGGGUGAUGCACCAGUAACAUAAUGUGCUGUGAAGAAUUACCUAUUAUAGUACAUGUAAUCGGAGCACUAAACAGCACCCAUAUGUCUGCAGACAAGUUACCCACUACAGAAUCAAAUGGUAACCGCAUUUUAAUAGAAUCUAUUUGGGACAUUGCUAGCUUCGGUUCACAAAUAGCAACAAAUUUCAAGUUAUGCAAACGAACUAGCUUAAUCAGACGACGCAGGUUGGGGGGUUUGGAGACCCCUCUAAUAUUCCAAAAUAGCCCACUAAUCAUGGGAUAAAGGUUGGAAAGAGUUUUGAGAUAAUGUUACCGAUGACCGCAGCUGCCUAUCUGAUAGGAACUGAGCCCGAGCGCCUUUUUUCCUUGUUCGCCUAUCCCGUUGGACCAGUACGUCGGCUUGAUCGAUGUUGAGCUCCACCAUUAUGGCGGAUACCGGAUGUGCACCGCCGAUUAAGUCCUCCUCCUCAGCUGCACUUAAAGACCCUUGUUCAGCUAGCACCAUAGCCCCAUCCCCUAUAUCUUGCUCCUGCCAUUGCUGCUCAUUUGGGAUAUCAUCACAGGCAGUACCCGCAACUGCUUCGUUCAAGCCCUUUGAAGCAGAGUUGCUGCUAGUGCCGCUGGUGUCCAUCGCCCUCUUCUCUCCAAGUUCCGCUGCCUGCUCUCUUCCCCCAUUUGGAGCCAGCUCCACCACUGCCAAAUUAGCAGCUGCAACAUCCACCGUCCCCACCGUUGCUCGAUCCUCACUUGCUCCAGUUGCGGCAACAGAUUCUGUCAACCCAGAUGCUGGAGCGGUGACUGAUGCCCCAGGUGCGGCAACAGCCUCUGCUGCCUUUUGGACUCCUAACGUCUGCCCACAGUUAGGAUCAUCAUCUGCCAUCGCUGUCUGCAUUGUUGCAGCAAAAAUAUCUGCUGCACGUUGGGUCCCCAACACCUGCCCACCGUCUCUUGCAUCAGCAACCAUCACGUGCUGCCGCACCUCCGCACCCAGACAUUGCGCCUAACCUUUAGUCUCUCAACUAUUUUGUUUAAGUGAAAUAGCACCUAACCUUUAUUUAUUUGGCCAGUUUCGUCCUUGUUUGACUUAUCUACCCAAUUUAUCAACCUUGUGCACUAACAAUCAGGGGCAAAAUAAGAAAUUUAGUCAAUGCCCUUACAAAAAUGAUAGAAGAAAUAGAUAUUUGACAAAAAAUUAAAAACAAAAUUGAAUCAUGUAGAGAACAAAAAACAUAAUGUUUCUUACGGAGAAAAAAAUGGAGCUGAUGCCUAAAAUCUCACAUGGAUCCAACUCAGUCCAUUGAAUGGAGAAAAGGGAAAAUAACACAACAAGAAUAUGCUAAAAGUUGGAAAAAUGUGCUAUAAUUAUGAUUACUCCUUUAAGAAAUAAAGCUGAAAGAAGCUCAAUUUCUUUUUGUUUUCCAUAUUAUUCAAUUUCGUUGUCGAUUUUUUGAUAGAUGUAUGUUUUUUUAUUGUUUUAAUAAGGGCUGUGAUUGGAUUUCCUAUUAUGACAUUGGCUGUCGAUACUAAACUUGAUAAAUUAGAUGGAUCAUCCAAAUAAAGAUAAAAUUGGCUAUGUAAACAUUGGUGAGGGACUAUUUCAGCUUAAGAAAAAUAGUUGAGGGACUAAAUUGGCUUAUAAUAAAAUUAGGGACUAUUUCAGCUUUGUAAAAAUAGUUGAGAGACUAAAUUGACUCGUAAAAAGUUUAGGGACUAUUUUGACAUUAACGAAAUAGUUUUGGGACUAUAAACAUUAGGUCGCAAUGUUGAAAUAUCAAAACCCGUGUUUUGGACCAAAACUCAUAGAACUUCUUCACGUCGCUAACGAAAUUUGAUUCUGAAGUAAUGCUAAUUUUAGUUAUUAUUUGUUUCCUUGUUGGACUUCUGUCUUUUUGGUUACAAUAUUAAAAUGUAUCCAUAAUUUUCAAUUCCAAAAUUGUUGAAUAUUUAAACGAAUUCUAGAAAGGGCACUGAGAGCCAAAGUCUUAUUCAAACAGCCAGCCAUCUGAGAGUACGUAUUUUUUUAUUAUCAGGUUCAAUAUGUAUCUAUUGCUAUUUUUGAAUGAUCAGCCAUGACUAAGAGAAUGAAAUAAUUCACUUGUUUUUUUUAGAUAUGAAUUCAUUACUGUCAGUAGUCUAUAAAUACACUUAUUGCUCACCAUUCUUUGCACCGCAAAAUCUUUUCAAGAUCCAUCAAACCCUCCUGUUCUUGAUCUUGUCCAUUUGUGAAAACACAAAUUAAAGCAUCAUGGCCCCUAUCACUUGUAGUGCUGAGAUGACCUCCCCAAUCCCUCCUGCAAGGUUGUUCAAGGCCGCCAUCCUUGAUGACCACCCUUAAUGCCACAGGCUAUUAAGAGUGUGGAAAUCCUUGAAGGAGAUGGUGGAGUUUGAACCAUUAAGUUGAGCACAUUUGGUGAAGGUUAGAUGUCAUAUUAAUGUAGAACCCAAAUUUUAAGGAUCUAAUAAUAAUCAAUGCGUGCAGGGUUACAGAAUUGGUGGGAUAAAACAAAUACUCAAAAUAUACGUGGAAGAAAAGAAAAUAAUAAAUUCAACUCACAAUAUUAUUGAAAUUUCAAACAAUGAAGAAAAUCAUACCACAAUAAAUUCAGCUGGUUCUAAUAAUAAUCAAAGCAUACAAGGUUACAGAAUUAAAAGGAUAAAACAAACACUCAAAAUAUAUGUGGGAGAGAAGAAAAUAACAAAUUCAACACACAAUAUUAUUGAAAUCUCAAACAAUGAAAAAAGUCAUACCAUAAUAGAAAACCUUGCUAAUUCUUCUAGAUUCUUUCUCUUGAGAAACCAACCUAAAUAAUGUCCUAUUUAUAAUCUACCAAACUUGUUAGGAAAGAAACCACUUGCAUAAGAAAUUACCAAAUAAAACAGAAAUUCCUAAAUCACACAACUACUAAAAACAUAACUCAAAUAAAACUAAAAAUAAAUAAAUAUUUCUAGGCUUAGUUUAAUUUGUCAACAUUGCCUCCCUUAAACCAAACUAUCCAUUGAGAUAGGUUCAACACCUUCUUGAGCAAUAAUUUCUAUGUUGUAGUACACUUGACAUGAAACUCUAACUUGUUACCAGUUAUUAAUUUCAUUUUUACAUGUAACAGUGGACGCACUAUGUAUUUUGUAAAAAAUUUCUCAGUAAUUUCUUCUUGAUCAAAGUACUCACUUAUACAAACCCAUUCAUCACCAGAAUCACCAUAUUUGCCACCAAUGAAAGUGCCUAAAAAUACAAAAUCAUAGAUUGCUUUUUGGCUAAAAUUAUCAUCACCAAAUAAUUCAAAAUAACCACUACUACAAUCAUCCAAAAUUUUCAUACUGUCAGUCAACUCUUUUGGAGUAAAAUAUUUUUCAAUUCCGAUGACAUCCAUAUCUAUAAAAUCAAACAUUCUCCCAUCACUUUGAAGAGAGUCCGCAACCAACGAAUUUUUCAACAACAAUUUCAUGUUCUCUUCUCUUAUCAAAUCAAAAUUUUCUUCUUCUUUUGUCAAAUUACCAUAUUAUUUUUUUCAACAAAUUCAUUACUUCUAAUUUCUCCAAACAAGGUACGCAAAUCAAAACUAUCAAUUGAUUCAAAAUUUUUGAUAUCACCCAUAUUAUCAACAAAUCUAUCAUUUUUAAAAUCCACAAACUAAUUCCAACAACUAGAUUUCGGUUUGAAAGCAUAAUUUCUCUUAAUCGUGUGCAAAACAUAGUAAAUAUCCUUCCAAAAUCUCUAAAGUAUUUUAGUAUGACCAAUAAAGGCUUUAUAAAUACUUUCUGCCAUUAUUUUACGCAUCACUUGAAAGAAUAAUUGUGCCUUUUUCUUAAAAACAUGUUUUGCCAACAUACUUGCAUCAACCCAACAAAGAAUAUCAUCCAAAUUACAUUGUUUGACAUAUUUUUCCACUGUUAAAAUCCAACCAAAUAUGUAUGUCUAUUUGUGCUUAUAGGAGUCAAUAUGAAAAAUUUUUCACCGUCAAUCAGAUCUUUAUAAUAUUCUAUUAUUUAACAAUUUGUAUACCUGAAUAAAUUUUUUUCCUCCAUCCUGUCAUGUUUUCUUGGCCGUUCUGGUUGACUAAACAAAUUAUUGUUGUAUGUAUACCUAUGCUCGUCAAACCUCAUUCGUGUACACUCGUAAGGAGUGGUUCUGAGCUUAUUGUGAAUGCUCAGUACCAAGAAGUAGAAGAGAGAAUGCAUAAGAGAGAAUUAACUUGGCUAAAGAAUUAGGAAACAAAUGAGGGAUUUUUUAAGAAAUUAAUUCUCCAACUGCCACUUUUGGAAAUUUUCUAUCAACAACUAGCUACCAAAACACUAGCACAUAGUAAGAAAUUGGGAUAAUUUCAGAAACCUCGCUUGAGGCUUUUAAUAAUCUCAAGAAGCUCCCCUCAAAAUUUUAAAAUUACACGUACCAUUCCUAUUGGUGCAAAAGUACUCUACUACCCCUAAUAGGAUACUCAAAAGACUUUUUUAUGGGAAAAAAGAAGGCCAGAAAUCCAAGCGAAAACAAAAAAAAAUCAAUUUCUUUUCUCUUUUAGCCUUUUACGCUUGUGCCUUCUACCUUUGCUCACUUUCCCAUGCCAAUCUUCCUAUAACCACUUUCCUAAUCCCUUUUCCCCAACUUUUCUUCUCUACUUCAAGACCAAUUUUUGUCCAUCAACCUUGGCUUGUGCUUUGUUCCAUUCCCUUCCCUUCUCCUUCUUUGAUUUCCCUUACAUCUCCCUUUCUCUUUGCAAAAGUGACUAGGCUCAUCUCUCUCCUUUUUUUCCCCAUAUUUUAAGUGUAGUGGGUUUGAUUAUUUUGCCUCUAUUUUAUUUGAUUUUGGUGGAUUAUGGGUGAUAAAACUUGGUGAUGUCACAUAUUAAAAGUUUGAUAGAUGGAUAUUGGGCUUUAGACAAUGAUUUGCUGAAAAAAAAUGGCCGCAAUGAGAGGAAGAGGCAAGGGGAUUUGAGUGUGGGGGUUGAUUGUUGAUGAAUUGUUGUUUUGGACAAAAUUUGAGGUUGAGUUUUAUCAAAUUUGGUAGCAAGUGGCGAGAUUUGUUUAGGUUGCGGGAAAUAAAUUGGAUUGUGGUUUCUUGGGCAUCCACAGUCGUUGGAAUUGGUUUUGAUUCAAAUUAGGGUGGUUACUUGAUUUUCCUAAUAGUGUUGCUUAAAAGCACACGAUCAUCAAAAUUCCUUAUUUUUAUCUUUUAUUUUUUUUGUGGAAAAGAUUUCAUGACUUUCGUGAUAGUCUAAUUUGGAAGAAGGCAAUCAAGGGAUGCAAUCAACAUUUAGCAAAAGCUUUUGUUGUUUUCUUUGUAAUUUUUAGGGUAAAAAGGGUAGUUUAGGUUAUUUGAAGGAAAUGAUAGUCUAUUGGAUCUAUUUUGAAGCAUAAAUAGUGAACAUAAGGGAGGUUGGUGUUAUUUCUAAAAUCUAAGGGGAAUUGUCUGAAAUUGUCCGAGACCUCGGAGGAGGUUUUCAAAAUUAUCCGUAAGAAAUCAAAUGCGAAACUUGAUUAGUACACGCACACACGACACCGCACCACGCCACGCGUGUGUUGAGGACUGAUGUCCGUAACCAACGACAAGCAGGUUUUCAAUUUUUUUUUCCUUUCCUAGAUUCAAAGAUGGUGUCAGCUUCUAUUAUUGGUGAGCAGGAGGAAAUCCACAAUAUACAUUACACAUCACCCAUAUUCUUUUUAAUUGAACAAUGUAUGAAAUUAUGGUGAUUCGAAAUUAAAUUAUAUGUUUAUUGGGCAACGAAUCCAAAAUAAGAGUUGGAAAUGUAUUGUGACAACAAUUGUUAACUUUGGCCACAAAUGAUCAAAAUAAAUAUUUAAGGUUUAAUAUGACAUUAUGGGUUCAAAAUAUAGUUACUUGUUAUGAAACAACUAAAAGUGCGGAUGCCCAUUUGUAUUCUCAAAAGGAUCAAUUCACAAUUCAUUGCUCCCAAGAGGAUUAAUUCAUAAUUCAUUGCUAUAUUAUGUAAAGGAAUUACAUUGGAUGAACGGUUUCAAUCCAUAAGAGCUAUUCAUGUAUUGGAUGAACCAUUUCAUAUGGCUAUUUAUAUUCUUGUAGUAAUGAGUGUUUAAUAGAAUUGUUGUACCUCUAAUUUUGUAGUACCUAUAUAUAGAGGUACCUUAGCACCUCUUGGGUGUACUUUUUGAUUAGUUGGAAUAAUAAGAAAAUCAUUCUCUAUUUUUGUACUUCUUUCUCUAAUAUUUCAAUUCCUAUUAUAGUAGUUCAUUUUUUUUUUAGUUUUACAACACGUUAUCAGUACAAGUCUCUACUUUUGAACAAAAAGGUGAAAACGGAGUCUCUACCUUAAAAAAAAGUGAAACACGAGAUUCUGCCGAAAUUCUGCCCGUAUUUUUCCAGUAACUUCUGUCUACUUAUUGAGAAACGGAUGCCAAAUAUUUGGGAUUAAAUAAUGGUGAUGAUGACAUUUGUCUCAUUGAUAGUGCUACUACGCACACUAUAUUGAAAAAUAAGAAAAUUUUCUUGUAUGAAAAUGAGAGAGACAAAUGUUAAUACCAUAAGUGGUAGUGCAAAAUUGAUUGAAAGAUUCGAAAGAGCCACUCUAUUUCUUACUGAAGGGACUAAAAUUGUCGUAAAUAAUGCACUACUGUCUCCCAAGUCUCGGAGAAAUUUAUUGAGUUUUAAAGAUAUCCACGAAAACAGAUAUCAUAUCGGGACAAUAACUGAGACAAAUAAAGAAUUUUUAUUAAUCAAAAGUAUCAUUUCUAGGCAGAAAUACGUAGUAGAAAAAUUACCUUCUUUUUCUUUUGGCUUAUAUUAUGCACAAAUUAGUGCAAUUGAAAUUUAUCACCUAGUAGACCAGAAGUCUACUCAUCCCAAUAAUUUUAUCAUUUGACAUGAUCAUUUCAGAAAUCUUGAAUCUAUAAUGAUGAGACGAAUAAUCGAGAAUUCACAUGGUCACUCAUUGAAAAAUCAAAAGAUAUUAAAAGCAAAUGAAUUUUCCUGUGUUGCUUGUUCCCACGGAAAAUUAAUUAGACCAUCACCCGCUAAAGUUGGGACUGAAUCCCCUACAUUUCUAGAACGAAUUUAUGGUGAUAUAUGUGGAUCAUUUCGAUAAUUUAUGGUGCUAAUUGAUGUAUCAACUGGAUGGUCACAUGUAUGUUUAUUAUCUACUCCCAACCUAGUGUUUGCGAGAUUGCUUGCUCAAAUAAUUAAAUUGCGAGCACAAUUUUCAGACUAUCCAAUAAAGAAAAUUCAUCUAGAUAAUGCUGGUGAAUAUUCAUCACAUACUUUUGACGAUUAUUGCAUGCCCAUUGGAAUAACUGUUGAACAUCUUGUAACUUAUGUUCACACAUAAAAUGGUCUAGCCGAAUCAUUUAUUAAACGGGUACAAUUAAUUGUUAAACCAUUGUUGAUGAGGUCUAAACUACUUUCAUCUGCUUGCGAACAUGCUAUAUUACAUGCAGCAACACUUGUGAGAAUUAGACCGACAAGUUAUCAUACUUAUUUUCCCCUACAAUUAACUUUUGGUGAUAAAUCCAAUAUUUUUUAUUUACGAAUAUUUGGUUGUUCGGUUUAUGUUCUAGUUGCACUGCCCCAACGUCGUAAAUUGGGCUCGCAAAAAAGAUUGAAAAUAUAUGUCGGGUAUGAAUCACCUUUAAUUAUUAAGUAUAUGGAACCAUUGAUAGGUGAUUUAUUUACUGCGAGAUUUAUAGAUUGUUAUUUUGAUGAAUCACAUUUUUCAACAUUAAGGGGAGAUAAAAAUCGACCAAAAAAGGAAAUCACUUUAAAAAUAUCAUUGAAUUUCUCGAUUCUCGUACCGAAGUAUGUGAACUAGAAGUUCAAAAGAUUACACAUUUGCAAAAAAUUACAAAUCAAUUACUGGAUGCAUUUAAUGAUUCCAGAAGAGUUACUAAAUCACAUAUUCCUAUUGAAAAUGCUCCAAUUAAAAUUAAUGUCCUUGAAAGACAAAUUACAAGUGCUAAUGAGUCUAAAGUGCACCUGAAGUGUGGGAGAUCUCUUGGUUCCAAAGAUAAAAAUUCUCGAAAGAAAAGAGGAGCAUAUGAAUCAACAAUUAGUGACAAAAUUCAACCUCUUGAAGAGAUCGCUCCUAAAGAACCAAUUCUUGAGAAGAAUGAAAUCAUAGAAAAUUCAAUAAAUUUUAUCACUUCAGGAAAAAGUUGGAACCGAAAAGAAAUAAUUAUUAAUAGUAUUUUUGCAUAUAAUGUAGCACUUGAUAUUAUGGUAGAGAAUGAGGAUCACGAGCCUAAAUCGAUUGAUGAAUGUCGACGUAGAAAUGAUUGGCUAAAAUGAAAAGAUGCGAUCCAAUCUGAAUUGAACUCACUGGUUAAAAGAAAAGUUUUUGGACCUAUAGUCCAAACACCUGAAGGUGUAAAGCCAGUAGGAUAUAAGUGGGUAUUUGUGAGAAAAAUGAAAUCGUAAGGUAUAAAGUAAUACUUGUAGCCUAAGGAUUUUCACAAAGGCCUGGAUUUGAUUAUGAUUACACUUAUUCACCUGUAGUAGAUGCUAUCACAUUGAUAUUUUGUGAGUUUUGCAGUACAUGAAAAAUCAGAUAUGCAUCUAAUGGACAUCGUUACUGCAUAUUUAUAUGAAAAUCUUGAAAAUGAUAUUUAUAUGAGAAUUCUCGAAGGAUUCAAUAUGCCUGAAGCAUGCAAAUCAAAUCCUAAAAAUAUUUAUUUCAUUAAAUUACAAAGGUCUUUGUAUGAAUUCAAACAAUGUAAACGCAUGUGGUACCACCUCAAUGAAUGUUUAACUAAAGAAGGCUAUACCAAUGAUCCAAUAUGUCCAUGUGUCUUUAUAAAAAAAAUGGAUCAAAUUUUGUGAUAAUUGUUGUAUAUGUUGAUGAUCUAAAUAUGAUUGGAACUCCUGAAGAGAUUCAAAACAGUGUUGAAUAUUUGAAAAAAAAUUUGAGAUCAAAGAUUUUGGAAAAAUAAAAUUUUGCUUUAGUUUACAAAUUGAGCAUUUGAAAAGUGAAAUUUUUGUCCACCAAACUGCUUAUACCUGGAAGGUAUUAAAGCGAUUUUAUAUGGAUAAGUCACAUACAUUAAGUAUUCCAAUGGUCAGAUCAUUAGAUCCUAAUAAGGAUCCUUUAGACCGUGAGAGGAAGAUGAAGAGAUACUUGGUCCUAAAGUACCAUAUCUCAGUGCAAUUGGUGCACUACUGUAUCUUGCUAAUUGUACAAGACCUGAUAUAUCAUUUGCAAUAAAUUUAUUAGCAAGAUUUAGUUCCUCGCCCACAAGACGACAUUGGAAUGAUAUUAAACAUAUUUUUCGUUAUCUUUAAGGAACAAUUGAUCUUGCGUUAUUUUAUUCAAAUAAAUCUAAACUUGAAUUGCUUGGUUAUGCUGAUGUUGGAUAUUUAACUACUCUGCAUAAAACAAAAUCUCAGACUGGUUAUCUAUUUACAUAUGGAGGUACAACCAUUUCUUGGCGAUCUACAAAGCAAUUAUUAGCCACCACCUCAUCGAAUCAUGCUAAAAUAAUAGCAAUUCAUGAGGCUAGUCGAGAAUGUGUUUGAUUAAGAUCAAUGACCUACUAUAUCCGGAAGAGUUGUGGAUUAUCCUCUGAAAAAGAAAAUCCUCCAACUAUAUUUUAUGAAGAUAAUGCAGCUUGUAUAGCUCAAUUGAAAGGAGAAUAUAUUAAAGGAGAUAGAACGAAACAUAUUUCACCAAAUUCUUUUUUACUCAUAAUUUACAAAAGAAUAGUGAAAUUGAUGUGCAACAAAUCCGAUCAGAUAAUGAUUUAAUAGAUUUAUUUACUAAUGCAUUGCUGACUGCAAUAUUUGAGAAAUUGGUAAAGAAUAUUGGAAUGCGAUGACUAUAAGAUCUCAAAUGAUAUUUGCAUCAGGGGAAGAAAUCAAUACACAAGAAUAGUGUACUCUUUUUUCUUCACUAGAACUUUUGUCCCGUUGGAUUUUUUUCUAGUAAGAUUUUAAUAAGACAUAUUCUUUGUGUAAUGAAUAUUCAAUGGGGAGUGUUAUGAAACAACUAAAACUGUGGAUGUCCAUUUGUAUUCUCAAGAAGAUAAAUUCAUAAUUCAUUGCUUUCGAGAGAAUUAAUUCAUAAUUUAUUGCUACAUUAUGUAAAGGAAUUACAUUGGAUGAACGGUUUCAAUCCAUAAGAGCUAUUCAUGUAUUGGAUGAACCAUUUCAUAUGGCUAUUCAUGUUCUUCUAGUAACGAGUGUUUAAUAGAAUUGGUGUACCUUUAAUUUUGUAGUACCUAUAUAUAGAAGUACCUGGCACCUCUUGGGUGUACUUUUUGAUUAGUUGGAAUCAUAAAAAAAUCAUUUUCCAUUUCUGUACUUCUUUCUCUAAUAUUUCAAUUCCUAUUAUAGCAGUUUUUUUUUUUAGUUUUACAACAUUACUCAAAUAAGAGAGUUAUUGGACUACAUGUUUAUUGACCUCUACUAACUUAUUUAAGGUCAUUUUAUAUCACUAUCCAAAGAAGAAUUAAGGUCAUUUUAUAUCACUAUCCAAAGAAAAAUUCUUGGGCGUUAGCAUUUUUCUUACAUGCGAAGACUAUUAAUGAAAGUUGACCCAAAUCUCUCUGUCUCUCUCUCUCUCUCAAUUCUUAGGACUGAUGCCAAUUCUUACCAUUUAGAAAGAAAAAUUAGAUUGUUUAUAUAUAUGAUGAGUUCCCUCUAAGUCAUGGUUAAGAAAAAUUCUUAGUUAAACGUAGUUUUAUGAAAUGUGAAUUUCCUUUUCGUUGUCUUUAUUCAUUAGUAUUAUUGGGAUUAUUGUAUUCUAAUUGCAAUGCACAGAUACAUGGAUUUUUGACAUUUUUUCUUUUUAAUUGACUCUGACUAUGUCUCAAACUCGAGACAUCAAACCUGGAGACGACUUUUGUCCAAAAUGCUUGUAAAAAUUCAGAAGAAUAAUUUUGGACCUUAUUAUUUAAUAAUGGUAGAAUUAUGAGAGUCAUUCCUAGUUAAUUAUCAAACUUGGAACUUGAAAAAAAUGUCGACAUCAUGUCAUUAUUAUUUGUUUGUUUCAUAGAAAAAUAAAGCAUUCUCCGACUCCACAUUAUCAUAUUAUUUUCAAUUGGCAGCUUAAGUGAGAAAGACAGGUGAAAAUUUUGUGCAUUACUAAUUUAUUUAGGCCUCACGCGUCGCGCGAAUGUGCCCACAUCAUCUUCGCUGUAUUGGAGAAAUUUGAGCGCUUUGAUCAUAAGAAAUUCACAAUCACAACUGGCCACAAAGAAAGCACUAACUGGUUUAAACAAAGCAUGCAAAUUUCUUAAACAAUAGAUACCUAAACCAACCAUUUUACCGUCCUGCCAAAAAAAGGGCAUUAAAGUAAAAACAACCUAUGCCUAACACAGCUAACAAACUUCAGCACCUUCACUUCACUGCCACGUCAUCAACAACAUUUGCAAAUUUCCAAGGAAGUCCACGCACUAAAGGUGCCCAUGCCCCAUAGGUAGGGCUGUCAACGGUCCGGGUCUGGACCCGAACCCGACCCGGACCCGCCAAUAUUUGUCGGGUACGAGUAGGCAUAUAGUUCCGGGACCCGGACCCGGACCCGGAACCGUUUAACCUAAUAGAUUUGCGGGUAGAAUACGGAAUAUGCCGUUCCGACCCGUAUAGGACCCGACCCCGUUUUUUAAUUAAUUAAUAAUUAAAAAUAUAUACCCAAUUUUGUUCAACCCUAAAUCCCUAAUAGUCUAAUACCCACGUAACCCACCGCCGCCGCACUCUCUUUUCCUUUGCUCCUUACCCAGCCCCAGCGACCAUUUUUCUCCUCUGCCUCCCAACUCCUGAGUCGCGCCUCCACCACCACCACUCACCACUCACCAGAUCUGCAAUUUUUCAGGAAAUUGACUGAAGUUUGAGUCUGACCGAAAAGGACUAAACGUCUAAACCGAACGUCUUCAGUCUUCCUGGAGUUUCUGCUCGGCUGCCGCCGACUGCUUUUGCCGACUGCAUGUCGCAGCUAACGUGGCACACUACAAGAAAGUGAGAAGACUGCAGUUCGUGGACGCGAUUCCUAAAUCUCCUUCAGGAAAGAUAAUGAGAAGGCUCAUCAAGGAGAAGAUGGCAGAAAUUUAAAUAAGAAGAUGCGACCAGUGGGCGUUUUUGCUCAGAACCAACACGGGUUCUGUAGGAAUAAUCAAUUCCCUCCUCUUAGUCUUCGGUAACAUAUGGGCUGCUAUUCCAUUCUCACCUUUACUAUUGUGAUUGUAAUAAGCUAAUGCGAAAUUCACUUGGGUCGGUCCCAUGGAGAUAUUUUAAAUACUAGUACUAUGUCUGGCUUAAAGCAGUAAAGGCCUCAAAUAGUCACAACCACAGCACACCAGCAGUACUGCCUUUCACACGCCACGAGGUUAUCUCAUCUCGAAGAUCAACAUAGGUAAUUAAGUAGAGCUCCCAAAGUUUGCCACAGGUUUUAACGGGUCUGAUUGCCGGGUAGACCCGGCCCGGAUUCGGGACCCGUCGGAUACGGGUCCGAUGACCGAUUAAAAGAUCCGUCGGGUAUUCGGGCCGAAUCCGGAACUAAUCUAGUAUAACGGGUCCGGAUUCGGAUAUAUGCAUUCCGGCCCGGACCCGGCCCGUUGACAGGCCUACCCAUAGGGGACCUCAGGUUAGUCUUCUUAACAUCAACUCCUGUCUUUCUAUUCUUAGGAAAUAUUGAAAUUAAACGUUAUAACUAAUCCUGAUUUCCUUGUGCCAUAUUUGUACACAAUUUGGCAACAAGGGUAAAAAAAAAAUAAAAAUAAAAAGGUUUAUCUGCAAACUGUAGUUCGGCCUGGCUCUUUUUUUUUUUUUUUUUGGGGAUAAGAUCAUCUCAGCACCCGCAGACCCCGUCAUGUAUCAAUAUUUCUGUACUUAGCAUUGGCUUCUUCCGCCUGAAGAACACACGAACCACCGAAAUAGAUGGUGAAUGAAAGUGCACUUAACCCUUUUAAUUUUUCAAAACAAUUGCUUUUAGAAAAAAUAAUAAAAACUUUUUUGAAUUUAAUUUUAGAGAAGAAGAAUUUUAAACCUUUUUGAAUUUAAUCUUGGAGAAGAAGAAGUUUAAAACGUACUUUAAUUUUCACAACUGAUGAUGAAAAUAGCAAAAUGUUCACGGAGAGUGACAAAAGUGACAUCUUAUCUUUUUGCUGACUGCUCCGCUUUCCAAUGAGAGGGUCCAGAAGGGACCACGGGGAGCAGUUGCAGGUCCAAUCGUUUCUAGUGAUUUUGUGUAUUUUACACAUCAUGUAACUUUAUUUGUAUACGACGUAAUUUUAUUUGUACAACAUGUAAUUUUAAAAUAAAUUUUUGUGAACCCUACACACGUUAUUAAAAAUGAGGUACAAAAAGUAAUUUGGAUUGCAAAAAUUUUUUGAACCAAAUCUUGGCCGUGAACAGCUCAGGAACGAUCCAUCUAAUGAACGCUUCUGCCUCUUAUCCAUCCAGAAGGGGGUGCCUCUGCUUCAUAUUUUAUCCAUAUUGAUAUUUUUUUUUCCUGUGCCUCUAAGUAUUAAAUGUGAAAGGUUGCCCACCAUAUUUGACGAAACCGUUUAUCCUAAUUGAUUAUUAUCAACAGGGCAUAACUUUAAUAUUCUUCGUCCAACCCUUUCUGGUGAUUCCUGCAACUCCAGCCGUCCGUCAAUGACCAUAAAGCACCAUUAACCGACAACUAACUAACCACUACUAAUCUAUUCUCAAAUUUUAAUGAAAUUGCACAAUUAGUUUUCAUUUCUCACUUUUAUUUCAAAUUUGGUCUCAAUUUAAUGUGAACCCCAACAAAUAAGAUCGGAGUUGAAAUCAAAGAAGGUAUUUCAAUCACCAUCAGAUAAAUUCGUCAUAUCUAGUUUUGUUUUUGAGAUGCAUAGAAAAUGUAAGCUGAUUUUUCAAUCUACGAGAAAAACGAAAGUCUAAGAGAAUAAUUUUGUCAAAAUUUGACAAUGGAAUAACAGUUGUGAACGGGUGGCCACUGGUUGGCAGCUAGAAGUUAUAGCAGUUUUAAAACAUAAUUGGAGAAAGUAAAAGAUUAAAACUACGUUGUCUACUAUUAACGACUUACAUUGACAAAAUGGCUAAAGUUAGGGUUGAAAAAUAAAUUAAACUACGCGACAUUCGAAUCAACUUCGAUUGGUAAGAGUUUAUUUCAAUUUGGUUUGUUAACUAGUCAAAUCAAAUUUCAACAACAUUUUAUAGUCGAUAACUUUGAAACUUGAUAAAAAAGUCCGUUUAAACUCGAUUUAGUAAAUAAACAAAUCAAGUUUGAACAAUAUUUUAAACUCAUUAAAAUAAUUAAAUAUGUUUGAAUACUAGGGUAUUCGAUUUAAUUAGAUACGUUUGUACCCCUAAUUAAAGCAUGCACUUUUAUAAGUUUAGGAAUCAACAUUAUACAUUUAAUAGCUAGCUAGAGGGUCAAACAGUUAAUUGCCUUAAAUUCUUUUAGCAGCCAUAAGGUAUAGUUGGAGGGAUUCCCUUGAAAUUGGUUAGAUUCUUCUAUGUGACUAAAGAAUUUCGGGUGCGACGCAUUACUAGUCCUACCCUAAAAAAAAUGGUAUUACUAGUCCUUUUUUUCUUUUUUGGCGUGCCCCCGCCGUGGGAUGUGGGGAGGGGAGUCUGUGCGAGAAUUCUAGGUGGGGUACAAGGAGCCAAAGUUCACCUUAUUCAAAGUAAACAACCGUCCAUCUCAGUUGUCGACUUUCCUGUCGAUUGCGUAUAUAUAUUACUAUCUUUUACCAUGACUCUAGAGGAUAGCUAAUUUUGCUUGCUAUUAAAUAAUAAUUUCGGUAGUCUAUAAAUACUCUUGUUCCUCACCGCUCCUAGCACCACAUAAUUCCUUCAAGAACAGCCAAAACCUUCUUGAAAUCCCUCUUUUUCCUUCUAGUUCAUUUCCAAGAAACAAAUGGCCCCUGUCACUUCCAGUUAUGAGGUCACCUCCUCAAUCCCUCCUGCAAGGUUGUUCAAGGCCACCAUCCUUGAAGAGAAGCAUCUUCACAAGAUCUUGCCACAGGGUGUUAAGAGUGUCGAAAUCCUUGAAGGAGAUGGUGGAGUUGGCACAAUUAAGUUGACCACAUUUGUUGAUGGUAAGAUAAUCAAUACAAAGUGAUUAUUUUCACACAUUUGAAGUCUUCAAAUUGCUCCUUUUAUUUGGGAAAAACUAAUGACUUUUUUUUUUGGUUGCGUUAAAUAUUUAGGUGGCGAGCAUAAGACUGCCAAACAGAGAGUUGAUGGAAUUGACAAAGAAAAAUUUACAUACAGCUAUACUGUACUUGAAGCUGAUGGAUUUAACGAUGUAAUCGAGAAAAUCUGUUGUGUCAUCAAAUUUGAACCCUCUGCUGAUGGAGGUUCAAUCUGCAAAACCACUAACACAUACUACCCCAAAGGUGGUGCUCAGAUCGGUGAGGAACACCUCAAGGGAGGAAAAGAGAUGGGUUUGGGAAUGGUUAAGGCUGUUGAGGCUUACCUCCAUGCAAAUCCUACUGCCUACAACUAAUUAUAAUGAAUGCUACUGAAGGACUCUUCGACAUAUUUUCUUCAAGAUUGAAGUACACACUGAGGGUGUGUUUCCUUUUUUGCUUGGUUUGCUUUAAGCUGUUUGGUUAAGUUAAAAACAAAAUUGAAUCAUAGAGAGAACAAAAAAAAUAUAGUGUUUCUUAUGGAGAAAAAAAUGGAGCUGAUGCCUAAAAUCUCACAUGGAUCCAACAAGGAUAUGCUCAAAGUUGGAAAAAUGUGCUAUAAUUAUGAUUACUCCUUUAUGAAAUAAAGCUGAAAGCAGCUCAAUUUCUUUUUGUUUUCCAUAUUAUUCAAUUUCGUUGUCGAUUUUUGAUAGUUGUAUUUUUUUUAUUGCUUUAAUAAGGGCUAUGAUUGGAUAUCCUGUUAUGCCAUUGGCUGUCGAUGCUAAACCUGAUAAAUUAGAUGGAUCAUCCAAAUAAAGACAAAAUUGGCUAUGUAAACAUUGGUGAGGGACUAUUUCAGCUUAAGAAAAAUAGUUGAGGGACUAAAUUGGCUUAUAAUAAAAUUAGGGACUACUUCAGCUUUGUAAAAAUAGUUGAGAGACUAAAUUGACUCAUAAAAAGUUUAGGGACUAUUUUGACAUUAACGAAAUAGUUUUGAGACUAUAAACAUUAGGUCACAAUGUUGAAAUAUCAAAACCCAUGUUUGGGACCAAAACUCAUAGAACUUCUUCACGUCGCUAGCGAAAUUUGAUUCUGAAGUAAUGCUAAUUUUAUUUAUUAUUUGUUUCCUUGCUGGUCUUCUGUCUUUUUGGUUACAAUAUUAAAAUGUAUCCAUAAUUUUCAAUUCCAAAAGUGUUGAAUAUUUAAACGAAUUCUAGAAAGGGCACUGAGAGUCAAAAUCUUAUUCAAACAGCCAGCCAUCUCAGAGUACAUAUUUUUUUAUUAUCAGGUUCAAAAUGUAUCUAUUGCAAUUUUUGAAUGAUCAGCCAUGACUAAGAGAAUAAAAUAAUUCACUUGCUGUUUUUAGAUGUGAAUUCAUGACUGUCAGUAGUCUAUAAAUACACUUAUUGCUCACCACUCUUUGCACCGCAAAAUCUUUUCAAGAUCUAUCAAACCCUCCUGUUCUUGAUCUUUGUCCAUUUGUGAAAAAGCAAAUUAAAGCAUCAUGGCCUCUAUCACUUGUAGUGCUGAGAUGACCUCCCCAAUCCCUCCUGCAAGGUUGUUCAAGGCCGCCAUCCUUGAUGACCACCUUCUUCCCAAGAUCAUGCCACAGGCUAUUAAGAGUGGAAAUCCUUGAAGGAGAUGGUGGAGUUUGAACCAUUAAGUUGAGCACAUUUGGUGAAGGUUAGCAGUUAUAUUAAAUGUAGAACCCAAAUUUUAAGGAUCUAAUAAUAAUCAAUGCGUGCAGGGUUACAGAAUUGGAGGGAUAAAAUAAAUACUCAAAAUAUACGUGGAAGAAAAGAAAAUAAUAAAUUCAACUCAUAAUAUUAUUGAAAUUUCAAACAAUGAAGAAAAUCAUACCACAAUAAAUUCAGCUGGUUCUAAUAAUAAUCAAAGCAUACAAGGUUGCAGAAUUAAAAGGAUAAAACAAACACUCAAAAUAUAUGUGGGAGAGAAGAAAAUAAUAAAUUCAACACACAAUAUUACUGAAAUCUCAAACAAUGAAAAAAGUCACACCAUAAUAGAAAACCUUGCUAAUUCUUCUAGAUUCUUUCUCUUGAGAAACCAACCUAAAUAAUGUCCUAUUUAUAAUCUACCAAACUUGUUAGGAAAGAAACCACUUGCAUAAGAAAUUACCAAAUAAAACAGAAAUUCCUAAAUCACACAACUACUAAAAACAUAACUCAAAUAAAACUAAAAAUAAAUAAAUAUUUCUUGGCUUAGUUUAAUUUGUCAACAUUGCCUCCCUUAAACCAAACUAUCCAUUGAGAUAGGUUCAACACCAUCUCGAGCAAUAAUUUCUAUGUUGUAGUACACUUGACAUGAAACUCUAACUUGUUACCAGUUAUUAAUUUCAUUUUUACAUGUAACAAUGGACGCACUAUGUAUUUUGUAAAAAAUUUCUCAGCAAUUUCUUCUUGAUCAAAGUACUCACUUAUACAAACACAUUCAUCACCAGAAUCACCAUAUUUACCACCAAUGUAAGUGCCUAAAAAUACAAAAUCAUAGAUUGCUUUCUGGCUAAAAUUAUCAUCACCAAAUAAUUCAAAAUAACCACUACUACAAUCAUCCAAAAUUUUCAUACUGUCAGUCAACUCUUUUGGAGUAAAGUAUUUUUCAACUCCGAUGACAUCCAUAUCUAUCAAAUCAAACAUUCUCCCAUGACUUUGAAGAGAGUCCGCAACCAACGAAUUUUUCAACAACAAUUUCAUGUUCUCUUCUCUUAUCAAAUCAAAAUUUUCUUCUUCUUUUGUCAAAUUACCAUUUUAUUUUUUUCAACAAAUUCAUUACUUCUAAUUUCUCCAAACAAGGUACGCAAAUCAAAACUAUCAAUUGAUUCAAAAUUUUCAAUAUCACCCAUAUUAUCAACAAAUCUAUCAUUUUUAAAAUCCACAAACUAAUUCCAACAACUAGACUUCGGUUUGAAAGCAUAAUUUCUCUCAAUCGUGUGCAAAACAUAGUAAAUAUUCUUCCAAAAUCUCUAAAGUAUUUUAGUACAACCAAUAAAGGUUUUAUAAAUACUUUUUGCCAUUAAUUUAUGCAUCACUUGAAAGAAUAAUUGUGCCUUUUUCUUAAAAACAUGUUUUGCCAACUUACUUGCGUCAACCCAACAAAGAAUAUCAUCCAAAUUACAUUGUUUGACAUAUUUUUCCACUGUUAAAAUCCAACCAAAUAUGUAUGUAUAUUUGUGCUUAUAGGAGUCAAUAUGAAAAAUUUUUCACCGUCAAUCAGAUCUUUAUAAUAUUCCAUUAUUUAACAAUUUGUAUACCUGAAUAAAUUUUUUUCCUCCAUCCUGUCAUGUUUUCUUGGCCUCCCUGGUUGACUAACCAAAUUAUUGUUGUAUGUAUACCCAUGCUCGUCAAACCUCAUUCGUGUACACUCGUAAGGAGUGGUUCUGAGCUUAUUGUGAAUGCUCAGUACCAAGAAGUAGAAGAGAGAAUGCAUAAGAGAGAAUUAACUUGGCUAAAGAAUUAGGAAACAAUUGAGGGAUUUUUUAAGAAAUUAAUUCUCCAACUGCCACUUUUGGAAAUUUUCUAUCAACAACUAGUUACCAAAACACUAGCACAUAGUAAGAAAUCUGGAUAAUUUCAGAAACCUCCCUUGAGGCUUUUAAUAAUCUCGAGAAGCUCCCCUCAAUUUUUAAAAUUGCACGUACCAUCCCUAUUGGUGCAAAAGUACUCUACUACCCCUAAUAGGAUACUCAAAAGACUUUUUUUAUGGGAAAAAAGAAGGCCAGAAAUCCAAGCGAAAACAAAAAAAAUCAAUUUAUUUUCUCUUUUAGCCUUUUACGCUUUUGCCUUCUACCUUUGCUCACUUUCCCAUGCCAAUCUUCCUAUAACCACUUUCCCAAUCCCCUUUCCCCAACUUUUCUUCUCUACUUCAAGACCAAUUUUUGUCCAUCAAUCCUGGCUUGUGCUUUGUUCCAUUCCCUUCCCUUCUCCUUCUUUGAUUUCCCCUAUAUCUCCCCUUCUCUUUGCAAAAGUGACUAGGCUCAUCUCUCUCCUUUUUUUCCCCAUAUUUUAAGUGUAGUGGGUUUGAUUAUUUUGCAUCUAUUUUAUUUGAUUUUGGUUGAUUAUGGGUGAUAAAACUUGGUGAUGUCACAUAUUAAAAGUUUGAUAGAUGGAUAUUGGGCUUUAGACAAUGAUUUGCUGAAAAAAAUGGCCGCAAUGAGAGGAAGAGGCAAAGGGAUUUGAGUGUGGGGUUGAUUGUUGAUGAAUUGUUGUUUUGGAAAAAAUUUGAGGUUGAGUUUUAUCAAAUUUGGUAGCAAGUGGCGAGAUUUGUUCAGGUUGCGGGAAAUAAAUUGGUUUGUGGUUUCUUGGGCACCCACAGUCGUUGGAAUUGGUUUUGAUUCAAAUUAGGGUGGUUACUUGAUUUUCCUAAUAGUGUUGCUUAAAAGCACACGAUCAUCAAAAUUCCUUAUUUUUAUCUUUUAUUUUUUUUUUGUAGAAAAGAUUUCAUGACUUUCGUGAUAGUCUAAUUUGGAAGAAGGCAAUCAAGGGAUGCAAUCAACAUUUAGCAAAAGCUCUUGUUCUUUUCUUUGUAAUUUUUAGGGUAAAAAGGGUUGUUUAGGGUAUUUGAAGGAAAUGAUAGUCUAUUGGGUCUAUUUUGAAGCAUAAAUAGUGAACGUAAGGGAGGUUGGUGUUAUUUCUGAAACCUAAGGGAAUUGUCUGAAAUUGUCCGAGACCUCGGAGGAGGUUUUCAAAAUUAUCCGUAAGAAAUCAAAUGCGAAACUUGAUUCGUACACGCACACACGACACCACACCACGUCACGCGUGUGUUGAGGACUGAUGUCCGUAGCCAACGACAAGCAGGUUUUCAAUUUUUUUUUCCUUUCCUGGAUUCAGAGAUGGUGUCAGCUUCUAUUAUUGGUGAGCAGGAGGAAAUCCACAAUAUACAGUACACAUCACCCAUAUUCUUUUUAAUUGAACAAUGUAUGAAAUUAUGGUGAUUCGAAAUUAAAUUAUAUGUUUAUUGGACAACGAAUCCAAAAUAAGAGUUGGAAAUGUAUUGUGACAACAAUUGUUAACUUUGGCCACAAAUGAUCAAAAUAAAUAUUUAAGGUUUAAUAUGACAUUAUGGGUUCAAAAUAUAGUUACUUGUUAUGAAACAACUAAAAGUGCGGAUGCCCAUUUGUAUUCUCAAAAGGAUCAAUUCAUAAUUCAUUGCUCCCAAGAUGAUUAAUUCAUAAUUCAUUGCUACAUUAUGUAAAGAAAUUACAUUGGAUGAAUGGUUUCAAUCCAUAAGAGCUAUUCAUGUAUUGGAUGAACCGUUUCAUAUGGCUAUUCAUGUUCUUGUAGUAAUGAGUGUUUAAUAGAAUUGAUGUACCUUUAAUUUUAUAGUACCUAUACAUAGAGGUACCUGGCACCUCUUCGGUGUACUUUUUGAUUAGUUGGAAUAAUAAGAAAAUCAUUCUCCAUUUCUGUACUCUUUCACUAAUAUUUCAAUUCCUAUUAUAGUAGUUCAUUUUUUUUUAGUUUUACAACACGUUAUCAGUACGAGUCUCUCCUUUUAAACAAAAAGGUGAAAACGGAGCCUCUACCUUAAAAAAAAAGUGAAACACGAGAUUUUGCCGAAAUUCUGCCGUAUUUUUCCAGUAACUUCUGUCUACUUAUUGAGAAAUGGAUGCCAAAUAUUUGGGAUUAAAUGAUGGUGAUGAUGACAUUUGUCUCAUUGAUAGUGCUACUACGCGCACUAUAUUGAAAAAUAAAAAAAUUUUCUUGUAUGAAAAUGGGAGAGACAAAUGUUAAUAUCAUAAGUGGUAGUGCAAAAUUGAUUGAAAGAUUCGGAAGAGCCACUCUAUUUCUUCCUAAAGGGACUAAAAUUGUCGUAAAUAAUGCACUAUUGUCUCCCAAGUCUCGGAGAAAUUUAUUGAGUUUUAAAGAUAUCCGCAAAAACGGAUAUCAUAUUGGGACAAUGAUUGAGACAAAUGGAAAAUUUUUAUUAAUCACAAGUAUCAUUUCUAGACAGAAAUACGUAGUAGAAAAAUUACCUUCUUUUUCUUUUGGCUUAUAUUAUGCACAAAUUAGUGCAAUUGAAAUUUAUCACCUAGUAAACCAAAAGUCUAUUCAUCCCAAUAAUUUUAUCAUUUGGCAUGAUCAUUUCAGAAAUCUUGAAUCUAUAAUGAUGAGACAAAUAAUCGAGAAUUCACAUGGUCACUCAUUGAAAAAUCAAAAGAUAUUAAAAGCAAAUGAAUUCUCCUGUGUUGCUUGUUCCCACGGAAAAUUUAUUAGACCAUCACCAGCUAAAGUUGGGACUGAAUCCCCUACAUUUCUAGAACGAAUUCAUGGUGAUAUAUGUGGAUUAUUUCGAUAAUUUAUGGUGCUAAUUGAUGCAUCAUCUAGAUGGUCACAUGUAUGUUUAUUAUCUACUCCCAACCUGGCGUUUGCGAGUUUGCUUGCUCAAAUAAUUAAAUUGCGAGCACAAUUUUCAGACUAUCCAAUAAAGAAAAUUCAUCUAGAUAAUGCUGGUGAAUAUUCAUCACAUACUUUUGACGAUUAUUGCAUGUCCAUUGGAAUAACUGUUGAACAUCUUGUAACUUAUGUUCACACACAAAAUGGUCUAGCCGAAUCAUUUAUUAAACGGCUACAAUUAAUUGCUAAACCAUUGUUGAUGAGGUUUAAACUACUUUCAUCUGCUUGCGAACAUGCUAUAUUACAUGCAGCAACACUUGUGAGAAUUAGACCGACAAGUUAUCAUACUUAUUUUUCCCUACAAUUAACUUUUGGUUAUGAAUCCAAUAUUUUUCAUUUAAGAAUAUUUGGUUAUUCAGUUUGUGUUCUAAUUGCACCGCCCCGACGUUGUAAAUUGGGCUCGCAAAGAAGAUUGAAAAUAUAUGUCGGGUAUGAAUCACCUCUAAUUAUUAAGUAUAUGGAACCAUUGACAGAUGAUUUAUUUAUUGCGAGAUUUGUAGAUUGUCAUUUUGAUGAAUCAGAUUUUUCAACAUUAGGGGGGAGAUAAAAAUCAACCGAAAAAGGAAAUCACUUUAAAAAUAUCAUUGAAUUUUCUCGAUUCUCGUACAAAAGAAUGUGAACUAGAAAUUCAAAAGAUUAUACAUUUGCAAAAAAUUACAAAUCAAUUACCGGAUGCAUUUAAUGACUCCAGAAGAGUUACUAAAUCACAUAUUCCUAUUGAAAAUGCUCUGAUUAAAAUUAAUAUCCUUGAAGGACAAAUUACAAGUGCUAAUGAGUCUAAAGUGCGCCUGAAGCGUGGGAGAUUUCUUGGUUCCAAAGAUAAAAAUUUUCGAAAGAAAAGAGGAGUACAUGAAUCAACAAUUAAUGACAAAAUUUAACCUCCUGAAGAGAUCGCUCCUAAAGAGCCAAUUCUUGAAGAGAAUAAAAUCAUAGAAAAUUCAAUAAAUUUUGUCACUUCAGGGAAAAGUUGGAACCGAAAAGAAAUAAUUAUUGAUAGUAUUUUUGUAUAUAAUGUAGCACUUGAUAUUAUGGUAGAGAAUGGGGAUUACGAGCCUAAAUCGAUUGAUGAAUGUCGACGUAGAAAUGAUUGGCCAAAAUGAAAAGAUGCGAUCCAAUUUGAAUUGGACUCACUGGUUAAAAGAAAAGUUUUUGGACCUGUAGUCCAAACACCUGAAGGUGUGAAGCCAGUAGGAUAUAAAUGGGUAUUUGUGAAAAAAAAAUGAGAAAAAUGAAAUCGUGAGGUAUAAAUUAAUACUUGUAGCCAAAGGAAUUUCACAAAGGCCUGGAUUUGAUUAUGAUUACACGUAUUCACUUGUAGUGGAUGCUAUCACAUUUAGAUAUCUUGUGAGUUUUGCAGUACAUGAAAAAUCAGAUAUGCAUCUAAUGGACGUCGUUACUGCAUAUUUAUAUGAAAAUCUUGAAAAUGAUAUUUAUAUGAGAAUUCCCGAAGGAUUCAAUAUGCCUGAAACAUGCAAAUCAAAUCUUAAAAAUAUUUAUUUAAUUAAAUUACAAAAGUCUUUGUAUGGAUUCAAACAAUCUGAACGUAUGUGGUACCGCCUUAAUGAAUGUUUAACUAAAGAAGGCUAUACCAAUGAUCCAAUAUGUCCAUGUGUCUUUAUCAAGAAAAAUGGAUCAAAUUUUGUGAUAAUUGUUGUAUAUGUUGAUGAUCUAAAUAUGAUUGGAACACCUGAAAAGAUUCAAAAUAGUGUUGAAUAUUUGAAAAAAAAUUUGAGAUCAAAGAUUUUGGAAAAAUAAAAUUUUUCCUUGGUUUACAAAUUGAGCAUUUGAAAAGUGGAAUUUUGUCCACCAAACUGCUUAUACCCGGAAGGUAUUAAAGCGAUUUUAUAUGGAUAAGUCACAUACAUUAAGUAUUCCAAUGGUCAGAUCAUUAGAUCCUAAUAAGGACCCUUUUAGACCGCGAGAGGAAGAUGAAGAGAUACUUGGUCCUAAAGUACCAUAUCUCAGUGCAAUUGGUGCACUACUGUAUCUUGCUAAUUGUACAAGACUUGAUAUAUCAUUUACAAUAAAUUUAUUAGCAAGAUUUAUUUCCUCGCCCACAAGACGACAUUGGAAUGGUAUUAAACAUAUUUUUCGUUAUCUUUAAGGAACAAAUUGAUCUUGGCUUAUUUUAUUCAAAUAAAUCUAAACUUGAAUUGCUUGGUUAUGUUGAUGUUGGAUAUUUAUCUGAUUUGCAUAAAGCAAGAUCUCAGACUGGUUAUCUAUUUACAUAUGGAGGUACAACCAUUUCUUGGCGAUCUAGAAAGCAAUUAUUAGCCGCCACUUCAUCGAAUCAUGCUAAAAUAAUAGCAAUUCAUGAGGCUAGUCGAGAAUGUGUUUCGUUAAGAUCAAUGACCUACUAUAUCCGGAAGAGUUGUGGGUUAUCCUCUGAAAAAGAAAAUCCUCCGACUAUAUUUUAUGAAGAUAAUGCAGCUUGUAUAGCUCAAUUGAAAGGAGAAUAUAUUAAAGGAGAUAGAACGAAAUAUAUUUCACCAAAAUUCUUUUUUACUCAUGAUUUACAAAAGAAUGGUGAAAUUGUUGUGCAACAAAUCCGAUCAGAUAAUAAUUUGAUAGAUUUAUUUACUAAUGUAUUGCCGACUGCAAUAUUUGAGAAAUUGGUGAAGAAUAUUGGAAUGCGACGACUAUAAAAUCUCAAAUGAUAUUUGCAUCAGGGGGAGAAAUCAAUACACAAGAAUAGUGUACUCUUUUUUUUUCACUAGAGUUUUUGUCCCGUUGGAUUUUUUCCUAGUAAGGUUUUAAUAAGACAUAUUCUUUGUGUAAUUAAUAUCCAAUGGGGAGUGUUAUGAAAUAACUAAAAGUGUGGAUGUCCAUUUGUAUUCUCAAGAAGAUCAAUUCAUAAUUCAUUGCUCCCAAGAGAAUUAAUUCAUAAUUUAUUGCUACAUUAUGUAAAGGAAUUACAUUGGAUGAUCGGUUUCAAUCCAUAAGAGCUAUUCAUGUAUUGGAUGAACCAUUUCAUAUGGCUAUUCAUGUUCUUGUAGUAACGAGUGUUUAAUAGAAUUGAUGUACCUUUAAUUUUGUAGUACCUAUAUAUAGAUGUACCUUAGCUGAUAGGUUGCAAUUUUAUCAUUUAUUUUAUAAUUAAUUUCUCCUAUUACCUGACUUGAUGUGGAUUAAUUGCGGGAUUCUACUCACUUUUAGUAUUUUGCAUUUAUUUCAGGGAGUAGAGCGAAAAUAUAAUAACAGGUGCUAAUUUGACAAAAAAAGAGUCCAAGGCACAGAGCUUAUCCCGGGGGCAUUAUUGGCAAAGGAAGACUUUUGCCCAUUUUGGUAAUUUCAAAAGAAGAGAGCAGGGCAGAGGCCUCUAUUUUACUGGAGGCUGGAGCGCCGCACAAAGGGAGCUUCUUCUUCCUUCGGAGGCUCCGUCCUCUCCGCAAGGGGGCUGCCGCACACAGCAGCCAUUAGAAUAGGAGCAAUUGAUAUAUGACAGAGAAUGAGCACUAGCACCAGGGAGUUGCCUUUGUUGACUUUUCUUCCCUUUUAGUUCUUAGUAGUUGUUUUACCUUCCUCGUACGUAGGACCUUUAGCAUAGUUUCCUUUUGACUUUCCCUUGAGUCUUGGGUGGAUGUCUCCUGCGCAUGUCAGGAGCAAUUGAAGGUCUCGGUCACUUUCUGUAUUCUUCCAUCAACUGAGCGAACUGAGCUCCCUUGGUCAAGGGCAAUGGCUGCGGCUUCCUCUCCAACUUUGUGUGGGAUUCGUUCACCAGGAAUGAACUAAUUUUUCUUUUCUAGUCAAGGAACAACGGAGGUCUUGGUUGGCCUAAAUUUGUGAGAUCGAAUUAGUUUUUAUUUAUUUCCAUUAUUCACUGGUAUUUGUCUAUCUUCUGCUUUAUGUUCAUAUGGUUGUUUUAUUAUUCGAUUAUCCAGGGCCCGGAUACUAGAUUAAUUCAAUAACCUGAAGCCAAUUAGGAUAGUUAAAUCCGUAAUUGUUUAAUUAUUCUAAACUGCUGGCAACUGGCAUGAUUGGGUUUGUGUCAGGGGGAUAAACAUGCUAACUUAAAGAGACCCUCGUAGCGUGUUGAUUGGUUAGAAUUAGGCUCUUCUAAUUAUUCAUGCAAUUAGGGAAUUGAACUUCUAUGGUCGUACCUAGGGUUAUUUCCUGAUUAGAGAAAUAGUCAACGGUCGUACCUUGGCUAUCGACAAAUUGAGGAAGAGUUGGUUGUUUAUCGCGUGUAUGGCAACUAUAACUAAUUUAUCAGAUAGUAACUGGAAUAAUCCUUGCAUCUGUGAUCGAAUUAAGUGAACCAUCUCCGAAGUUGUCUCUUGGCUAGAGUUCGUCAAUUAUUAUUUUUAUUGUGAUAAUUAGUUAUUUGAGUUGUAGUUAUUUUAUUUUAUUUAUUCCAAGUAAUUUAGUUACUCUCAUUUUCAAAAACCCCCCAUAUCUGGAACUUGAGAAGAAAUUAAAUUAUCCCCAGUCCCUGUGGAUUCGACCCUGCUCACCGCUAUAUACAGAAUUUGUAUUUUAUUUGAGCAGGUAUUUAUUAUUGCACAGGUUCGGCACCUGUCAAUUUUUUGCUACAUUAUGUAAAGGAAUUACAUUGGAUGAUCGGUUUCAAUCCAUAAGAGCUAUUCAUGUAUUGGAUGAACCAUUUCAUAUGGCUAUUCAUGUUCUUGUAGUAACGAGUGUUUAAUAGAAUUGAUGUACCUUUAAUUUUGUAGUACCUAUAUAUAGAUGUACCUUAGCACCUCUUGGGUGUACUUUUUGAUUAGUUGGAAUAAUAAAAAAAUCAUUCUCCAUUUCUGUACUUCUUUCUCUAAUAUUUCAAUUCCUAUCACAGUAGUUAUUUUUUUUUAGCUUUACAACAUUACUUAAAUAAGAGAGUUAUUGGACUAUAUGUUUAUUGACCUCUACUAACUUAUUUAAGGUCAUUUCAUAUCACUAUCCAAAGAAGAAUUAAGGUCAUUUCAUAUCACUAUCCAAAGAACAAUUCUUGGGCGCUAACAUUUUUCUUACAUGACUAUUAAUGAAAGUUGACCCAAAUCUCUCUGUCUCUCUCUUUCUUUCAAUUCUUAGGACUGAUGCCAAUUCUUACCAUUUAGAAAGAAAAAUUAGAUUGUUUAUAUAUAUGAUGAGUUCCCUCUAAGUCAUGGUUAAGAAAAAUUCUUAGUUAAACGCAGUUUUAUGAAAUGUGAAUUUCCUUUUCUUUGUCUUUAUUCAUUAGUAUUAUUGGGGUUAUUGUAUUAUGAUUGCAAUGCACAGAUACAUGGAUUUUUGACAUUUUUUCUUUUUAAUUGACUCUGACUAUGCCUCAAACUCGAGACAUCAAACCUGGACACGACUUUUGUCCAAAAUGCUUGUAAAAAUUCAGAAGAAUAAUUUUGGACCUUAUUAUUUGAUAAUGGUACAAUUAUGAGAGUCAUUCCAGGUUAAUUAUCAAACUUGGAACUUGAAAAUAAUGUCGACAUCAUGUCAUUAUUAUUUUUUAGUUUCAUAGAAAAAUGAAGUAUUCUCCAACUCGACAUUAUCAUAGUAUUUUCAAUUGGCAGCUCAUGUGAGAAAGACAAGAAAUUCACAAUCAACUGGCCAAGAGAGUGCCAACAAAGAAAGCACUAAAUGGCUUAAACAAUGCAUGCAAAUUUGCUUGGCACUUAAACAAUAGACACCUAAAUCAACCAUGUCACUGUCUUGCCAAAAAAGGGCAUUAAAGUAAAAACAACUCAUGCCUACCACAGGUAACAAACUUCAGCACCUUCACUUCACUACCAUGUCAGCAACAACAUUUGCAAAUUUCCAAGGAAGUCCACGCACUAAAGGUGCCCAUGCCCUUAGGGGACCUCAGGUUAGUGUUCUUAACCUCAACUCCUGUCUUUCUGUUCUUAGGAAAUAUUGAAAUUAAACGUUAUAACUAAUCCUGAUUUCCUUGUGCUAUAUUUGUACACAAUUUGGCAACAAGGGUAAAAAAAAAUAAAAAUAAAAAGGUUUAUCUGCAAACUGUAGUUCGGCCUGGCUCUUUUUUUUUUUUUUUUUUUUGGGGAUAAGAUCAUCUCAGCACCCGCAGACCCCGUCAUGUAUCAAUAUUUCUGUACUUAGCAUUGGCUUCUUCUCGCCUGAAGAACACACGAACCACCGAAAUAGAUGGUGCAUGAAAGUGCACUUAACCCUUUUAAUUUUUCAAAACAAUCUUUUAGAAAAAAUAAUAAAAACUUUUUGAAUUUAAUUUUAGAGAAGAAGAAUUUUAAAAUUUUUUGAAUUUAAUCUUAGAGAAGAAGAAGUUUAAAAUGUACUUUAAUUUUCACAACUGAUGAUGAAAAUAGCAAAAUGUACACGGAUAGUGACAAAAGUGGGAUCACGGGCAGGAAAUCCUGAAGGUUGCGUGCAUUUUACACACGGCAUAAUUCUGUUUGUAUAUAGUGUAAUUUACUUUUUACAACGUGUAAUUUUAAAACAAAAUUUUGUAAGUCUCACACAUUUUAUUAAAAAUAAGGUACAAGAUGAAAUUUGGACCAUAUAAUUUUUUUUAAUCAAAUCUUGACCGUGAACUGCUCAGAAACGGUUUACCUGAUGACCGUCCCUGGUCCAAACCCGACAAAGGUGCCAUCUUAUCCUUUUACUGACUGGCCCGUUUUCCAAUGAGAGGGCCCAGAAGGGGUGCCUCUGCUUCAUAGUUUAUCCAUAUUGAUAUUUCUUUUCUGUCCCCCUAACUAUUAAAUGUGAAAGGUUGCCCACCAAAUUUGACGAAACCGUUUAUCCUAAUUGAUUAUUAUCAAUAGGGCAUAACUUUAAUAUUCUUCUUCCAACCCUUUCUGGUGAUUCCUGCAACUCCAGCCGUCCGUCAAUGACCAUAAAGCACCAUUAACCGACAACUAACUAACCACUAUUAAUCUAUUCUCAAAUUUUAAUGAAAUUGCACAAUCUAUUCUCAAAUCAAAUUUGAACAACAUUUUAUAGUCGAUAACUUUGAAACUUGAUAAAAAAGUCUGUUUAAACUCGGUUUAGUAAAUAAACAAAUCAAGUUUGAACAAAAUUUUAAACUCAUUAAAAUAAUUAAACACGUUUGAAUAUUAGGGUAUUCGAUUUAAUUAGACACGUUUGUAUCCCUAAUUAAAGCAUGCACUUUUAUAAGUUUAGGAAUCAACAUUAUACAUUUAAUAGCUAGCUAGAGGGUCAAAAAGUUAAUUGCCUUAAAUUCUUUUAGCAGCCAUAAGGUACAGUUGGAGGGAUUCCCUUGAAAUUGGUUAGAUUCUUCUAUGUGACUAAAGAAUUUCGGGUGUGACGCAUUACUAGUCCUACCCUAAAAAAAAAUGGUAUUACUAGUCCUUUUUUUCUUUUUUGGCGUGCCCCCGUCGUGGGAUGUGGGGAGGGGAGUCUGUGCGAGAAUUCUAGGUCGGGGUACAAGGAGCCAAAGUUCACCUUAUUCAAAGUAAACAACCGUCCAUCUCAGUUGUCGACUUUCCUGUCGAUUGCGUAUAUAUAUAUAUUACUAUCUUUUACCAUGACUUUAGAGGAUAGCUAAUUUUGCUUGCUAUUAAAUAAUAAUUUCGGUAGUCUAUAAAUACUCUUGUUCCUCACCGCUCCUAGCACCACAUAAUUCCUUCAAGAACAGCCAAAACCUUCUUGAAAUCCCUCUUUUUCCUUCUAGUUCAUUUCCAAGAAACAAAUGGCCCCUGUCACUUCCAGUUAUGAGGUCACCUCCUCAAUCCCUCCUGCAAGGUUGUUCAAGGCCACCAUCCUCGAAGAGAAGCAUCUUCACAAGAUCUUGCCACAGGGCGUUAAGAGUGUCGAAAUCCUUGAAGGAGAUGGUGGAGUUGGCACAAUUAAGUUGACCACAUUUGUUGACGGUAAGAUAAUCAAUACAAAGUGAUUAUUUUCACACAUUUGAAGUCUUCAAAUUUUUCUCUUUUUUUCCCUUUUAUUUGGGAAAAACUAAUGACUUUUUUUUUUUGGUUGGGUUAAAUAUUUAGGUGGCGAGCAUAAGACUGCCAAACAGAGAGUUGAUGGAAUUGACAAAGAAAAAUUUACAUACAGCUAUACUGUACUUGAAGCUGAUGGAUUUAACGAUGUAAUCGAGAAAAUCUGUUGUGUCAUCAAAUUUGAACCCUCUGCUGAUGGAGGUUCAAUCUGCAAAACCACUAACACAUACUACCCCAAAGGUGGUGCUCAGAUCAGUGAGGAACACCUCAAGGGAGGAAAAGAGAUGGGUUUGGGAAUGGUUAAGGCUGUUGAGGCAUACCUCCAUGCAAAUCCUACUGCCUACAACUAAUUAUAAUGAAUGCUACUGCAAGGACUCUUCGACAUAUUUUCUUCAAGAUUGAAGUAUAAACUGAGGGUGUCUGUUUCCUUUUUUGCUUGGUUUGCUUAAGCUGUUUGGUUAAGUUAUUCGCAGCAAGAGAAUAAAAUAAUUCAUUUGCUGUUUUUAGAUAUGAAUUCAUGACUGUCAGUAGUCUAUAAAUACACUUAUUGCUCACCACUCUUUGCACCGCAAAAUCUUUUCAAGAUCCAUCAAACCCUCCUGUUCUUGAUCUUUCUCCAUUUGUGAAAAAACAAAUUAAAGCAUCAUGGCCCCUAUCACUUGUAGUGCUGAGAUGACCUCCCCAAUGCCUCCUGCAAGGUUGUUCAAGGCCGCCAUCCUUGAUGACCACCUUCUUCCCAAGAUCAUGCCACAGGCUAUUAAAAGUGGAAAUUCUUGAAGGAGAUGGUGGAGUUUGAACCAUUAAGUUGAGCACAUUUGGUGACGGUUAGAUGUUAUAUUAAAUGUAGAACCCAAAUUUUAAGGAUCUAAUAAUAAUCAAUUAAUAAUAAUCAAUGCGUGCAGGGUUACAGAAUUGGAGGGAUAAAACAAAUACUCAAAUAAAUGUGGAAGAAAAGAAAAUAAUAAAUUCAACUCACAAAAUUAUUGAAAUUUCAAACAAUGAAAAAAAUCAUACCUUAAUAAAUUCAGUUGGUUUUAAUAAUAAUCAAAGCAUACAAGGUUAAAGAAUUAAAAGGAUAAAACAAACACUCAAAAUAUAUGUGGGAGAGAAGAAAAUAAUAAAUUCAACACACAAUAUUAUUGAAAUCUCAAACAAUGAAAAAAGUCACACCAUAAUAGAAAAUCUUGCAAAUUCUUCUAGAUUCUUUCUCUUGAGAAACCAACCUAAAUAAUGUUCUAUUUAUAAUCUACCAAACUUGUUAGGAAAGAAACCACUUGCAUAAGAAAUUACCAAAUAAAACAGAAAUUCCUAAAUCACACAACUACUAAAAACAUAACUCAAAUAAAACUAAAAAAUAAAUAAAUUUUUCUUGGCUUAGUUUAAUUUGUUAACAUUGCCUCCCUUAAACCAAACUAUCCAUUGAGAUAUGUUCAACACCAUCUCGAGUAACAAUUUCUAUGCAAAUCUAUGUUGUAGUAUACUUGACAUGAAACUCUAACUUGUUACCAGUUAUUAAUUUCAUCUUUACACGUAACAGUGGACGUACUAUGUAUUUUGUAAAAAAUUUCUCAACAAUUUCUUCUUGAUCAAAGUACUCAUUUAUACAAACCCAUUCAUCACCAGAAUCAUCAUAUUUACCACCAAUGUAAGUUCCUAAAAAUACAAAAUCAUUGCUUGCUUUCUCGCUAAAAUUAUCAUAACCAAAUAAUUUAAAAUAGCCACUACUACAAUCAUCCAAAAUUUUCAUACUGUCAGUCAACUCUUUUGGAGUAAAAUAUUUUUCAACUAUAAUGACAUCCAUAUCUAUCAAAUCAAGCAUUCUCCCAUCACUUUGAAGAAAGUCCGAACCAACGAAUUUUUCAACAACAAUUUCAUGAUCUCUUCUCUUAUCAAGUCAAAAUUUUCUUCUUCUUUUGUCAAAUUACCAUAUUAUUGUUUCAACAAAUUCAUUACUUCUAAUUUCUCCAAACAAGGUACGCAAAUCAAAACUAUCAAUUGAUUCAAAAUUUUCGAUAUCACCCAUAUUAUCAACAAAUCUAUCAUUUUUAAAAUCCACAAACCAAUACCAACAACUAGACUUCGGUUUGAAAGCAUAAUUUCUCUCAAUCGUGUGCAAAACAAAGUAAAUAUCCUUCCAAAAUCUCUAAAGUAUUUUAGUAUGACCAAUAAAGGUUUUAUAAAUACUUUCUGCCAUUAUUUUACACAUCACUUGAAAGAAUAAUUGUGCUUUUUUUCUUAAAAACAUGUUUUGCCAACUUACUUGCAUCAACCCAACAAAGAAUAUCAUCCAAAUUACAUUGUUUGAGAUAUUUUUCCACUGUUAAAAUUCAGCCAAAAUAUGUAUGUCUAUUUGUGUUUAUAGGAGUCAAUAUGGAAAAUUUUUCACCAUCAAUCAGAUCUUUAUAAUAUUCCAUUAUUUAACAAUUUGUAUACCUGAAUAAAUUUUUUUCCUCCAUCCUGUCAUGUUUUCUUGGCCUCCUUGGUUGACUGACCAAAUUAUUGUUGUAUGUAUACCCAUGCUUGUCAAACCUCAUUCGUGUACACUCGUAAGGAGUGGUUUUGAGCUUACUGUGAAUGCUUAAUACCAAGAAGUAGAAGAGAGAAUGCAUAAGAGAGAAUUAACUUGGCUAAAGAAUUGGGAAGCAAUUUAGGGAUUUUUUAAGAAAUUAAUUCUCCAACCGCCACUUUUGGAAAUUUCUAUCAACAACUAGUUACCAAAACACUAGGACAGCGAUCCGUCUCUAUUUUACUCUUCAAGUCUUCGCCGGGGAAGCAACCCGGCCUUGCGAGACUAUAAUGAAUAGGCACUUGCCUUCUGUUUUUACUUUUUUUUUGUUCAAAGACUAUAAUGCCCUUAUUAUUUGACUGCGCAUCUCGCAAGAUAAUGCUUUCCAUCAAAAUUAACUGUUGGGUUUGACAGAAGCGCCACGAAUAUUCUAUUUUAUUAGAUCCAGAGUCAAAAUUUUACCGUUAAUUGUUAGAGGGUUAAAACUUUAUCUGGAAAGGAGUUGGAGGGCCAUUGGAACUCUUUUUCCAAAAAAAAAAAAAAGUCACUUUUGUCAUUUGUCCAAGAACAGUUCUGGGGCCAUCUCGACAGUAUAUAUUUUUCUUACAUGCCAAGACAAUUAAUGAAAAUUGACCAAUAACACACGCACACACACACACACACACACACACUCUCUCUCUCUCUCUCUCUCUCUCUCGGUUGCUGCCAAGUCUUUCCAUUGAAAAAGGAAAAUUCAUAUUGUUUACAUAGAUAAAUUACCUCCAGUCCGUGGAAUGUCUUGAUGUUAGGUGAGUUCUAAUAUUUUGGUAUCAUCUAGAGGUGGCAAAUCAACCCACUUAACUAAAUUUACCCAUAUCCGCCCAUGAAUAGAUGGGUAUGGAUAUCUUAAAUUUUUGUAUAUGAGUAUAAAUGGGUUACCCAAUAAUACCCAUUUAAAUGGGUAACCCAUCAAACCCAAUUAACCCAUUUAGAAUUCUCUUCCCCUCAAGUCUCUUCUUUUCCCCCACCUUUUUUUUUUUCAAAUUUUUCAUUUUGUCAUGAUGUUAACUACUUUUGUUUUAUUAUUAUUAUUUGUUGGUUUUAUCUUAUUAUUUUAUUUUCUCUUAGUUUGUUAACUUACUCAUUUUUUACCAUUACCAAUUUAUGAUAAAUUUUAGCCUAUUUUCUUAUCUUUAUAAAAUGAAAUUUUAAAUUUAUAUAUGAAAAAAAUGUUAGGGGUUCAAAAAUUUUGGAUUAAGUUUUUAUAUUAAUUUUUAUAGUACUUAGUUCAAAAUUUUAUAUUCUUAUUAUUCAAUUAUUAAAUAAUAGGUAAUUUUGUGACAUAGAGUAUAAAUGAAAAAAAAUUGGUAAUUAAGUUUAUUGAACAUUAUAAGUAAAUAUUUAAAACUAAUGAUGGGUAUAAAGAGUGAUAUAAAUUGAUAACUUAGUUUGCAAAAAUGAAUUUAAAUGAGUUUGCAAAAAGUUAAAAUAAAUGGGUUAUAAAUGGGUAAUUGGGUUACCCAAUUCAUUUUUUGACUUGCCUAUUUAUACCCAUAUAAUUAAAUGGGUAUAAAUGAGUUGACUCACUUAUACCCAUUACCCAUUUUACCCAACUCAAACCCGCCCAAGUCACCCAUUUUGACACCUUUAGUAUCAUCUAAUGUUCAUUUGUGAAAGAUUGAGAAAUGAUAAAGAGCAAAACACCAAUUUAUUCCAUAAAUUAUUUUGCUAAAAUCAAAAUAGUCCAUAAAUUUUCUUUUGGCCAAAUUUUUGUCAUGAACUUUCAGAAACGGUUGCAGGGGAUUUCAUCCGGAUUGCUUGUGCAGUUGAGUAACUAUACAGAAAUUCUUUUUGGGAUGCUGAGUAUCUUAGGAUGGGUACAAUGAUCGCUUAGAUCAGUAGAGAUGAUUGAUGAUGUAGUAGGGGAAGAUUCCCUUUAUAAAGCUGAUUUUCUCAUGAUUAAUAAGAAUAUAAAUGUUACCAAAUUUUCUUUUCAAAUGUGUAACGAAAAUAUUGGCCAUGAUCAGCAAGACCUCCUUAAUUAUAAAAGUUUCUUGAAUGUCAUCAUCCAAUUUGUUUAAGCGAGGAUUUUUAAAUGCUAUCUUUAAGCAAAUUGAUUUUUGUAUUAUAGAUACUUACUACUAUUACUUCAUACCUAGCUACAAACCUCAUGUAUGUUUUAGUUUUAAUCCAGAACAAAUCAGGGCCACGGGCCACCUUGCACAUAGCGAGAGUGGAAAAAUAAAACUACACAAUUGCUUUUUUGAAGCCAGUGACUCAACUGAUUUUGCGCUCGGCAAUUCAUCCGAUUUUCAUUAAAAGGGCCCUAAGAGGCCAUUGGCGUUUUGGGCCUGUGAAAAUUUGGAUGAUUUGGUGUGUCCAAUGCAUGUGUAAGCACAAAUUUUGUUGUCUAAAAUAAAAGACAAGAAAACUUACAUAAAUAUCAAAUUUAUUAAAUUAAAUAACAAGAGGGUUACAAUAUUUGAAAAUUUUUGAAUCAAAGAAAUUAAUCUCCUAAUUUUUAUCUUCAAAAGGCUUUAAUCGGAAGGCCAAAAAGGCUUGUUCUCCGAUCAAGAGGGUGUUUUCUAUGAUUUCUAUGUAAAAAACGGCUGCUUUGAUGAUGACGUUAAUAUUUGAAUCUUUAAAUCUUCAACGCCGAUGGAAGGAGGAUUUAUUUAACUUAAUUUGGAUUUGGAUUUGAAUUUGAGGGAAAAAGCUCUCAAGAGAAUUUGACAAAGUUACUUUGAAAUUUAGGAAUUUUAAUGUAUUUUUGCCUUGAGGGAAGACCUUUAUUUAGAGUCAACAUAUGCAAGCUAUGUCUUCAAGAGAAUCCUUCAAAACCAUCUUGCGUUUGGGUAACUUGUACCUUAAGAAACCCAUUUAACUUGGAGUUAAAUAGUCGGCCGACCCAAAUAGUCAAUUGUGAAUUAACAAAUCAAUUAAAUCACUUUAAUUUAAAUGGGCAUCACAUUUUUUAUUUGAUUUAAUAGCUCAUAUAACAUUGGCUCAAUUUGUCAAUCCAAAACAUAAUGAACUUCUAUAAUUUAAUUUAAUUUAAUAAAAAUCAAUUUAAUUUACUUAAUCUUGCCUAAAAAUAAAUUAAAUAAAUUUUCGUUGUCUAUGUCCCCACUUCAAAACUUGGCAAGGCAUUGCAUGUUUAUUUGAAUUAACUUAAAACUUCUUAAUACGAUUCAUCUAAGCACCUUUAUAUAUAUAUAUAUAUAUAUAUAUAUAUAUAUAUAUAUAUUUAUUUAUUUAUUUAUAUAUAGAGGUACAGAAGACAUGUCUUUGUCUUGAAACUGUGACAAACAGGACACUUAAGACAAGGGCGUGUGAAGACUAUCGCACUAUUUGAGCGAAAAAAACCUGUUUUGCACGUAUAUUUUGAAGGUAAUCAUCUUUAUUGUCUUUUGACAACUUCAUGUUGGUCGAGUAUCAGAUAUUCACCAAAUUUUGUUGAAAUUUGUCAAAACUUGAUUUGUUUCCAAUUUGGAGAAAAAAAAAGAUUUUUUUCUUCGUUUCUGCAAUUUUCCAGGUCACUCUUUCCUAUCAACAUGUUACGAUUCAGAAAUUGAGACAAAUCUUGUACAUAGGAAUCUUUUUUAACAGCUGAUGGUUGGAAUUUAGCAGACACCUUGAAGUCAAAGAAGGCAAAUAGCAUUCCAAUAGCAUUAUUUGGUUGCAUGCCAUAUCCAAGAUUUUCACUAGUAAGCCACCAUUUUCUUGCUUUUGAUUGUUAUUCAUUCUCUGUUGCGCAAUUUUAUUUUCGCACAAUCUAUUUUUUUCGUUGAAUUUUCUCUUUUGCAAAACAGCGACCACCAAGGAAAGACAGAAAGAUUUUUUUGUUUUUGUUUUUGUUUUUGUUUUUGUUUUUUUUUUUAUGGUUGCACCUUGUGUUGGCACCCCUUAUUUGAAGCAAGUUGAUGUUCCAGUUGUGUUGGGGAUUUUAGGGCCAUAGCUCUUAGAACUCAAAAUACUAAUGUAAUUUCCGCACUCCAUGACAUUUACUUCUUGUCAAUGCCAAACUCUCCUCUUUUUUUUUGUGAUAUGAAAGGAAGAUCUCUCGUUGCAACAUAUAUGGUGGACACUCAAUUUGAAAGAAGGUGCAACCACCAACUUGCACGAGAGCCAUAUCAUGGUUUGAGGAGUAUAAUGAAAAUGAUGCAACUGCAAACUCUUAUGAGAGCCAUAUCAUGGUUGAGAAGUACAAUGAAGAUAGUGCAAUCAAAAAUUUGAAAAAGGUGCAAUCGCAAACUCCCAUGAGAGCCUAUCAUGGAUUGAGGAGUACAACGAAGAAUGUGCCACAAAAAGUUGAAAAAUGUGCAAUCGCAAACUCGCACGAGAGCCUAUCAUGGUUUGAGGAGUACAAUGAAGAAGGUGCAACUACCCACUUCAAUGAGAGCUUACCAAAACUCGAGAAGCCCUUUCAUUUAACUUCACAUUGACUAUUUAUUACUUCUCUCACUGUCUUCGAUCACACCAUUGUAAUCAAAUUUUUUUCUCUUGCUUUUGGUCCUAACGAAAUGGUGAUGGUCAAGGAAGUUACAUCUUCAAACAAAAGGCACCUCCUUAUCACUAAUAGCCAUGAUGACUCUGCUGACAAAGGAACGAAAUUAUUGGUGCAUCCCUCUAUACAAGAAAUUUACUCUGGUGAUUGGUUUUCUCACAAGUAUUCCGAAUUAAAGGAUUGGUCACUAAAAUUUUCUCAAGAUGAUGGUACGAAAGUUCACUCCUUGAAAUUCCUUAUCAUAAUAAGGAGCCAAGGACAAUUGGCAGGCGAAUCCUAGAUGAGACUAAGGGUGCAAACGAGGCAAGUCGAAUCGAGUUUUGAAGUUAUUGAGUCGAGUUACACUUAUUUAUAUGCGAGCUCGAGUUCGAGGUCGAAAAAUAGAGCUCGAACUCGGCUCGAUGUAGGAAAAGGAAAACUCGAGAUCGACUCGCUUAUGGCUCGCGAGUUUAGCUCGAAUUCUGGCUCGCGAGCAGCUCGAGUUUUGCUAGAUUUUCUGGCUCGCAUGAAGCUCGAAGUCAGCUCGAUUCUAGCUCGUUAGGAGCUCCAGUUCGAACUCGAAAACAGCUCGAUUUUCUGGAAAUUUAUGCAAGAAAACAGAAUUUUUGUCCGCAUAUUUUUGAUAAAAUUUGAGCAUGAUAACAAUAAGUUUUCACAUAUUCUUGAUCUUGAGGCCUACAAAUUAUGCACUAAUACAAUCAUAAAUGUCCAAAUGUCCACUAAUACAAAUUAUCCAAAUGUCCACAAAUGUCCACUAAUACAAAUUAUCCAAAUGUCCACAAGAAGUCUGAAGAAUACCAGCUUGUUGUCCACAAAAACCAAGGCAUGACAUGAAGCGAGAAUUUCCUGACUGCGUCCUGGAACUUUACUCAUUUCUGUCUCUAAUUCCUCAUGAUCAGUUAGUCCACCAACAUUGAACAAUAUGGAUCAGGAAUGGGGAAAAAUCACUUUCUAACACUCAAGAUCACAUACAACUCAUAUCCAACAAAUAUCCUGAAGUUUCAUGAGUAUAAUCACAUUAAAAGAGAAAAGGAUACUGACAAGCAUGCUAAUCAAACUCAAGCAGAAAAGGUACUUUCUCCUUGCCGUCUCCGACAUCCCAGCCAGCAAAUGGCUGGGGUUCGUGACAGCUGUUUGGGUCCAAUCCAUCUCCGGCAACAACUAUACCUUCUCCAAUUACUCCGACGCCCUCAAAUCACUCAUGGCCCUCACUCAGCUCCAACUCAACAACCUCUCCGUCGCCAAUUGAUGUCAUUAAAGCAGAAAAUCGGCCUGAUGGCCUCCACCAGCUGCCAUCCCUAAUCCAAGAAGGUCGAGUGUAGUAUGCUUAGGACCAAAUACAGAUGGAGUUCCCAACAUCAGUUCCUUCAAGCUAGACCCACCAUCACACGGCAGCCCUAGUCCUAGGCCUACUACCAAUGAUGCACUAUCAGACUCAAUUGCCCUCCCACUCUUCGCCCGGAAAGACAGUGGUGAAAAGAGGUAAGGAGGUGGCGGCAAAGAGCGACGGGUUAGCCAAAGUUAGAAGAUCCUCUUUUUCUAGAUUUGCAAGUUUCCUACUCUAGAGACAAAAAUGUCCUUGAUAUUUGGUCGUGCAUCUUACAAGAUAAUGCUUUCCGUCAAUUUUAACCGUUGGAUUUGACGGAAGGGCCAUGAAUAUGCUAUUUUAUUAGAUCGAGAGCCAAAAUUUUACCGUUAAUUGUUGGAGGGUUAAAACUUUAUCUGGAAAAGAGUUGGAGGGCCAUUGGAACUCUUUUUCCAAAAAAAAAAAGUCACUUUUGUCAUUUGUCCGAGAACAGUUCAGGGGCCAUCUCGACAGUAUAUAUUUUUCUUACAUGCCAAGACAAUUAAUGAAAAUUGACCAAUAACACACGCACACACACGCGCACGCACACACACACACACUCUCUCUCUCUCGGUUGCUGCCAAGUCUUUCCACUGAAAAGGAAAAUUCAUAUUGUUUACAUAGAUAAAUUACCUCCAGUCCGUGGAAUGUCUUGAUGUUAGGUGAGUUCCAAUAUUUUGGUAUCAUCUAAUGUUCAUUUGUGAAAGAUUGAGAAAUGAUAAAGAGCAAAACACCAAUUUAUUCCAUAAAUUAUUUUGCUAAAAUCAAAAUAGUCCAUAAAUUUUCUUUUGGCCAAAUUUUUGUCAUGAACUUUCAGAAACGGUUGCUUCCUGCAACCGUUGGUGAGGGAUUUCAUCCGGAUUGCUUGUGCAGUUGAGUAACUAUACAGAAAUUCUUUUUGGGAUGCUGAGUAUCUUAGGGUGGGUACAAUGAUCGCUUAGAUCAGUAGAGAUGAUUGAUGAUGUAGUAGGGGAAGAUUCCCUUUAUAAAGCUGAUUUUCUCAUGAUUAAUAAGAAUAUAAAUGUUACCAAAUUUUCUUUUCAAAUGUGUAACGAAAAUAUUGGCCAUGAUCAGCAAGACCUCCUUAAUUAUAAAAGUUUCUUGAAUGUCAUCAUCCAAUUUGUUUAAGCGAGGAUUUUUAAAUGCUAUCUUUAAGCAAAUUGAUUUUUGUAUUAUAGAUACUUACUACUAUUACUUCAUACCUAGCUACAAACCUCAUGUAUGUUUUAAUCCAGAACAAAUCAGGGCCAUGGGCCACCUUGCACAUAGCGAGAGUGGAAAAAUAAAACUACACAAUUGCUUUUUUGAAGCCAGUGACUCAACUGAUUUUGCGCUCGGCAAUUCAUCCGAUUUUCAUUAAAAGGGCCCUAAGAGGCCAUUGGCGUUUUGGGCCUGUGAAAAUUUGGAUGAUUUGGUGUGUCCAAUGCAUGUGUAAGCACAAAUUUUGUUGUCUAAAAUAAAAGACAAGAAAACUUACAUAAAUAUCAAAUUUAUUAAAUUAAAUAACAAGAGGGUUACAAUAUUUGAAAAUUUUUGAAUCAAAGAAAUUAAUCUCCUAAUUUUUAUCUUCAAAAGGCUUUAAUCGGAAGGCCAAAAAGGCUUGUUCUCCGAUCAAGAGGGUGUUUUCUAUGAUUUCUAUGUAAAAAACGGCUGCUUUGAUGAUGACGUUAAUAUUUGAAUCUUUAAAUCUUCAACGCCGAUGGAAGGAGGAUUUAUUUAACUUAAUUUGGAUUUGGAUUUGAAUUUGAGGGAUAAAGCUCUCGACAGAAUUUGACAAAGUUACUUUGAAAUUUAGGAAUUUUAAUGUAUUUUUGCCUUGAGGGAAGACCUUUAUUUAGAGUCAACUUAUGCAAGCUAUGUCUUCAAGAGAAUCCUUCAAAACCAUCUUGCGUUUGGGUAACUUGUACCUUAAGAAACCCAUUUAACUUGGAGUUAAAUAGUGGUCCGACCCAAAUAGUCAAUUGUGAAUUAACAAAUCAAUUAAAUCACUUUAAUUUAAAUGGGCAUCAUAUUUUUUAUUUGAUUAAAUAGCUCAUAUAACAUUGGCUCAAUUUGUCAAUCCAAAACAUAAUGAACUUCUAUAAUUUAAUUCAAUUUAACUAAGAUCAAUUUAAUUUACUUAAUCUUGACUAAAAAUAAAUUAAAUAAAUUUUCGUUGUCUAUGUCCCCACUUCAAAACUUGGCGAGGCAUUGCAUGUUAAUUGCUGGAGGCAAGACUUGAAGUAUUAAUUUUACUGCUGACCUAAAGUCAAACUAAAUUAAAGACUUCAAGCGUUCGGCAUACGGGUGAUCCACUUUUUUUUUUUUUUUUUUUUUUUCCUUUUUCUUUGGGAAGAGAAUGGUCCACAUCAAUUGUAGAAUUGCACCUCAAAGUCCAAUUGAAUAGGCAACGGUCACGGGUCUUCACUUUCACCUACUACUUGAAUAAAGCCUUGAAGCUCUUGAAUUUUCCAACUCUUAAUUUAGUCGUCAAUGGAAGUGCAGCCCCACAAUAUUAGACCGCAACUUUGACCCGUAGAAUUAGAAACCCCCGUUUGAUUAUGCGAUGUGGGCUCCUGCGCAGAAACUCCCAUAUGCUGAAAUUUGGAGUUUGCUCGUACGUUUCUGACCACCAAAUCUUGUUUUGGCACUUGGCAAUAUGGAAUUUGCUGAGUUUCAACGCUUCCUAAACGGAACUUUAAUGUAUUUCCAAAACCAAUGUUUGCAACUUCUGAAUAAGAAUAUGCCAAAUUUUAAGAGCUUCCCAAAUUGACUUCCAGCCAUUGAAAUUAUUCUUGGGAACCAAAUUCAAAUGAUUUCCAAAAAGUUAAACGAUAAUCACUGAAUUUAGUAUCUGUCCAAAACUUAAAACUUCUUAAUAUGAUUCAUCUAAGCACCUUUAUAUAUAUAUAUAUAUAUAUAUAUAUAUAUAUAUAUAUAGGUACAGAAGACAUGUCUUUGUCUUGAAACUGUGACAAACAGGACAUUUAUGACAAGGGCGUGUGAAGACUACCACGCUAUUUGAGGGAAAAAAAACCUGUUUGACACGUAUAUCUUGAAGGUAAUCAUCUUUAUUGUCUUUUGACAACUUCAUGUUGGUCGAGUAUCAGAUAUUCACCAAAUUUUGUUGAAAUCUGUCAAAACUUGAUUUGUUUCUAAUUUGGAGAAAAAAAAAGAUUUUUUUCUUCGUUUCUGCAAUUUUCCAGGUCACUCUUUCCUCUCAACAUGUUACGAUUCAGAAAUUGAGACAAAUCUUGUACAUAGGAAUCUUUUUUAACAGCUGAUGGUUGGAAUUUAGCAGACACCUUGAAGUCAAAGAAGGCAACUAGCAUUCCAAUAGCAUUAUUUGGUUGCAUGCCAUAUCCAAGAUUUUCACUAGUAAGCCACCAUUUUCUUGCUUUUGAUUGUUAUUCUUUCUCUGUUGCACAAUUUUAUUUUCGCACAAUCCAUUUUUUUUCUUUGAAUUUUCUCUUUUGCAAAACAGAGACCACCAAGGAAAGACAGAAAGAUUUUUUGUUUUUGUUUUUGUUUUUGUUUUUGUUUUUGUUUUUUUUUUUUAUGGUUGCACCUUGUGUUGGCACCCCUUAUUUGAAGCAAGUUGAUGUUCCAGUUGUGUUGGGGAUUUUAGGGCCAUAGCUCUUAGAACUCAAAAUACUAAUGUAAUUUCCGCACUCCAUGACAUUUACUUCUUGUCAAUGCCAAACUCUCCUCUUUUUUUUUGUGAUAUGAAAGGAAGAUCUCUCGUUGCAACAUAUAUGGUGGACACUCAAUUUGAAAGAAGGUGCAACCACCAACUUGCACGAGAGCCAUAUCAUGGUUUGAGGAGUAUAAUGAAAAUGAUGCAACUGCAAACUCUUAUGAGAGCCAUAUCAUGGUUGAGAAGUACAAUGAAGAUAGUGCAAUCAAAAAUUUGAAAAAGGUGCAAUCGCAAACUCCCAUGAGAGCCUAUCAUGGAUUGAGGAGUACAACGAAGAAGGUGCCACAAAAUGUCGAAAAAUGUGCAAUCGCAAACUUGCACGAGAGCCUAUCAUGGUUUGAGGAGUACAAUGAAGAAAGUGCAACUACCCACUUCAAUGAGAGCUUACCAAAACUCGAGAAGCCCUUUCAUUUAACUUCACAUUGACUAUUUAUUACUUCUCUCACUGUCUUCGAUCACACCAUUGUAAUCAAAUUUUUUUCUCUUGCUUUUAUUGCAAGUUGGUCCUAACGAAAUGGUGAUGGUCAAGGAAGUUACAUCUUCAAACAAAAGGUACCUCCUUAUCACUAAUAGCCAUGAUGACUCUGCUGACAAAGGAAUGAAAUUAUUGGUGCAUCCCUCUAUACAAGAAACUUACUCUGGUGAUUGGUUUUCUCACAAAUAUUCCGAAUUAAAGGAUUGGUCACUAAAAUUUUCUCAAGAUGAUGGUACAAAAGUUCACUCCUUGAAAUUCCUUAUCAUAAUAAGGAGCCAAGGACAAUUGGCAGGCGAAUCAUAGAUGAAGACACACACUGGGGUGCUUCCUUGAGAUUUAGUGAUGAAUUUGGUUAUAUCGAGAAUUAUUAGGAGCGGUUGGAAGAUAUUUUUGGAAAAAACAAACAAGUGUUUCGUGAAAAUUACUUGUUCGAUGUCUUAUAUGCUUCGCUUCUCAUAUAUAACAAAAAUUCUCAUGUGUUUAGAGCAUUUUGCGAGACAUGGUGCCUAAACACUAAUACCUUGCAUAUGUCAAUUGGAGAAUUAUCUCUCUCACUUUGGGAUCUGUGUAAAUUAGAAGGACUUCCAAUCAUCGGAUACAUCUAUGAAGAGGCGAUCCCAUGUGUAGAGGAACUAACUGGAGUUAAUGAAAAGAAGUUGAUGCAUAUUCCGCAAAAUUGUGAGUAUUUGUUCGCGGCUCUGCACUACCUUCAACAUGGAGAAUACUACAAUUAUGGAGUUUCUGCUAGCCAAUAGAUUAACUUUUGGUUUAAAGGCAACGUGAGGUAUUCAAAACCAAAACAGAGAAGGAUAAAGAGAGCAUCUAGUGCUUAAGCAACCCAAAAUCCAGAUGGAAAGAUUGGACAACCACGUAAUUUUUAAUUCAAGACAAUGGCAUAUAUGAUACCAUUGGAGACAAGUCUCACUUACGAGAAGAGACUUAUCUUGUAGCAUUUAUAUCUUGUUGACUCUACGUUUUUACUCUACCAGAUGAGGACGUCUAUUAUAUUAGACUAUCUACCUUCAAAAUGGCUAGCAUGAUGGCUGUCGGAUAUAAAACUUGCCUUGCUGUUCCUGUCUUGCUGAGUAUCUAUCACGGAUUCAAUAAAAUUUCAAAUUCAUCUACUCCAAGGUGUGCGCGUGCAUUUUUUUCAAUGCACUACGUGUAUGCUUAACUGGCGAGUUAUUUCUCUACCCAUUAUUCAACUCCGAAUAUCAUGCCUGGACCAACAAUUAUCAAUUAUUCUGGAAAGGGUGUGCACAAUAUUUUGAUGAAAAUAGUGCUUGCGACCUCAUUCAUCAAGGAGACAAAGUAACUUGGGGGACAACUUCUCUUGUGAAGAAUUAAAAUGAAUUUUUUGUUGAUGAUGGCAAGUUAGCGAACCCAGAACUGAUUUAUUUCGUAAGUGCUUGCUCAAAUUAUUUAGUCUUACAUGCUGAAGGAGAUUUUCUUGUUGAGCCAUACAGGUUUGCAAGGCAAUUCGAAUUUUAUCAAAACACCCCACAAGAACUGGGAGCAGAUGUUCAUUCUACAAAUUAUGACUUGAGUCAAAUACUUUGACACAUUGCUAUUCAUAAUAAGACAGAGUCGAAGGUAUUUUUUUCUAGUUACCCCUUGAAUGCUAACAAGCAUAUAUCUCCAGAUUUUCAAACAUGAUGUUUUGAUUAAGAGUGUCCAACCAAAUUUGAAACAGAAGAAAUCGAAAGGAAAGAAACUUGCAAAUUUGAAUAAUCCUGUCAAGGUUGGCAGUAAUCUUGAGGCGAAACAGAAAAUCACCAAGACUGUGAGGAUUGAGGAGAAAGCAUUGCAGAGCUCCAGCAACUCGUGAAAUUCUAAUUUUCAAUGAAGAAUUUUCGAAUGGUAAUUCAUUUUGUCUUCCUUCAAUAAUUGUAAAAGCCACCAAUCAUGAGUCUCGCAAUUCCAAUGAAAAGAAGAGGAGCAACUCUUUUGAUGAGAAGGAUGAGCAAUCUACUAGUACAGACUAGCACUAGAAGCAUAAGAAAUUCAAGGUAAUGACUUUCUCUUUGGAUGAUAUUGUUUUAGACCCUAAAGAAAUGUUUAAGGACAUUCUGGACAAAUAUGUGCUUGGUAUAAGUCAUGCCAAUAUUAUAAGAACAUUCUCUUGCCUUCUUUAGUUUGGCAUUUGAAAUUUACUUAUCAAUUUCAUAUUCAUGAUAUGUCUCAUAACAUUUUCCAUGUAGUUGAAUGAUCAAAACUUGAUUUUUAUUAAUGAUGGGAAAUCAAGCUAAGAAUUCGUUGAAGGACCCACUAUAUUUUAACUUUUAACAAAACAAGUGGUCAAUUCUACUCAAUAAAAGGGCAUCAUUGAAAAUUUCAAAAAGGCAGUGCAUGAUGAAAAUUCAGUUCAACAAAUCAUGCUACAGAAGAAAGAACAUGUGACUUCACCGGAGAAAAAAAAGUUCAAAAUUUUUGAUCCACAACCGUAGCCAAGGGCACCUCAAGUGUCUGAAUUUUGCCCCCAAACUAUGAUCUUAACAUGUCAUCGAGAUUACAUUCAAAUGCUCUGAAAUAAUUUGAAGGUGCUGAUAUCCGAAACAAUCCUGGAACGCAUUUCUGCUCUUAAGAUGAAAGCAAAUGAAAUCAUGGAGGAAAUGCAAAGUUUCAAUGCUAUGAAUAUUUCAAACUUGUAAGGCCUUUUAAAGCCUUUCUUUACAAAACCAAUUCGUUCUGUCGUAAUAAAGUCUUCUUUCUCAAAUAAAAUUUCAAUUGAAUCAUAUAAUGAGUUGUUUUCUAUAGCUACCCAACAUCUUAGAGAUGCUCAGAGUAAGGAGAAAUAAUAACUUAAAAAGUUCUCAACGUACAUGUUAAAAUUUAAAGAGAUUGACCAUGAGAAAAUAGAGCUAAGGAAAUGACUUGAAUCUAUGGGUACUCAUAGGAUGGAAAUACUUUCACUGCUACGAAAGAAACAAGACGAGCUUACCUAAAUGCAAGGCAAGAUGAUCAACUUAUGAAAUGAAAUUCAAAAGAUUGAAGAUUCCCUAUCUUUACUUGUUGAGGAGAGCCAAACAUUGAACAAAAUGCAAGCACUACUUGAAAGCAACUGCAAAAAACUGUCAUCAUUUGAACUUUAGAAUUAGUUACAAUCUUUUACUUUUUUCAAAUUUUAUUUAUUGUCACUUGCCUAUAUUAUAUAGCCACAGGCAUAAUUAAUUUUUUAUUUCACCAUGAAUCAUGAUUUUUUUUAUUUCAUGAUACUCUUGUGGAUAUUUCUUACUUUCCUUUGUUGCUUUCAUUAACCACCAUUUUAGACUAUCGAUUGCAAAAUAAACAAUUCAACAUUUGCAUAAUUUUAAUCACAUUUGAAGAGGUAAUUGUCUACAUAAUUUGAUAAUUUGAACAAUAUACUUUCAGGUGUAUGUUGCAAAGUAAUUUGAAUUGCCCUAAAGAGAAAAACUUUUUAUCUUUUAUUGCAUGACAUCUUUAUGGGGUUGUAACUGAAUUUCGAAGUUACCAUCUAAACUGUUUGCAUAUCCCAAAAGGGAAUAAAUUCACGUGUAGUUCCUACCAUCCACAGUUUAAUUUCUUGCAGGUCAGGAGUAUCUAUUUGCUUAUCACUUUAAACUUGGUGGAGUGUUUUAGUAGUUUAACCAUAUACUACACUAUUGGUGAUUGCCGUCCACAGUUUUAACUCAUAUGGACCAAGAGCAACAUGCAGUUUAGACUCAUGUGUCAUGAAACAACAUGCAGUUUAGGGUCAUGCGUCAUGUUGUCCUUUAUUUUUUUUAUGGCGUGUAUAAUCUUAAGAAAUUUUCAUUUAUGGGUCAACAUUUACACCAUUUUGUCAACUACCUUGUACGCGUUAUUUGUAUAAACAUUUCGGAUAAUAUAUGGUCCAUCCUAUUCGGAGACAAAUUUAUCUUUAGCAUGAUGAGUCAUAACUAUUGAUUUUCGAACGGCGAACACUAUGUCACCAAUUUGAAAGGAAUGAUGAUGAUAGCUUUAGAAAGGUAAGCCUGGUAGCAUUCAAGAUUUUGUUGAGUUUCCAAUUCCUUUUCAUCUAAAGUUUCUAAUUCUUUAAGAAGCAAGCAAAUAUUUUCUUUCUCCAUGAGCCCUUAUUGGAUGGCAAUUCUCAGAGAAAGAAUUUGUUGUUCAAGAAGCAAGACAACUUCUACACCAUAAACUAAGGCAUCAGGGGUGGCUUGCAUUGGAAUUCGAUAUGUGGUGCGAUAAACGCAGAGAGUUUCACCUAUCAUUUCAUGCCAAUCCUUCUUUGAUCUGGCCAUCACUUUUUUCAACAAGUUGCAUAGAGUUUUAUUGAAUGCCUAAACAAUACUGUUGGCAGGGACAUUAUACAUAAAGGACUUGCGAUGUUUGAAUUUAAAUUUCUCACACAACCUAUCCAUUAAACAGUUGAAGAAGGGUUUCCAUUAUCAGUGAUAAUGUGUUAGAGAAUUUCAUAACGAUAAAUAAUAUUUACACGAAUGAAAUUCACCAUAUCUUCUUUUCUCACUUGAGUGGUAUAGUUUCAUCCCAUUUAGAGAAGUAGUUGGUUGUAACCAAUAUAUAUAGAUGUUGUCCGAACGACUUAGGCAAUGGUCCAACAACAUUAAGGUCCCAGGCAUCAAAAGGCUAAGAAGUAAUAGUCAAAUGUAAUAGUUCGGGUAAUUGAUGAAUGUAAUUUGCAUAGAAUUGACAAGUUUGACACCUUUGAGCGUAUUCCAUACAAUCUUUGACCAUAGUAAGGCAAUAAUAGCCCAUCAUUUUAAUCCAAAAAUGCAACUUGGGACCGAAUUGGUGAGUUUGACAUAUUUCAAAAUGUGCCUCUUGCAUAGCUUGAUAUUCAUUAUCUUCAUUCAGACAGCGCAAGAAUACACUUUCAAAUGAUUUUUGAUAUAGCGUAUCUUUGUAUAAGAUGAAACGGGGGCACGACAAUAGAUAUCAAAUCUUUUAUGUUGCUCCUUAGGUACCUUUUGAUACUUGAUAUAAUUGAUAACAGGUUGUCUCCAAUCUUCUUUAUCAACUUCAUAAGUUGAGACGACAUAAGCAUCACCUUCCUCAAUAUUUUCAUUAUCAAAUAAUGGUGAAACUAUCCACUUUUGAUACACACGAACUUGUAUUUCAUAAUUUGACAUAGUCAGAGAAGAAGCAAGCAUAGCUAAUGCAUGAGUUUGCUUAUUUUCUCUUUUAGGGACAUGUUCAAUACUUGUACCUUCAAGUUACCUUAUAAGUUGCGUUGCAUUCUUGUGAUAUGGAAUUAAUUUAAAUUUUUUAACAUCAUAAUUUCCCAAGGGUUGACUAACGACUAAUUGUGAGUUGCCAUAGAUUUGAAACUCAAAUUAUUUCAUGUCAAUAGUUAUUUCAAGUCCGAAUAUGAGGGUUUGAUACUUAACGACAUUAUUUGAACAACGUUGAUUUAGAAUAAAGGAGUAUGGCAAAACUUCUUCAUCAGAUGUUGUAAAUACAAUUUUGACUCCAACUCCAUGACGAUGAGUAGCAGAUUUCAAUAAGGAGUACAUUUUUAUUUGGUAGAUCAUCACUUAACUCCCAUUCAACAAGUAUCGGGUGAUCAAUAAGAAAAUCUACUAGUACUUAACCCUUCACGGCCUUUUGGAAUACAUAAAUAAUUUUAAAUUAUUGUAACUAGGUACCAUUUAGCUAGACAGUUGGAUAGUGUUGGUCUACUUAUCACGUAUUUUAUGAAGUUUGCCUUGAAGAUGAGUCUCACACUGUGUGCUUGAAAGUAGUGUUUUAACUUCUAUAUUAUAAAAAUAAGAGUUAAACACAACUUUUCAAUCGGUGAGUAGUUUAAUUUAUUAGAGAUCAUCAUAAAUAAUAAAGGGCAGUUUCUUUCACUUCAUUAUUUUCUUGUGCAACCAAUACCUCCACUAAACGUUCUUGGGUAACAAUGUAAAGAAUUAAUGGCUUUCUAUAAAUAGGUUCAAUCAAGACAGAUGCCUUCAUGAGAUAAGAUUUAAUGCUAUUGAAUGUAUUGCUGUACGCUUCAUUCCAUUGGAAUGGUACACCUUUCUUCAUAAGGUGAUUAAAUGGUUGACACCUUUCAAUUAAAUUUGAGAUAAACCUCCACAGAUAGGUUAAUCGCUCUUGAAGGCUUUUUAUUUCUGAAUAUUGCGAGAUUCAGGCAUUCUCAAUAUAGCAUCAAUGUUGACUCGAUCAAUUUUAAUACCUCGAUGACAGACCACAAAAUCAAGAAACUUUCCUGAUGUAACUCUAAAUGCACAUUUGAGAGGAUUCAAUUUGAGUUGAUAUAUUUUCAACCGAUCAAAAUUUUGUUUCAAAUCCUCCAAGUGAUUAUUUCUUUUUUUUUUUAUUUAACAACCAAAUCGUCCAUAUAACAUUUAAUAUUUUUAUGAAGCAUGUCAUCAAAAAUAUUUUACAUUAAUCUUUGAUAUGUAGUUUUGAUAUUUUCAAACUAAAGGGUAUUAUGUUAUAACAAUAAAUACCCUUAGGAGUAUGAAAUCUAGUGAGUUAUUUAUCCUCAGGUGUUAUUCGAAUUUGAUUAUAGUUAGAAAAGCUAUCCAUAAACGACAAACCCUCAGACCCAAUAAUUGCAUUAAUCAUGAGUUUGGUGAUGGGUAGAGAAAAAUCAUCUUUGGAACAAGCACUGUUAAGAUCCCUAAAAUUUACGUAGAUGUGAAUUUGCCUGUUCUUCUUUCGUACAGACAUGAUAUUUGAAAUUCAUGUGAAAGACUUAAAUUCAUGAAUAAAUCCAUCAUCAGUGAAUUUAUUGAUUUCAACUUCGAUCAAAUAGACCAAAUCGGGUCUAAAUCACCAUUGUACUUACAUUACAGGUCGAACUCCCUUUUUAAUAGGUAAAUGGUGGACUGCUACUUUUGAAUUUAGACCUAACAUUUCUUUAUAAGUUCAUGUAAAAAUAUCUUGAUACUCUUGCAAGAACUCAACAUAUGUCUUCUCUUCAUCAGAAUUCAAUAAAGCACUUACCUAUAUAGGAUAUGGGUCCUGUGAAGUGCCAAAAUUGAUUUUUUAAGUCAUCUACAGUGGCCUUAACGCCUUGUUCAAAUUCAGGUGAAGCAUCUUCAACAUCUUCUUCUUCUCCAAGGGAAUUAUUAUCAAAUAUGGUUAUAUGGUUGUAUGAAACAAUACUUUCUUCAUCAUCUUCCUUUGAUCUUGUUUCUACAAUAGUAUGCUCUCUAACCUUUAGUUCAGUCCCAUAAAUUAUUAUAAGAUUUGUACAUCUCCUCAUUCUUGAGAGAAUAAUGUUACCAAACUUAUAAAUGUUAUGGGGACAAUCAAAAGAUUCUUCAAAUUCUUUCAGUGAUUUUGUCAUUCUCCAUUUAUUCUUAUGAGAAUUUUGAGACUUUUAUUUUCUUUGUGGUCCUAGUCUUUUGAAGACGAAUACUCACAGAGCCUUAUCCCUAUUUUUAUGAAAAACGUGUGACUUAUUGACUAUUUUAGAAGAUUCAUCUCUUAUAGCAAUAAAUUGACUACCAGCUCUAUUGAUUUUGAUGCGAAUUGGUACAGGUGAAAAAUAGUAAAGAUCAGAUUUAGAAUUCUUAACAGCAUAUCCUUUCCCUUUCAACAUCUUUUGAGUAAGGUUUAACCCAUAAGUCACAUCGCUAGUGGCUUGAGGAGGUUUCAAUACCAGAGAUUUCUUGAAAUCAUACCCAAUUUUGGUAAGAAGUUUAUAAGCAAUAUAAUCAAAAGCUUCAUUAAUUCUUGACGUCAGUAGCAUAUCUUGCUUGAUGUCAAACUCUUUAUUAAGAUGAUCAAACCCUUUGAUUAAAGGCGAUGGUAUAUUCGUAGCAUCAAGUUUAGCCACAGGAAGAGUUAAUCCUUUCAGAGUUUUGUGUGGAAUUGAAGAUGGUUGUCCUUGUCCCAAUCUUGACUUGGGAGGGUAUCCGAAGACAACUGAUUUAUUUUUUAACAAUGAGGCAUCAAUUUUUUUAUGAACUACCUCUUUUGAUUUUGGAAUCACCACUUUCUUCGUUUUGCACUUGAUGAUUCGAGAUCUUGGAUUUUAACCAUAGAUGGAGAUUGUUUAAACUCAUUCUUUAUGUUAUACUGAUUUAUUUUUUAACAAUGAGGCAUCAAUUUCUUUCUGAACUACCUCUUUUGAUUUUGGAAUCACCACUUUCUUCCUUUUGCACUUGAUGAUUCGAGAUCUUGGAUUUUAACCACAGAUGGAGAUUGUUUAAACUCAUUCUUUAUGUUAUAUUUUUGGAUAUAAAAUUUAGCAUUAGCGAUAUGCAUUUCUACUUCAGUGUAAAGAUUAUAAUCAGUUUUCACACUUUUUACCACUCCAUUUCGGUAAUACUUGAAAUAUUGGUGAAGAGUUGAAAGCACAACCCCAUUUUCAUGAAUCCAGGGUCUUCCCAGUAGCAUAUUAUUUAUUGUUUUAGUAUCUAUUACAUACAGUUGUGCUUUAGACAAUAUAUCAUCGAUAACUAUCUCUAAAUUUAACGAUCCAAUAGCUCUUUGCCCUCCUUGAUUAAGGUCUUGUAUUAUUAGUCAGCUUAUUGGAAAGUUUAUCAAUGGAGAUGCCAAAUUCCUUUAGAGUUUUUAAGACAAGGCUAUUGACAGCAGAACCUCUCUCUAUCAAAAUUUUAUUCACAUUUUAUUUUUUAGCAUAAACAGUUACAAACAAAGGACGGUUAUGUGAUGUUGACCCAAAAAACAAGUUGAUAGGGUGUUAAUUGUUAGUAAUUUUAUUGCUAUUUUUCCCCUUUGUCCUUGCCAAAUAUUAUUUUAAUUGUUAACAUAUACUUAUUUUUGGUAUUUGGACCAAUCUACAGGAAGUGGAACUGACAAAUGCUAAAAAGGAGAUUUUAUUGAGAAAAAUCCUUCACAUGCUAGAGCCUCCAGCGGAUAUACAAGUUGGGCCCACAUGGUGUUACAAAUUCGGUUGCUGAUGGGGAGCUCUUAUUAUUGGGAGUUGACUUGUACGUGUAGGAGUCCUCCUACCAAGAGGAAACAAGAAAAAAGGAAUUCGGCAGAGGCCCAUCUUUUGUACUUAGCUUUCUCAAUUCGGUAGGGACCAUGGACUAGAGGUUUUCAUUAGUGAUUGGACUUUAAAAGGGAAGAAACGUAUAGAGGCUUGGGGAUUAUUAUGAUUAGCGUAGCUUUAGUUUUAGUGGUUAGCUAGCGUUUCCUUUUCAUGCGCACGAGGUGCUCGACAAUAUUUUUCAACGGGAAAAAAAAACAUCUUUUACUCUUGCUUUCUAGUGAAAAACUUGAUGCCUUUGCAAUCAAUUAAUUUGCGUGGAGAUUUAAUUAUGCGGCGUGGCUAAGCCUUUUAUCUAGUCAAGGAUCAACUCGACGGCGCAGUCCCAAAUAUCUGUGAGAUCUAAUUAGUUUUCACGCGUUUCUUAAUUUGUUAAUAUUUGCAUGUUGCCUAUUUGAAUUUCCACGGGAUUAUUUUGUUAAUUGGAUAUCAAGAGCCCGAUGUUCAAUGUGACUUAUUAAUUUCCUGCCAAAUUAGUCAAUUAAAUCCGUAAUUGUUUGAUUGAUUAAUAUUAGUAGCAACUGACAUGUUUACACACUAGAAGAACGUGCAAUCUAAUUUAAAUAACCCUCGUAGCGUGUUAUUGAUUGGGAUUAGAUUUUUCUAGUUAUUAAUGCAAUUGGGAAAUUAAUUCAUACAGUUGUACCUAGGAGUAUUUUCUGGUUAGGAGUAAUCAUUGGUCGUACCUUGGUUAUCAAUAAAUUAAGGAAAAAUUGGUCGUUAGAAUUCGUCGGCGACUAUAACUAGCCUAUUAAUAAAUUAAGUGAACCUCCCUUGCAUCAAUGAUCGGGUAAGUGGACUGUGUCUGAGUAGUUGUAUUCUUAACUAAAAUUUAUCUAUUCUUGAUUUAAUUCCUGCCUAUAUUCGUGCUAAUUAAUUAUUUAUUUUUAGUGAAUUGCUUAAUUAUUUUUAGUUUUACUCCAAUAAAAUUCCUCUUUACCAAUUGGAAUCUCAAAAAGACAAAUAUUCUCAGUCCCUGAAGAGACGACCCUACUUGCCAUUGUCUACUAUUUAGUAAGUUUUGUCAACUAAUUAAUUUUGGUAUAUCGGAUUAAGCAAAUUUUUCGGGAACAGGGUGAAUUAAGUAACCUAUUGCACAUCUAGAGUCCCGGCUCUAAUAUCUAGGAUUCAUUAUUGACUGCUUUUAGUGGUAUUUAGGUUAUUAUUAUUAUUAUUGCACAGUCUCGACACCUGUCAAUUUUUGGCGUCGCUGCCAGGGACUGGCGUUAAUUAUUUGUUUUUUUAAGUUCAAUUUUGUUCUAAUUUUCUGGUAUUUUUUCUAAUUUAUGCAUCAUUCUUCUCGUAUAAGUGAAUUAAUUUUCGACCCUGAAGUAGAGAAGAUCGCGCGUAGAACGAGAAAAGAAACCAGACAAUUCAGAGAAGAGCACUCAAGUACUACAUCUCAGAGACUUGAGCCGGAAGUUGAACCGGCAAAUUCGUUUGGUAACACUUCGAGUGACUCGGAUCAAGAGAAACUCACCAUGGCAAAUGCACAAACAUUAAGGGAGUUGGCUGCUUCUAAUUUAAAUCAACAGCCUUUAUGCAUUGCUUUCCCAAGUUUGAAUGAUGACACCCUCUUUGAACUAAAAUCUGGUCUAAUUCAUCUCUUGCCAUCUUUUCAUGGUUUACCAGGUAAGGAGCCCUACAAACAUUUACAAGAGUUUGAUGUUGUUUGCAACAGUAUGAAACCCCCGGGAAUCACAGAAAAGCUGAUAAAAAUGAGGGCCCUCCCCUUCUCUUUGAAGGAUUCAGCGAAAGAUUGGCUAUACUACCUACCACCAGGUAGUAUCACCACGUGGGACCAGUUGAAAAAAAAAUUCUUAGACAAAUAUUUUCCUGCGUCUCGGGCCGCCAGCUUAAGGAAAGAGAUAUGCGGUAUCAAACAACACCCAGGCGAGUCUCUCUAUGAGUACUGCGAGAGGUUUAAGAAGCUGUGUAUCAAAUGCCCUCAGCAUCAGAUAAGUGAGCAACUGCUCAUCCAAUAUUUCUAUGAGGGACUACUCUUCACGGACUGGAGCAUAAUCGAUGUUGCCAGUAAAGGGGCGCUAGUGAACAAGACCCCUCGAAAAUCUUGGGAGUUGAUUGAGGGGAUGGCUGAAAAUUCACAGCAGUUUGGUGGGCAGUGGCGAUGGCGAAGGCUCGCGGGGGUGGAAGAGCCGUUGGCGCGACUGGGGCCGCGCGGCUGCUAGAAUCUAGUUGCAUCAGUCUCUGUGGUCCUUGGGAUCUUUGAUUCGGCUGUUCCAUAGCUUGUCGAUCCUUUGUUGCAUCCCUGUAGGCAUUGUAAUUCCUGUUGAUUGAGUUGUUAUCUAGUUUUUGAGGGCACCUCUAGUAGUUCCUUUAUUUGGGAGUUAUUUGGGGUUGAGUUGGGAGUUAUUGGCCAAUUGAUUCCUAUUUUGCUUUCGUCCUGUUUCUGGUACUGUAUGGUUUUGAUUGGGGGGUGUCUCAGUGGUUUGGGUUGCCUGUUUGAAUUGGUUCUUACCUGUGUGUGCACCAGUGGUACUGGUUGUGUUGGGAAUCCGUGACUGAUUUGUUCUUGUCCAAUUGAAGCCAUUUUGAGCAAUUUUGGGGUGAACACAUUUUGUCAUUAAUUGUUGAUUGUUGGGGGACGUUUUUGGUAACACUUGAGUUGAUAGGGUGUUAAUUAUUGGUUAUUUUAUUAUUAAUCUCCCUUUUUAUUCUUGCCAAAUAUUGCUUAAUUGUUAAUAUUUACUCAUAUUUGGUAUCUGGACUUAAUUUCAGGAAUGAAGUAGAAAACUACCAAAAAGGAGGGAUUUUAUGGAGAAUAUGGAAACUUCUAAGGGCUUCAAUUCUUGGGCCCUUGAAUUGGUGGGGACCACAAGCUAGUGAAAGGCAUUUAGUCAUUUGAGCUCUUCAAAAGAAGCUACGUAUAUUUUAUUUUAUUUUAUUUUAUUUAUUUUAUUUAUCUCUUAUUUUUUUUUAUAUAGUUUAUGGCUUCUAACACUUCGUAUUUUGGUGAUAUACUGGAUUUUGUUUCCGGGAAAGGCAAUGUGACUAGUUUUUUUGCUAAGUCUGCAUAUGCAGAGGCACUAAACUCUAUUAGAGAAAGAAUGGCUGCUGCAACCUGUAAAAUUUGUUAUACCAGGGAUCAUUCAACCGGUAUGUGCCCCGAAUAUCAAGAUAAUCUGAGUGUCCCAUUCGAUAAUUAUGGAGAAUUUUCACCCUGGUCUCAAACGUGGUACGACCCUAAUCCAAACGGGUAUGAUCAAGGAUGGUGGGAUAACUCCAAUUAUAAUUAUACAACGGGACCAAUGAAUUUUCAGCAGUAUGAGUCUCAAGAAUCGUCAUCUAUGUCAGGUAUGUCUCUUGAAGAAAUAGUUGAACCAAUAGCUACUAACACAUACCAAUUCCAACAGGAGACACAAAUGAGGAAUGAGAUGAUGAAGGAUGCAAUGAGUUAUCUGGCAGAUCAACUAUGUCUAUUGACAUCCAGAAUAAAUCGAUGGGCUUCUCAAAUGGAAGAACUGCCCUCGAAAACCAUUGUUGACCUAGAAGAAAAUGAGAGUGCAAUUUGCUUGACUAGUGAUGAGGAGAUGCAAGAGUGUCAAAAUGAAAAAUCUACAGAUACAGUUGAAAAAGAAGCCGAAAAGGAAGAAAUGGAACCCCAACCGCAACCCAUUCAAGUGAAAGAAUCCAGUGAAGAAUCAUCAAAUGUGGUGACACCACCUCCAUUCCCUAACCCGCAUUUUUUCUAACUCUUACUCUAUGAUUUCUGUUAAUGAGAUUGAUUUUGUUAUACCGGAAGUUUUUGAGUCUCAUGGCAGAAAUAAGUUGAGAGUGGAGAUGGCGAAAUAUCUUGAACCGUUGAAUGCUCUUGAUGGAGGAAUGGAUGAAGAAUUGCGAUCAAUGCUUGAUUAUGUGGCGCCAUCAACUAGUCCAUGGAAGCCCGUGGUUCGUGUGCUCAAAGAUUACUCCAUCUAUGAGGGUUACCAGGAUCAUAUUGAAGAUGAAGCAUUGAAGCGAGCUACAAGAUUUUAUCCUCCAUGAACAAGACAUAACAAUGUCUAGCCAAAGACAUUAAAGAAAGGCGUUUUUUGGGAGGCAACCCAAAUAUUGAUUUUAUUAUUUUUAGUUGUUCAAUUCUUUCGUUCUGUUGUUUCUCAUUUGGAUAGUAGUUGGUCUUGAUAUUUUUCUCCACUGUGAUCAGGAAGUGAAAUCUUGGCGUGCCCACGCGGUGUUUAGGUCUCCUGAGAUCAGAGGACGAACACCAAUCUUGGCGUGCCCACGCGGUGUUUGGGUCUCCUGAGGUCAGUGAAUGUUUUGUAAUCUUGGCAUGCCCACGCGGUGUUUGACGACCCAAAACAUGAAAAAAAAAAAGUUUCAAAAUUUCACAUUGAGAAAAUUCAAAAAUUCAAAAGGCAUUUUUCUUUUUCUUCAAAAAUUCAAAUUUUGGAAUUUCAAAUUCAGGAAAAAAUUUGAAAAAAAAACAUUGAGAAAAAAAAACCCAAAAAGAAAAAAUUAAGAUUCAAAAAAAAAAAAAAACUAUUUUUUUUUCUCUCUUUUUCUUUUUCUCUUUUCUUUUUCUUUUUUCUUUUCUUCUUUUUUCUUUCUUUCUUCCUUCACCACCGCAGCAGCUACCCCACGCGACUCUCCUCCGCCUACCCCAGCGCACAGCCCAGGCCACGCGCUCCCUCCUUCCUGCAGCCCGUCGACGAAGCCCACCAGCCACCACCAGCAGGCCGCGGCUCCUUCCCCCUUGCGCGGCCACAGCUCGCGAACCACCUCUCCCACAGCGCGCGGCCUUCUCCCUUAUCUUUUGGCCGCGCGUCAUUGGCUCGCCCAAGGGCAGCCGCCGCCGCCGUUCCUCACAGUCAAGCAAUCGCAGGCCAAAGCCCACAACCCCAGCCGGCGCCGCCCGCAGCUCCUCGUGCGUGACAGCCGUGCGACGCCGCGCCUCCCUCAGCAACAGCUCCAAGCUCCAGCUCACUCGCAGACAGCCGCGCGAUUCUCAGCCAUUCACCUCGCGCGACCCCGAGCGCACAAUUCCGCGUGCCGCCAUCGAAGACCGCCGCGCCUCUCCCUCAGCCCGCCAUUGCGCCCCACCACUGUCCCGCUGUCUACGGUUGGGCACAAGGGAGGUACUUUUAAAAGAAAUUUUUAAUUUAAAUACGAGAAUGUCAAUUUCUAAAUUCUGGGGCUGUUUAGUGAUUGUUUGGAUUUCUUGGUGGAUUUGGUUGGCCGUCUGAUUAAAUUCUUCCUUGUGUGAUAACCAGUGGUACUGGUUGGGGUCUUUCGACCAUAGUUGUUGCUUAUAUUUGGUCAGAUGUCUGCUUGUUUGAAAGUUCACGUUCUUGUGAUUGAGUUGUUGCUCAAAUUCUGAUCUGCUGUUGCUAGAACUUUUGGUUGGUUGAGUUGUGCAAUUGACUGUCCAAUUGGAGACAGUUAUUGAGAUCUUAGGUGGGAUGGUGUCCAAUUGCUAAAAUUUGUUGCUUUGUUUCGUCACUCGCACUGCUCCUAGUUUGUUCGAGUGAAAUUGGUUGGAUGUUCUUUGCCCGUGGAGUGUAACUGUUACAUUGUUUGGGGCAGUUUUUUGGUAUUGAUUGAAUUGUUGGGCGUAAAUUGCUCAGGACUUUACAUUGCUAAUUUGGUGGGCCAUUUAUUGUGCAUUACCCUUUUGAAUUGGGAGAUACCUGUGCUUAUUGGGUUUUGACUACUUGAGAUUUCUGUUGCAUCUGGGGGAUAAAAUUUGAUGACUUUUGUGCCAGUUUAUUUGUUUGGAAAUUGUUGGGGGUAAUUUGGGAGUUACUUGUCAAUUGGGUCCCGUGUUACCCUCUACCAUUCAGUGGUACUGAUUGGUGUGUUUGGCUUUAUCACAUGUCUUGGGUUGGCCAUUUGAUUUCAAUUUUCCUUGUGCAUGCACCAGUGGUACUGGUGAGGGUAGUUUACAUAAUAUUUGUUACUCCUGUGUUAUUGGUUGCCUAAUCGACUACUGGGCAUUUGUGGUUGAAUUGUUUCUGUCCAACUUCUGAACUGUUGUUGCUGGAGUGCCAUUUUCUUGGGUCAAUUGCUGAUUUUAGCAAGUUGAAGUGGGUAAUUGACUGUCCAAUUGGAGACAGUUGUUACGAUAUUGGGUCCGAUUGUGUCUAAUUGCUGGAAGUUGUUGAUUUAUUAAGACACUAGCACAGUUCCUAGUUUGUUCGAGUUGCUGUUCUGUUGCAUUAUUGGGAGCUGUGCUCUAGUAUUGUGGCUACUUUCCUGCGUUUAUUUGUUGAAUUGGGAUAUGAAUGUGCCUAUUGCUCAUUUUGUUGCAUCUAAUUGACUUGCUUGGGGUAAUCUGCCCAUCAAUUUUAAUUACUCAAGUCUUUGGAGCAGUUGUUGCACAUUUGGACUACUUUGUUUCUAUAUCUGACUGAAUUGGGACCACAAGUGCUUAUCAAUUGCAUUUGCUAUAAGUAUUGGGGUAUUCGUAUAGAUUUUAGGAGCCUGCAUUGUGCAUUUUAUUGUUUGGGUUGCCUACUAGUUACCAUGGUGAAGCCACGAUCCUCCCCCAGGGGCCGAUGACUGGCUCCAACUUUCGAUGACAGUUGAGAGACUGGAGACUCGAGUGACCCACAUUGACAUCGACUUGCAUAACAUGGCGCAGAAUUUGGCAGCACUCCGCCCGACCCGCCCCUGUUUUGACAAUUUCAAGGAAGUACCGUUGCCCUUCUCUUUACUUUUGUUGUUGGUUUAUCACAUUGAGGGCAAUGUGUGAUUUAGGUGUGGGGGGAUCAGUUUGGGUGCUAGUAUUUUUAGUUUUUAGGUUCUAGAGGUUUUUCUUUUGUUUUAGUUUGAUAUUUAGUUCUUUUUUUUUCGUCUAUUUUAUUUUAUUAUUAUUAUUUUUUUUUCUUUCUCCUUUUUUCUAGUGGUCAGUCUUCAUAUGAAUACCAAGUUUGAUACUGGAUUGUUGUCUCUAAUUCUGCUAUUGCCAAGUCUUAUUAAUAAAAGGGUAUUAAGUUAAUGUGCUUGAGUUCAGGAAUAUCUCUUUGGUGAAUAUCGGUAAUUGCUUAACUUUUUCAAUUUUUGGUUAACUUUUCUAGGCAUAGGGAAUGAUUGUUGGCAUUUUUCAUGUGAAUUGGUUCAGUUAUUAAUUUUAGUUCUCCAUGUCUGGAAAUUUGAGGCUGGCUGCUGUUAAUCUUAUGUUGCUUUUAGAUAUCGUGUUAUAUGGUUGUAAAUAAGAGUUGACUGUACUCCGCUAGUGGUUACUACUGAGUAACCGGGGAUUUUCACCUAAAGUGUCGAUUCUCGCGUCAAAAGGUAGUAGUUGCUAUGAAUGCGUGGUCCUGUAGCGAUCGGAGCUGAGUAACCGGGCUCCUCCAUCUGAUAAAUGUUGGAGUUCGCGUCAAAAGGCUCUAAAUGGCUAGAGACUAAGUCUUUUGCUAUUCCCAAAAAAAAAAAGAAAAAAAACAAGUAAAGUUUGUGUUAGUAUUUAAAAAAAAAAAAAAGAAAGUCAGCUUGCCUAUUUGUGAUCUUAAUGUCGAGAUUUUGGUUAAUAGAUGGACCAUUUGCUGAUAAAUGUGAGCAACCAUUCCUUUUCCUUAGAUUAGUUUGCUUCAAAUUGAAGGAGUUGGUGGUUUAGAGGCUAAUCGGGGUGAUUUUUCUUGGAUGUUGACCUGUGAUGCUUGAUAUUUAUUUUUCUUGGACAUCUUGGCAAUACGGUAGUUGGAGUAACAGCCAUGGUCAACUUUUGGUGUUCAAUUGUUGUUCCCAUACUUGAGGGCAAACAUGAUUUAGGUGUGGGGGGAAUUGAUAGGGUGUUAAUUAUUGGUUAUUUUAUUAUUAAUCUCCCUUUUUAUCCUUGUCAAAUAUUGCUUAAUUGUUAAUAUUUACUCAUAUUUGGUAUCUGGAUUUAAUUUCAGGAAUGAAGUAGAAAACUACCAAAAAGGAGGGAUUUUAUGGAGAAUAUGGAAACUUCUAAGGGCUUCAAUUCUUGGGCCCUUGAAUUGGUGGGGACCACAAGCUAGUGAAAGGCAUUUAGUCAUUUGGGCUCUUCAAAAGAAGUUACAUAGAGAGACUUGGAGAAAGAAGUACUUUGGAGGCUUUGUCCAUAUGUGUGGGGACCACCUAGAUAGCUUUUAGUCAUCUUUCUUUUGUUGCUUUAAAAGGGGACAACGUACAGAAGCAAAGGACAUCUAGGGCUUUAGUUUUAGUUUUUUUAGUUUAGUUCUAGUUUCCUUUCUUUGGACUGGCCUCUGACACACGCCAGGUGUUCGACAAUAUUCCCCAACGGGAAGAUUUUCUCAUGAGGCGUGGUUAAGCUUUUCUAGUCAAGGGGACAACUGACGAUUUGGUUCGACAAUUACUGUGAGAUCGAAUCUGUUUUAAUUAUUUUCUUCAUUUAUUGGUAUUUAUAUGUUCCUUGAUUUUAAUUGCUAUGGCCUUGUGUAUGAUUGAUUAGUGCGCAAUAAUUAAUUAUUCAUAUAGGCUAUUUUUGCUAAAUAGGGGUAAUUGAAUCCGUAAUUGUUCGUUAUCUCUACCUCAGUAGCAACUGGCGUAAAUGGGUUUAUGUCAGGGGAGCAUAUGAUCUAAUUUAAACAAACCCUCGUAGCGUGUUUGUUGGUUAGGAUUGGGCCUUUCUAAUUAUUAAUGCAAUCUAGAAAUUAAAUCCUACGGUCGUACCUAGGGUUGUUUUUGGGUUAGAGAAAUAGCUAACGGUCGUACCUUAGCUAUCGAGAAAUUAAGGAAGGGUUGGUUGUUUAUCGCGUGCAUGACAACUAUAACUAAUCUAUUGCUAAAUGUUGGAAUUAUUUCUGCAUCAAUGAUCAGUGCAUGAACCAUUUCUGAUGUGUACCCUUGGCUAGAGUUUCCCCAAUCAUUUCUUUUAAUUAAUUAUUUUCUGCAGUUAAUUUAUUUAGUUAGCAUUUAAUCCAAAACCCCCCAUACUUUGGACUCUAGAAGAAACGAAUUAUCCCCAAUCCCUGUGGAUUCGACCCUACUCACCGCUAUAUACAAAAUCUGUAUCUUUAUUGAGUAGGUAUUUAUUAUUGUACAGGUUCGGCACCUGUCAAUUUUGGGGUGAACACAUUUUGUCAUUAAUUGUUGAUUGUUGGGGGACGUUUUUGGUAACACUUGAGUCUAUUUUGCUGAGUUCUGUUGAUAGAGCAGUUAUUUGGCACAUUUUACAGUGUUAUUUUGUCCUAAUUUUGGCUAUUCAUGGUGUUAAGAAUUGGAAUAUCACUCAUAUUUGAUGUUUGUGUGAAUUGUAGGUGGUCGGCAUUAAAAAUGACCUCUCAAGGCAAAUUUCUAGAAGACUCUUCGUCUCAGAGCAUGGCCACGCCAGAGAAGGUCGAUGUUACCGAAAAGCCGGACCCCGGUCCACGUGAACCGCAAGGAGCACGGGAUUAAAGCUCUAAAAGGCUAGCUUUUGUUUCAAUCAAUUGGGUCAGACAUGACUUGGCUCCUAGAGGCUUCAAUUAAAAAAGAAAAGAAAGGGCCAGACGUCGAGGGAAUGAGAAUGAGGAAACUAGGUCUACAUGGACCAGCUACACGGGAUAAAAACUCCAAUGAAGAGAAGAGCUCUGCUCCGCGUGGAUUUCCCCUGCGGCACUAUAUAAGACAACAAAAAAGGUGAUGCAGCGGAGAAUAUAGAUUAGCUUUGAUUUUCUUUUCGAGAGGGGUCAGGCGAUUGCAGACUUUUGUAGCUUUUCGGUUGUGACACUUGGACUCCUUGGCUUUUGUUUUGACUCUGCACAAUUUACGUUAGUUUUUGUUCGUACACUUGCGGCACCAAAGCAAAGACGAAGGCAGUGCCUUCUCUGUUGUUACUGCAAUUAAUUCCCCUUCCCCAAUUUUCGGCGAAUAAUUGAAUGAAUUCAAUUAAAUCACGCGGGAUUGACACGAUAAGGAGCGGCUAAUUUUCUCCUCUACCCAAAGGUUGACGCGAAGGCGCGGUCCAUAAUAUCUGUGAGAUCUAAUCGAAUUUUCAUUAUUUCUUUCAAUUUAUUGCUAUUCGUACGUUUCCUGAAUUAAUUGUUCAUGAGUAUUUUACUAAUUGAAUAUCAACGGCCGGGUAUUUGAUUUAAUUUAAUAGUCUACUGCCACGUUAAUUAAAUAGAAUCCGUAAUUGUUCAUUUAGUUAACACCUCGUGGCAACCACCAUAAUUGGCUUUAUGAUGGGAAAACGCAAGAUCUAAUUUAAAUAAACCCUCUUAGCGUAUUUAUUGGUUAGGGUUGGAUUCUUCUAGCUUUAAUGCAAUUGGGUAAUUAAAUUCUCACGGUCGUACCUAGGGUUGUUAUCUGGUUAGAGAAGCAGUCAAUGGUUGUACCUUGACUAUCGAAAAAGUAAGGAAGAACUGGUUGUCAGAGCUUAUUGAUAACUAUAACCAACCUAGUGAUGAAUGGAUGAAAUACCUUUGCAUUGAUGAGCAUCUGUCUUGAGUCCAUUGAAGUGCCGUUGGUUGAGUAAUUUCUGCGUCUUUUUGUUGAAUUGGAAGGCUAUUGUGACACUUCCAUUGCACUUUCGGAAUGCAUUGUUUCUGUAUUUGACUAAAUUCAGGCCACCAGUGCUUCUUGAUUGCAAUCACUGUGCUGUUGGGGUAUUUGUACAGCUUUGAGUACCUGAAUUGUGUUUGUGUUGGUUGGAGUACCAUUUAUAGAGAAUGGUGAGACCUAAAUCCUCCUCUAGGUCUAGGACACCUAGAACUUCUCAGCCUCCUCCCACCCUAGGGGCUAACGAUUGGCUCCAACUCCGAAUGCAAGUUAAGAGACCGGAGAUUCGAGUGACCCACAUUGACAUCAACUUGCAUACCAUGGUGCAGAAUUUGGCAACAAUUAUGCACCAUGCGGGUCUUGUUCCUCAGUUUCCGUCUGACCCACCCCUGUUUUGACGACUUCAGGGAAGCACCGGUGCUCUUUUGCUUACUUUUGCUAUUAAAUUAUCACAUUGAGGGCAAUGUGUGAUUUAGGUAUGGGGGGGAUCAGUUGUGGUACUAGUAUUUCCAGUUUUUGAUUUUUAAGUGUUUUUCCUUUGUUUUUAGUUUGAUAUUUUUCUCUUUUUCGUUUAUUUCUUUUAUUCGUGAUCAGCUCUUAUUUGAAUACCAAGUUUUGAUGUUGGAUUGUUGCCUCUAAUUCUGCUCUUGCCAAGUUUUAAUAAUAAAAGGGUAUCAAGUUAAUAUGGUUGAAUUCAGGAACAUCUCUUUGGUGAAUAUCAAUAAUUGCUUAACUUUUCCAAGUUUUGGUUAACUUUUCUAGGCAUAGGGAAUGAUUGUUGGCAUUUUUCAUGUAAAUUGGUCCAAUUAUUAAUUUUAGUUCUCUAUGUUUGGAAAUUUGAGGCUGACUGCUGUUAUUUUUAGUUAUUGUGUUAUAUGAUUGUAAAUAAUAGAUAACUGUACUCCAUUAGUUGUUACUACUGAGUAACCGGGGAUUUUCACCUAAAGUGUCGAUUCUCAUGUCAAAAGGUAGCAGUUACUAUGAGUGCGUGGUCCCGUAGCGAUUGGAGCUAAGUAACCGGGCUCCUCCAUCUGUCAAAUGUUGGAGUUCGCAUCAAAACGCUCUAAGGGUUAUAAACUAAGUCUUUUGUUAUUCAAAAAAAAAAAAGAAAAAAAGAAGCAGAAGAAAACAAAAGAAGCAGAUUGUGUUAGUAUAUGAAAAAGUCAGCUUGCCGAUUUGUGAUCUUAAUAUCGAGAUUUUGGUUAAUAGUUGGACCGUUUGCUGAUAAAUAUGAGCAACCAUUCCUUUUUCUUAGAUUAGUUUGCUUUAAAUUGGAAGAGUUGGUGGUUGGGAAGCUAAUCGGGGUAAUUUUUCUUUGAUCUUGACCUGUGAUGCUUGAUAUAUGUUUUUCUGGAUAUCUUGGCAAUACGGUAGUUGGAGCAAUAGCCAUUGUCAAAUUUUGGUGUUCAAUUUCUGCUCUCAUGCUUGAGGGCAAGUAUGGUUUAGGUGUGGGGGGAAUUGAUAGGGUGUUAAUUGUUAAUAAUUUUAUUGCUAUUUUUCCCCUUUGUCCUUGCCAAAUAUUAUUUUAAUUGUUAACAUAUACUUAUUUUUGGUAUUUGGACCAAUCUACAGGAAGUGGAACUGACAAAUGCUAAAAAGGAGAUUUUAUUGAGAAAAAUCCUUCACAUGCUAGAGCCUCCAGCGGAUAUACAAGUUGGGCCCACAUGGUGUUACAAAUUCGGUUGCUGAUGGGGAGCUCUUAUUAUUGGGAGUUGACUUGUACGUGUAGGAGUCCUCCUACCAAGAGGAAACAAGAAAAAAGGAAUUCGGCAGAGGCCCAUCUUUUGUACUUAGCUUUCUCAAUUCGGUAGGGACCAUGGACUAGAGGUUUUCAUUAGUGAUUGGACUUUAAAAGGGAAGAAACGUAUAGAGGCUUGGGGAUUAUUAUGAUUAGCGUAGCUUUAGUUUUAGUGGUUAGCUAGCGUUUCCUUUUCAUGCGCACGAGGUGCUCGACAAUAUUUUUCAACGGGAAAAAAAAACAUCUUUUACUCUUGCUUUCUAGUGAAAAACUUGAUGCCUUUGCAAUCAAUUAAUUUGCGUGGAGAUUUAAUUAUGCGGCGUGGCUAAGCCUUUCAUCUAGUUAAGGAUCAACUCGAUGGUACAGUCCCAAAUAUCUGUGAGAUCUAAUUAGUUUUCACGCGUUUCUUAAUUUGUUAAUAUUUGCACGUUGCCUAUUUGAAUUUUCAAGGGAUUAUUUUGUUAAUUGGAUGUCAAGGGCCCGAUGUUCAAUAUGGCUUAUUAAUCUCCUUCCAAAUUAGUCAAUUAAAUCCGUAAUUGUUUGAUUGAUUAAUAUUAGUGGCAACUGGCGUGUUUAUACACUAGGGGAACGUGCAAUCUAAUUUAAAUAACGCUCGUAGCGUGUUAUUGAUCGGGGUUAGGUUUUUCUAGUUAUUAAUGCAAUUGAAAAAUUAAUUCCUACGAUCGUACCUAGGAGUAUUUUCUGAUUAGGAAUAAUCAAUGGUCGUACCUUGAUUAUCAAUAAAUAAAAGAAAAAUUGGUCGUUAGAAUUCGUCGGCGACUAUAACUAGCCUAUUAAUAAAUUAAGUGAACCUCCCUUGCAUCAAUGAUCGAGUAAGUGGACUGUGUCUGAGUAGUUGUAUCAUUGGCUAGAAUUUAUCUAUUCUUGAUUUAAUUCCUGCCUAUAUUCGUGCAAGUUAAUUAUUUAUUUUUAGUGAAUUUUUUAAUUAUUUUUAGUUUUACUCCGAUAAAAUCCUCCUUUAUCAAUUGGAAUCUCAAAGAGACAAAUAUCCCCAGUCCUUGAGGAGAUGACUCUACUUGCCACUGUCUACUAUUUAGUAAGUUUUGUCAACUAAUUAAUUCUGAUAUAUCGGAUUAAGCAAACUUUUCGAGAAUAGGGUGAAUCAAGUAACCCAUUACACACCUAGAGUCCCUGCUCCAGUAUUUAGGAUUAAUUAUUGACUGUUUUUAGUGGUAUUUAUAUUUUUAUUAUUAUUAUUGCAUAGGCUCGACACCUGUCAAUUUUUGUGAUGUUGACCCAAACAACAAAGGACGGGUUAUGUGAUGUUGACCCAAAUAACAAGUCUUCACUAGUGAAUGUGAUAUUUGUGAUAUCCACCUCUUUAUUACCAGUGGGCACGUGAGUUAUCUCACAAGGAGAUUCGCGAGUAUCAUCCUUUGUUCUUCAAUAUCAUCAACUUGCGUUGUGUGACAUGAGACCAUAUCAAUAUCAAAGAAUCUUUUAGAUAUGAAUUCUUUUAAAAUGAUAGAAACUCGCGACUUUUGCUUGAAUACUUGAUUUUCUUGAAGAUUGUGAUUAUUAUUAUUUUUCUCUAUAUUCUUCUCUUUUCUCUUCCAGACCAUUCUACUUCUUGUUAAGGCCUUGUUUACCUUAUUAGAUGGACGAGAGUUUCAUCUUCAUCUUCGCGUGAUCAGAGUUCAUCCAUCAUCAUCUACGUCUGAUUGUAAUGACUUCUCAUCUUCAUAUUCAUAUUUUUGAAGAGCUGAAGGGGCGAUUUUUUGUUCAACUUCUAUAGGAUCAAAUGAUCCAAAUUGAAUGGUUGGCAAUAUAGGUAUCGUAAACUUUUCGACUUCCAUGGACUGUAGUGAAUCAACGGAGGUUUGAUUCAUACUUGCUUUGUUUUUUUCAAGAAAAUUUUUUUCUUGUCUUGCCAAAUCCAUCAUCUCAUCUUUAAAGACAAAGUAUUUUUGAAUGGGAUGUCCAACCAAGCAAUGAUACUUGAUUUGGAUCAUCCGUAUUACUAAUCUCGUCAAGUCAGUUCAUCUUGGAAGCAUGAUCAAGUUCAUGCUUAACAAAUUAUCAAAUAUACUAGGAACAUCAGAAUCAAGGAAAUUGUACUUCUUGUUUUGCAUCUCCUUGAGUGUUGGUUUUUUCUUUCCUUCGUCUUGAUGCAUACUGGUUUUCUUGUCUUCUCUUUUAGCAGUUCUGAGAAUAAUCUUGAAAGGUGUUAUACUUGCAGCUAUGGCCUCUUUCUCACUUUGAUUGGGGGCUUGCCUCCUUUCCUCACUUCUUGUUUCUCCUUAGCCUUGCGAGAAUCAGGAAUUGGCGGCUCUUGUCCAUCAAGGUUAAUUUCUAUCUUAUGAGUUUUUGGGGAUAAUUCAUCAAAUAUUUCUGGUUAUACCCCUUACAAGAUAUAUCUGAAUCCCCAAUGCAAGUCUUGAAUACACAUCUCAAUAGCGGAAGACUCGAAAAUUCGAUCCUUACAGUUUAGGCUUAGAUUUUUUCGAGCGAUUGAUAAAGUUAAUAACAUGUUCAUUCUUUCACUAGCACAUAUUUUAGAGUUCAAUUAUGCUGACAGUCCUUUUCGUGCUAUAGAAGCAAUUAAGGAAUUCCUACUCUAAUUGCUCCCAACUGUCAAUGCUGCUAGAUUCUAAAUCUGUGUACCAAUCAAACGUGUUACCCUUCAAUGAGUGAACAAAUUGCUUAACUAGCAAGUCACCAUUAGUGCCAGCAUUGUUACAAUUUUCGACAAAGUGCGCAAUAUGUUGUUUAGGGUUACCUUUGUCAUCAAAUUAUUGAAACUUUGAAAAUUGAAAUCCUACAAGCAUCUUCAAACAUUUACUCUUGUGGUGUAAGGUUUGAUAUAAUUGCUAUAUGACUUGGUAUUUCCACCAAUCUUGUCCUUGAUCGUACCUUUGAUAAACUCCUUUAAAUUAUCAACAUGAAUGGUACUAUCAGGAGAGAUUGAAAACUCCUUCAUUAUUCGUGACUUGGUAUCCUCUUUCUCUUUCUUCCUUGAUGAUGAGUUACCUUCAUAUUUUUUACCAUGGCCAUUAGUUUGGCUAUUUUGGCAUCUUGACUUUGCACGUGCCCUGCUAGCCCUUCGACAAUUUGGCAAGAUUUGAAAUUUGAUCUCUACGGUUGUGGUGUUAGUCAUCAUGAUGGGCAUUACCACAGAAGUAGCUAAAUUGCUUGAGCUAUCAGCAGAUUCAUCAUGGACUCCCUUCUUGUUGGGAAAAAUCUCAAAAUUUUUUCUUUCAACCACAGCAUUCGCCUUAACCCUAUCUACUAAUUUCUUAGCCUUGCUCCUUGUCAUAGGUGUAGUAUACUGCAUCUCCUGAGUUGUUGGGAUGCCAGCAACUGAGCCUUCAAGAGCAAAACUCAUCUUCUUGGACUCCAUUGAUUCUUGAAACAAGUAAGCUAUUCAAAGAAAAGAGAUGAAAAACAGAGAUGGUCCCACCAGACGUGUCAUAAAAUUUGUGAGCAUAAAUUUUGUUGCCUAAAAUAAAGACAAGAAAAUUUGCAUAAAUAUCAAAUUUAUUAAAUCAAAUAAUAAAUGGGUUAUAAUUUUUGAAAAUUCUUGAAUUAAAGAUAUUAAUCUUCUAAUUCUUCUCUUCAAAAACUUCAAUUGAAGGGUUGAAAAGACUUGUUUACCGAUCAAGAGGGUGUUUCCUACGAUUUUGACAUAGAAAACCGCUGAUUUGAUGAUGACGUUAAAUAGUUGAUGUUGGGUUUGGAUUUUAUUCCACCAAUCGUUCAUUUUGUUGGAUUUGAGUUUUAUACCACCAACUGUGGGAUAAAACCCAAUCCCAAUAAAAUGAACGGUUGGUGGGAUAAUACUCAAAUCCAAUAAAAUGAAUGAUUGGUGGGAUAAAAUCCAAACCCAACACUUGUAUCUUUAAAUCUUCAAUGUCGAUAGAAGGAGGAUUUAUUUUAACUUGAUUUGGAUUUGAAUUUAAGGGAAAAUGCUCUCGAGAGAAUUUGACAGAAUUUCUUCAAAAUUUAGAAAUUUCAAUGUGUUUUUGUACUAAGAGAAUACCUUUAUUUAUAGGCAAAAUAUGUAGAUUAUGUCUUCAAGAAAAUUCUCCAGAACCUUCUUGCGUUUGGGUAACUUGUACCUCAAGAAACUCAUUUAACUUAGGUUUAAAUAGUGGGCCUAUUCAAAUAAUCCAUUGUGAAUUAAUACAUCAAUUAAUCCACUUUAAUUUAAAUGGGUAACACAUUGAUUUGAUUUGAUUUAAUAGCCCAUAUAUCAUUGGUCUAUUUUGUCAAUCAAAACAUAAUAGACUGCUAUAAUUUAAUUUAAUGUAAUCAAGAUCAAUUUAAUUUAUUUAAUCUUGACUAAAUAAAUUUUCUUUGUCUACAGCAUGUACGUGUAAUUUUCCAAAUAAUGAUACUUUUCAAAGAGAGUUUUCAAAUAAUGAAAGUUCUAAAACAAGGCAUUCACCGAAUGCGUGAAUGUAUCUUUUUAAACAACGCAUUUAGUCAAUACGUUUUUAAGGAAAAAUGCCUAUACAAAUAAAAGAAUGAAUUCUAUAAAUGUGUCUUUUGAGGAAACAACACAUUUACUAAGUACGUUUUUUCACUCUUUGGGAAGAAGUUCAAAAAACACCACCAUUUGAAAGGUAAUUUUAGAAAAUCCCACUUUUUGAGAAUUUACUCAAGCUUGUACUUGACAAAAUGUGUUGGGAAAAUUGUGACGUCAGGUGAAUUGUAAAACUGUUGUGCCAUCGUAAUGUAUGUUUUGCACUAGAUUGAGUAAGAAUUAUAUCAAAAUAGUCGGCCACAAUAUAGGAAUGUGAAAACUUUGUGUUAAGUAAGUUGUAAUAUUUUUGUAUCAUCUAACGUAUAUUUGAAAACGAUUGAGAAUAUAAUAUAUGGAAACAACAGGUCACAAUGUUGAAAUGUCAAACCUCUUGUUUCAAACCAAAUACUUAUUAAACUCCUUCAUAUCGCUAACGAAUUUUGAUUCUGAAGUAAUAAUAGUUUUAUUUAAUUAUUUGCCUUUUUUGGAACAAUAUUAAAAUGUAGCCAUAAAUUUAAAUUCCAAAAUUGUUGAAUACUUGAGGAAUUCUAGAAAUGGCACUGAGAGUCAAAGUUCACCUUAUUCAAAAGUCACCAGCCAUCUCAGAGUGCAUGUUUCUAUUGAGUUUCAGGUUCAAUGUGUACCCACUUCCACUUUUGGCUGAUCAAUCAGGACUAAGGUUCCGUUUGAUAAAACUGAAUCUGAAUUCUGAAAUCUGAAUACUGAAACAAUUAAUUUGCUGAAUUUUAAGUUCUGAAAAGAAAUAUAUGAAUGUCUGAAUUUUAAUGUUAAAUCUAUUUCUACUGUUUGAUAAACAUUUAUAACUGAAUGCUUAAUAAGUUAAAUUUGACAAAUUUGCCCUUAAUCUUUUCAUCCAAAAAAGAAGUAGAACCUAUGAUUUAAUUAGGUAAAAAUGUUAGGUAUGAAAAUGACAAUAUUUAUUUUUAAAUCAAAUUAAUAUAAAAGAUGAAAUAUAUUAUAUGCGGAGUGGAGAAGAUGUAAAAAUCAUUCAAAAUGGAGAAAAAAGAAAUAGAAAAUCAUUAGAUAGAGAAUAUUAGAUUGUUUAAUUAGAUAAGAAUUUUGAACAUAAUUAACAAACAAUGGUAGAUUUGAUAGAUAAGAUAAGGUAAUUGAAGUAAUUCUAUUGAUUCUUAUCAGAAUUAAGUAUUCAGUUAGGAUUUUUGUGCUGAAAAAAAUACACACAAUUUCAGCACUACUUAACAAGUUCAGCAAAUAGAUUUUCAUUUAUCAAACAUUCAAAACAUCUAAAUGUCUAAAAAAAUUUAGAUUCAACACUUUUUUAUAUUAUUAAACAGACCCUAAGAGAAUAAAAUAACUUGCUUGCUGUUAGCGAUGGCAACGGGGCGGGGUUGGGGCGGGGGACCCCUCCCCCGUCCCCCGCCCCGUUGCCUAUUAGUUCCCCCUGUCCCCCGCCCCCCCCCCCGCUUCCCCCGCGGGGUUAAUAAAAUUUUAUUAUAAUUAAAUUUUAAUAAAUAAUCAAUUACUAAAAUAUCAACACAUCACCAAAUUAUUAUUCAUUGUAAUUUUACAAUUAAAACUCAUAAAAACAAUCAAACAAAAGUUAUUUGAAUACAAUCCAAUAUGAUGAAAUAAAUAUAACUAAAAUAGUUAAGUUUUCGCUUUUAGUACAAAUGCAAUCACUAAUUCAUUAUUGUGUUUGUGCUUUUCUUUUGAGAAAAAAGUGUUAUUCUAUUAAGUGUAAUUAGAAAUUUAGUAUAAAUGUAUUAGUAAAUUUAGUAUAACUAAUUAAUAAAUUUUAUUAGUAGACAUGUAUAAUUAUUCAUAUAAUUGAUAAUAUCAAUUAUAUUACAUAAACUACUAUACAUUAUAUAAUACAUCUAACUAAUAAUAUCAUUAUCAUAAGUUUAUAACUAAUUAACUUACAUAUUAUAUAUAAUUAUAUAUAUAUUUUUUUUAGGGUGGCGCGGCGGGGGAUGGGGCGGGGGUAUACUCCCCCGUCCCCCGCCCCGUUUCUAAGCGGGGGGAAAAAUUCCCCCCCCCGCCCCAACCCCCGCCCCGAGAGCCCCCCGUGGGCACCCGCCCCCAUUGCCAUCCCUACUUGCCGUUUUUAAAAAAGGAUUCAUUAUUUUUUCUUUGAGCAUUGGUAUCUCCACCCUCAAUGACACUAAUCUGGAUUCAAUAUGAGGAGUGUCCGUAGAGGCUGACUCUUACUCGAGAGUAAAGACUUGACCCAGAGCUUUUCAAGGCGUCAUCAUAUGUAGGAGUCAAACUUAUGAACUCUGUGCAUAGAUAAUUUAGCUCCAGUCUGUGGAAUGUCUUGAUGUUAGGUGAGUUGUAAUAUUUUGGUAUCAUCUAAUGAAAUUUUUAAAAGAUUGAGAAAUAAUAUAGAGCAAAACACCAAUUUAUUCCCUAAAUUAUUUUGCUAAAAUCAAAAUACUCCGUAAAUUUAUUUUGAGUCAGUUUAGUCCCCCAACUAUUUUUACAAAGCUGAAAUAGUCCUUAAACUUUAUUAUGAGCCAAUUUAGUCUCUCAACUAUUUUGUUUAAGUGAAAUAGUACCCCACCUUUAUUUAUUUGGCCAGUUUGGUCCUUGUUUGACUCAUCCACCCAAUUUAUCAACCUUGUGCACUAACAAUCAGGGGCAAAAUAAGAAAUUUAGUCAAUGCCCUUACUAAAAUGAUAGAAGAAUUAGAUAUCUGGCAAAAUUAAAAACAAAAUUGAAUCAUAUAGAGAACAAAAAAAUAUAGUGUUUCUUAUGGAGGAAAAAAAUGGAGCUGAUGCCUAAAAUCUCACAUGGAUCCAACUCAGUCCAUUGAAUGGAGAAAAGGGAAAAUAACACAACAAGAAUAUGUUAAAAGUUGGAAAAUGUGCUAUAAUUAUGAUUACUCCUUUAAGAAAUAAAGCUGAAAGAAGCUCAAUUUCUUUUUGUUUUCCAUAUUAUUCAAUUUCGUUGUCGAUUUUUCGAUAGAUGUAUGUUUUUUUUUUUGUUUUAAUAAGGGCUAUGAUUGGAUUUCCUAUUAUGCCAUUGGCUGUCGAUGCUACACUUGAUAAAUUAGAUGGAUCAUCCAAAUAAAGACAAAAUUGGCUAUGUAAACAUUAGUGAGGGACUAUUUCAGCUUAAGAAAAAUAGUUGAGGGACUAAAUUGGCUUAUAAUAAAAUUAGGGACUAUUUCAGCUUUGUAAAAAUAGUUGAGAGACUAAAUUGACUCAUAAAAUGUUUAGGGACUAUUUUGACAUUAAGGAAAUAGUUUUGGGACUAUAAACAUUAGGUCACAAUGUUGAAAUAUCAAAACCCAUGUUUUGGACCAAAACUCAUAGAACUUCUUCACGUCGCUAACGAAAUUUGAUUAUGAAGUAAUGCUAAUUUUAUUUAUUAUUUGUUUCCUUGCUGGUCUUCUGUCUUUUUGGUUAUUCCAAAAUUGUUGAAUAUUUAAACGAAUUCUAGAAAGGGCACUGAGAGUCAAAGUCUUAUUCAAACAGCCAGCUAUCUCAAAGUACAUAUUUUUUUAUUAUCAGGUUCAAUAUGUAUCUAUUGCAAUUUUUGAAUGACCAGCCAUGACUAAGAGAAUAAAAUAAUUCACUUGCUGUUUUUAGAUAUGAAUUCAUGACUGUCAGUAGUCUAUAAAUACACUUAUUGCUCACCACUCUUUGCACCGCAAAAUCUCUUCAAGAUCCAACAAACCCUCCUGUUCUUGGUCUUUGUCCAUUUGUGAAAAAACAAAUUAAAGCGUCAUGGCCCCUAUCACUUGUAGUGCUGAGAUGACCUCCCCAAUCCCUCCUGCAAGGUUGUUCAAGGCCGCCAUCCUUGAUGACCACCCUUAAUGCCACAGGCUAUUAAGAGUGUGGAAAUCCUUGAAGGAGAUGGUGGCGUUUGAACCAUUGAGUUGAGCACAUUUGGUGAAGGUUAGAUGUUAUAUUAAAUGUAGAACCCCAAAUUUAAGGAUCUAAUAAUAAUCAAUGCGUGCAGGGUUACAGAAUUGGAGGGAUAAAACAAAUACUCAAAAUAUACGUGGAAGAAAAGAAAAAUAAUAAAUUCAACUCACAAUAUUAUUGAAAUUUCAAACAAUGAAGAAAAUCAUACCACAAUGAAUUCAACUGGUUCUAAUAAUAAUCAAAGCAUACAAGGUUACAGAAUUAAAAGGAUAAAACAAACACUCAAAAUAUAUGUGGGAGAGAAGAAAAUAAUAAAUUCAACACACAAUAUUAUUGAAAUCUCAAACAAUGAAAAAAGUCACACCAUAAUAGAAAACCUUGCUAAUGCUUCUAGAUUCUUUCUCUUGAGAAACCAACCUAAAUAAUGUUCUAUUUAUAAUCUACCAAACUUGUUAGGAAAGAAACCACUUGCAUAAGAAAUUACCAAAUAAUACAGAAAUUCCUAAAUCACACAACUACUAAAAACAUAACUCAAAUAAAACUAAAAAAUAAAUAAAUAUUACUAGGCUUAGUUUAAUUUGUCAACAUUGCCUCCUUUAAACCAUACUAUCCAUUGAGAUAGGUUCAACACCAUCUCGAGCAAUAAUUUCUAUGCAAAUCUAUGUUGUAGUACACUUGACAUGAAACUCUAACUUGUUACCAGUUAUUAAUUUCAUUUUUACACGUAACAGUGGACACACUAUGUAUUGUGUAAACAACUUCUCAGCAAUUUCUUCUUGAUCAAAGAACUCACUUAUACAAACCCAUUCAUCACCAGAAUCACCAUAUUUACCACCAAUGUAAGUGCCUAAAAAUACAAAAUCAUAGAUUUCUUUCUCGCUAAAAUUAUCAUCACCAAAUAAUUCAAAAUAACCACUACUACAAUCAUCCAAAAUUUUCAUACUGUCAGUCAACUCUUUUGGAGUAAAAUAUUUUUCAACUCCGAUGACAUCCAUAUCUAUUAAAUCAAACAUUCUCCCAUCACUUUGAAGAGAGUCCGAACCAACGAAUUUUUCAACAACAAUUUCAUGUUCUCUUCUCUUAUCAAAUCAAAAUUUUUUUCUUCUUUUGUCAAAUUACCAUAUUAUUUUUUUCAACAAAUUCAUUACUUCUAAUUUCUCCAAACAAGGUACGCAAAUCAAAACUAUCAAUUGAUUCAAAAUUUUCGAUAUCACCCAUAUUAUCAACAAAUCUAUCAUUUUUAAAAUCCACAAACCAAUACCAAUAAAUAGACUUCGGUUUGAAAGCAUAAUUUCUCCCAAUCGUGUGCAAAACAUAGUAAAUAUCCUUCCAAAAUCUCUAAAGUAUUUUAAUUAGUACGACCAAUAAAGGUUUUAUAAACACUUUUUGCCAUUAUUUUACGCAUCACUUGAAAGAAUAAUUGUGCCUUUUUCUUAAAAACAUGUUUUGACAACUUACUUGCAUCAACCCAACAAAGAAUAUCAUCCAAAUUACAUUGUUUAACAUAUUUUUCCACUAUUAAAAUCCAACCAAAAUAUGUAUGUCCAUUUGUGCUUAUAGGAGUCAAUAUGAAAAAUUUUUCACCGUGAAUCAGAUCUUUAUAAUAUUCCAUUAUUUAACAAUUUGUAUACCUGGAUAAAUUUUUUUCCUCCAUCCUGUCAUGUUUUCUUGGCCUCCCUGGUUGACUAACCAAAUUAUUGUUGUAUGUAUACCCAUGCUCGUCAAACCUCAUUUGUGUACACUCGUAAGGAGUGGUUCUGAGCUUCUUGUGAAUGCUCAGUACCAAGAAGUAGAAGAGAGAAUGCAUAAGAGAGAAUUAACUUGGCUAUAGAAAUAGGAAACAAUUGAGGGAUUUUUUAAGAAAUUAAUUCUCCAGCUACCACUUUUGGAAAUUUUCUAUCAACAACUAGUUACCAAAACACUAGCACAUAAUAAGAAAUCAGGAUAAUUUCAGAAACCUCCCUUGAGGCUUUUAAUAACCUCAAGAAGCUCCCCUCAAUAUUUUAAAAUUACACGUACCUUCCCUAUUGGUGCAAAAGUACUCUACUACCCCUAAUAGGAUACUCAAAAGACUUUUUUUUAUGGGAAAAAUGAAGCUCAGAAAUCCAAGCAAAAUCAAAAAAAUCAAUUGAUUUUCUCUUUUAGCCUUUUACACUUUUGCCUUCUACCUUUGCUCACUUUCCCAUCCCAAUCUUCCUACACCCGCUUUCCCAAUCCCCUUUCCCCAACUUUUCUCCUCUACUUCAAGACCAAUUUUUGUCUAUCUAUCCUGGCUUGUGCUUUGUUCCAUUCCCUUCCCUUCUCCUUCUUUGAUUUCGCCUACAUCUCCCUUUCUCUUUGCAAAAGUGACUAGGCUCAUGUCUCUCUUUUUCCCCCCUAUUCUAAGUGUAGUGGGUUUGAUUAUUUUGCAUCUAUUUUAUUUGAUUUGGGUUGAUUAUGGGUGAUAGAACUUGGCGAUGUCAAAUAUCAAAAGUUUGAUAGAUGGAUAUUGGGCUUUAGACAAUGAUUUGCUGAAAAAAAUGGCUGCAAUGAGACAAAGAGGCAAGGGGAUUUGAGUGUGGGGUUGAUUGUUGAUAAAUUGUUGUUUUGGACAAAAUUUGAGGUUGAGUUUUAUUAAAUUUGAUAGCAAGUGGCGAGUUUUGUUCAGGUUGCGGGAAAUAAAUUAGAUUGUGGUUUCUUGGGCACCCACAGUUGUUGGAAUUGGUUUUGAUUCAAAUUAGGGUGGUUACUUGAUUUUCCUAAUAGUGUUGCUUAAAAGCACACGAUCAUCAAAAUUCCUUAUUUUUAUCUUUUGUUUUUUCUUGUAGAAAAGAUUUCACGACUUUCGUGAUAGUCUAAUUUGGAAGAAGGCAAUCAAGGGAUGCAAUCAACAUUUAGCAAAAGCUCUUGUUCUUUCCUUUGUAAUUUUUAGGGUAAAAAGGGUAGUUUAGGGUAUUUGAAGGAAAUGAUAGUCUAUUGGGUCUAUUUUCAAGCAUAAAUAGUGAACGUAAGGGAGGUUGGUGUAAUUUCUGAAACCUAAGGGAAAUUGUCUGAAAUUGUUCGAGACCUCAGAGGAGGUUUUCGAAAUUAUCCCUAAGAAAUCAAAUGCGAAACUUGAUUAGUACACGCACACACGACACCGCACCACGCCGCGCGUGUGUUGAGGAUUGGUGUCCGUAACCAACGACAAGCAGGUUUUCAAUUUUUUUUUCCUUUCCUGGAUUCUCCAGAGAUGGUGUCAGCUUCUAUUAUUGAUGAGCAGGAGGAAAUCCACAAUAUACAGUACACAUCACCCAUAUUCUUUUUAAUUGAACAAUGUAUGAAAUUAUGGUGAUUCGAAAUUAAAUUAUAUGUUUAUUGGGCACUGAAUCCAAAAUAAGAGUUGGAAAUGUAUUGUGACAACAAUUGUUAACAUAGGCCACAAAUGAUCAAAACAAAUAUUUAAGGUUUAAUAUGACAUUAUGGGUUCAGAAUAUAGUUACUUGUUAUGAAACAACUAAAAGUAUGGAUAUCCAUUUGUAUUUUCAAGAGGAUCAAUUCAUAAUUCAUUGCUCCCAAGAGGAUUAAUUCAUAAUACAUUGCUACAUUAUGUAAAGGAAUUGCAUUGGAUGAACGGUUUCAAUCCAUAAAAGCUAUUUAUGUAUUGGAUGAACCGUUUCAUAUGGCUAUUCAUGUUCUUGUAGUAAUGAGUGUUUAAUAGAAUUGAUGUACCUUUAAUUUUGUAGUACCUAUAUAUACAGGUACUUUGGCACCUCUUGGGUAUACUUUUUGAUUAGUUGGAAUAAUAAGAAAAUUAUUCUUCAUUUCUGUACUUCUUUCUCUAAUAUUUCAAUUCCUAUUAUAGUAGUUCAUUUUUUUUAGUUUUACAACACGUUAUUAGCAUGAGUCUCUACUUUUGAACAAAAAGGUGAAAACGGAGCCUCUACCUUAAAAAAAAGUGAAACACGAGAUUCUGCCAAAAUUUUGCCCGUAUUUUUCCGGCAACUUCUGUCCACUUAUUGAGAAAUGGAUGCCAAAUAUUUGGGAUUAAAUAAUGGUGAUGAUGAUAUUUGUCUCAUUGAUAGUGCUACUACGCACACUAUAUUGAAAAAUAAAAAAAAAAUUUCUUGUAUGAAAAUGGGAGAGACAAAUGUUAAUACCAUAACUGGUAGUGCAAAAUUGAUUGAACGCUCCGGAAUAGCCUCUCUAUUUCUUCAUGAAGGGACUAAAAUUGUCGUAAAUAAUGCACUACUGUCUCCCAAGUCUCGGAGAAAUUUAUUGAGUUUUAAAGAUAUCUGCGAAAAUGAAUACUAUAUAGGGAUAAUGACUGAGACAAAUGGAGAAUUUUUAUUAAUCACAAGUAUCAUUUCUGGGCAGAAAUGCGUAGUAGAAAAAUUACCUUCUUUUUCUUCUAGCUUAUAUUAUGCACAAAUUAGUGCAAUUGAAAUUUAUCACCUAGUAGACCAGAAGUCUACUCAUCCCAAUAAUUUUAUGAUUUGGCAUGAUCGUCUCGAAAAUACUGAAUCUAUAAUGAUGAGACGAAUAAUCAAGAAUUUACAUGGUCACUCAUUGAAAAAUUAAAAGAUAUUAAAAGCAAAUGAAUUCUCCUGUGUUGCUUGUUCCCACGGAAAAUUAAUUAUUAGACCAUCACCAGUUAAAGUUGGGACUGAAUUCCCUACAUUUCUAGAACGAAUUCAUAGUGAUAUAUGUGGACUCGUAGAUCCACCAUGUGGACCAUUUCGAUAUUUUAUGGUGCUAAUUGAUGCAUCAACUAGAUGGUCACAUGUAUUUUUAUUAUCUACUCGCAACUUGAUAUUUGCGAGAUUGCUUGCUCAAAUAAUUAAAUUGCGAGCACAAUUUUCAGACUAUCUAAUAAAGAAAAUUCAUUUAGAUAAUGCUGGUAAAUAUUCGUCACAUGCUUUUGACAAUUAUUGCAUAUCUAUUGGAAUAACUAUUGAACAUCUUGUAACUUAUGUUCACACACAAAAUGGUCUAGCCGAAUCAUUUAUUAAAUGGUUACAAUUAAUUGCUAGACCAUUGUUGAUGAGGUCUAAACUUCCUUCAUCUGCUUGGGAAUAUGCUAUAUUAUAUACAGCAAUACUUGUGAGAAUUAGACCGACAAGUUAUCAUACUUAUUUUCCUCUAUAAUUAACUUUUGGUUAUAAGUCAAAUAUUUCUCAUUUACGAAUAUUUGGUUGUUCGGUUUAUGUUCGAAUUGCACGGCCCCAAUGUCGUAAAUUGGGUCCACAAAGAAGAUUGGGGAUAUAUGUCGGAUAUAAAAUCACCUUUAAUUAUUAAGUAUAUGGAACCAUUGACAGGUGAUUUAUUUACUGCAAGAUUUGCAGAUUGUCAUUCUAAUGAAUCACAUUUUUCGACAUUAGGGGGAGAUAAAAAUCAAUCGAAAAAGAAAAUCACUUGAAAAAUAUCAUUCAAUUUUCUCGAUUCUCGUACCAAAGAAUGUAAACUAGAAGUUCAAAGGAUUAUACAUUUGCAAAAAAUUACAAAUCAACUACUGGACGUAUUUAAUGACUCCAGAAGAGUUAUUAAAUCACAUAUUUUUAUUGAAAAUACUCCGAUUAAAAUUAAUGUCCUUGAAGGACAAAUUACAAGUGUUAAUGAGUGUAAAGUGCGCCUGAAGCGUGGGAGACCUCUUGGUUCUAAAGAUAAAAAUUCUCGAAAGAAAAGAGAAAUUGAUGAAUCAACAAUUAGUGACAAAAUUCAACCUCCUGAAGAAGUCGCUCCUAAAGAGCCAAUUCUUGAAGAUAAUGAAAUUAUAGAAAAUUCAAUAAAUUUUGUCGCUUCAGGAAAAAGUUGGAACAAAAAAAAAUUAUUAAUAGUAUUUUUGCAUAUAAUGUAGCACUUGUUAUUAUGGUAGGUAAUGAAGAUCGUGAGCAUAGAUCGGUUGAUGAAUGUCGACGUAGAAAUGAUUGGCCAAAAUGGAAAGAUGCGAUUCAAUCUGAAUUGGACUUACUAGCUACAAGAAAAGUUUUUGGGCCUGUAGUCCAAACACCUGAAGGUGUAAAGUCAGUAGGAUAUAAAUGGGCAUUUGUGAGAAAAAGAAAUGAGAAAAAUGAAAUCGUGAGGUAUAAAGCAAGACUUGCAACCCAAGGAUUUUCACAAAGGCCUGGAUUUGAUUAUGAUUACACGUAUUCACCUGUAGUGGAUGCUAUCACAUUUAGAUAUCUUGUGAGUUUUGCAGGACAUGAAAAAUCAGAUAUGCAUCUAAUGGACGUCGUUACUGUAUAUUUAUAUGAAAAUUUUGAAAAUGAUAUUUAAACGAGAAUCCCUGAAGGAUUCAACAUGCCUGAAGCAUGCAAAUCAAAUUUUAAAGAUAUUUAUACUAUUAAAUUACAAAGGUAUUUGUAUGGGUUCAAACAAUCUGGACGUAUGUGGUACCGCCUCAAUGAAUGUUUAACUAAAGAAGGCUAUACCAAUAAUCUAAUACAUCCAUGUGUCUUUAUCAAGAAAAAUGGACUAAUUUUAUGAUAAUUGUUGUCUAUGUUGAUAAUCUUAAUCUGAUUGGAACUCUUGAAGAGAUUCAAAAUAGUGUUGAAUAUUUGAAGAAGAAGUUUGAAAUCAAAGAUUUUGGAAAAACAAAAUUCUACAUUGAUUUACAAAUUGAGUGAUAGGUUGCAAUUUUAUCAUUUAUUUUAUUAUUAAUUUUCCCUAUUACUUAACCCAAUGUGAAUUAAUUAUUAGAUUCUACUCACUUUUAGUAUUUUACAUAUAUUUCAGGGAGUAGAACGAAAAUACCAUAAUAAGUGCCGAUUUGACAGUUAUCAGGAAAGAGUUCAAGUAGCAGGCAUCCAGGGCAUUUUUGGAACAAGGAGAUACAAGUCCUUUUUGGUAAUUCGCAGAGCGCAGCAUUAAAAGGAGGAACGAAGGGCUGAAGUAGGGAGUCUUCUUCCCCCUGGGAGGAACCGCCGCACAGCAGAGGGCUGUCUGGUCCUCUUAGUUUUUCCGUUUCUUUAGUUUUAGCUUCGGAUUUUGACUUUUCUUCUCGUAGGAAUUUUGGGUAGCCUUGAGCUUAGCAACUUUUGUUGACCCUUUUUUGGCCUUUUAGCUAGUUUGUUCUUACGCAUGGAAGAUGGCUGAAUAGCUGAGGCUUGUUCUUUGUUUUUCUUUGACUUUUCCUUUUGGUUUGCUUCCUGCGGACGCCCAGACCGAAGGAAAACUAUGAAGUCCCUUUUGUAGCUUUCUCUCUUUAUUAAAUAGACGAAUUGAAUUCCCUCAACUUGCGAAUUGAUGGCCGCAGCUUUUGCUUCAAUUUCUUGUGGGUUUAGUUCAUUAAUUAUGAACUAAUUCUACAAUUCUAGUCAAGGGGACAACUGACGAUUUGGUUCGACAAUUACUGUGAGAUCGAAUCUGUUUUAAUUAUUUUCUUCAUUUAUUGGUAUUUAUAUGUUCCUUGAUUUUAAUUGCUAUGGCCUUGUGUAUGAUUGAUUAGUGCGCAAUAAUUAAUUAUUCAUAUAGGCUAUUUUGCUAAAUAGAGGUAAUUGAAUCCGUAAUUGUUCGUUAUCUCUAUCUUAGUAGCAACUGGCGUAAUUGGGUUUAUGUCAGGGGAGCAUAUGAUCUAGCUUAAACAAACCCUCGUAGCGUGUUUGUUGGUUAGGAUUGGGCCUUUCUAAUUAUUAAUGCAAUCUAGAAAUUAAAUCUUACGGUCGUACCUAGGGUUGUUUUUGGGUUAGAGAAAUAGCUAACGGUCGUACCUUAGCUAUCGAUAAAUUAAGGAAGGGUUGGUUGUUUAUCGCGUGCAUGACAACUAUAACCAAUCUAUUAAUAAAUGUUGGGAUUAUUUUUGCAUCAAUGAUCAGUGCAUGAACCAUUUCUGAAGUAUACCCUUGGCUAGAGUUUCUCUUAGUUAUUUCUUUUAAUUAAUUAUUUUCUGCAGUUAAUUUAUUUAGUUAGCAUUUAAUCCAAAACCCCCCAUACUUUGGACUCUAAAAGAAACAAUUACUCCCAGUCCCUGUGGAUUCGACCCUGCUCACCGCUAUCUACAGAAAUCACUUUUAGUUUGAGCAGGUAUUUAUUAUUGCACAGGCUUCGACGACCUGUCAAUCUUUGGCGCCGUUGCCGGGGACUGGUGCCAGAUUAAAUUGUUUCUUUUUGAGUUUAUCUUGUUUUCAUUUUUUUAAUUUAUUUUUCUCUUAUUUUUUAUUAUUAUUAUUAUUUUUUUUAUGGCUGCUAACAUUCCAUAUUUUGAUGAUAGACUGGAUUUUGUUCCUGAAUGGGGUUAUGAGACUCAUGUUUUUCCUAACGAUCAAUGGGCUGUUGCAAAUUGUGGAACUUAUUUUGACUCAAGUUAUUCAACUGACACAUGCCCCGUAUUUCAAGAUAAUUUAAGUUCUCCACUUGAUACUUUUGGAGAUUUUUCACCCCAAUAUCAAACGUGGUAUGACCCUUAUUCAAACGGGUAUGAUCAAGGAUGGUGGGAUAAUUCCAAUUUUGAUUAUGCGACCGGGCCAAUGGAUUUUCAACAGCAAGAGUCUCAGCAAUCAUCCUCCGUGUCAGGUAUGUCUCUUGAAGAAAUGAUAGGUUUACUAAUUGCUAAUUCAAAUCGAUUUCAUCAGGAGACACAAGCGAGCCUAAAUCGAUUUCAUCAGAGGACACAAGCGAGCUGUCGCGACCUGGCGGAUCAACUGCGUCAAUUGACAGCCAGGAUGCAGCGAUUAGAGGCUCACCUUGAAGAAUUGCCCUCGCAAACCAAUAUCAAUCUUGAGGAAGAUGAGAGUGCAAUUGUCCGGGCAAAUGACAUGGAACUGCAAGAGUUUCAAGAAAACGGAUUUAAAGAUGCAGUUGAAAAGGAAGCUGAAGUGCAAGAAAUGAGACUCCAAGAUCAACUCGUUCAAGUGAAUGAAUCCAGUGAACAAUCUCCAAAUGCGGUGACAUCUUCUCCACUCCUUAAUCAAUAUUUUCCUGGCUCCUAUUCUUCAACUCCUGUUACUGAAAUUGAUUUUAUUAUACCAGAAAAUUUAAAAUUUCAUGACAGGAAUAAGUUAAGAGUGGAGAUGGCAAAAUAUCUUGAACCAAUGAAUGCGUGUGAUGGAGGAGUGAGUGGAGAAUGCAGAUCAUUGUUGACUUGUUUAGCGCCAUUUACUAGUCCAUGGAAGCCCGUAACUCGUGUGCCCAAGAAUUACUCCAUCUAUGAGGGUUACCAGGAUCACGUUGAAGAUGAAGCAUUGAAGCGAGCCACAAGAUUUUAUCCUCCAUGAGCAAAACAUGAUAAUGUCUAGCCAAAGACAUUAAAGAAAGGCGCUCAUUGGGAGGCAACCCAAUUUCUUUUAGUUGUUUGUUUGAUUUUAUUUGUUAGUUUAAAUCUGUCUUCCUUGAAUUUGACUGAUUUUGGGUGUUAAUUUUCGUUUUUACUGAUUUGUAGGUGACCUUCAGUCAUGACGCGCCCGCGUGGUGACGUGCAGGAAGCUCACGAUCAGAAACUUCUGGGAGCUCUCUUACCCUCAUGACGUGCCCGCGUCAAGUCACCUGGAGAGUUCCAGAUUCCGUGCCUUCAUGGUGUGCCCACGUCACGUUCACGGGAGAGAUAAGUAUUUAAAAAAAAAAUUCAAAAACGAUUGUUGAUUGUUGGUUAUCUCUGCUUUUGAAUCUCGAAAAUAAAAUUUGCUAAUGAAAAUAAAUUUCAAAAAAAUAAAAAAAAAUUUUUUAAAAAAAAAAAUUUAAAUUUUUGUUUCACGGUAGCUUAGAUUUUCAAAUCCUAAAAAAAAAAAAAAACACAGAAACUCUUUCUUAUCAACGUAGCUUUAGUGUCAAAUAUUUUAAAAAAAAAAAAGUCUCAAAUGAAAAAAAAAAAGGGCUUUUCUUUUUCUUUCUUUUCUUUCUUUCUUCUUCUUUCUCUUUUCUGUCUUCCUUCUCCCCUGUUUCUUCUUCCUCUCUGUUGACCGAAGCCCUCUGUCCGCCGCCGCUGCUGAAGCGCCCUCAGCCGUCGCGCAGCAGCUCCUCACUCGAAGACGCCGCGGCCACAGCACCUCUGCACGCGGCCUCCACCUCUCCAUCGCGCGCCGUCAAGAGCUCCGCCGACCCACGACGCGCGAGGCACCAGCUCGCGCGCCUCCCCCACCUAGCAACUGCUGGCCGACCAGCCCCACCACCAGCCCGCGCCGCACCUGCUGGCCGACCUAUCAACUCCUAAGCUCGCGAACCUCCUCAGCUCAGCUCCACCAGCGAGCUGCUCCUCGCUCACUCCAUCGCGUGAAGACCAGGCGAGCACGGCCCGCAGCCUCUCACCGCCACUGCGCACCUCUGACCAGCUCGCAGCACCUCUCUCUGCCCUCCGUGCGCUGCCCGCGCGUGGCACCAGCGCCUCCACAGCUCGUCGACGAAGCCCAAGCUGACAGACCACGCCGCUCGUCCACUUCCACCACUCGCGACGCACAGAUCAGCGCUGCCGUUGGUUGCCCAACCUCCCUGGUGCCAGGUUUUUCUUACUAAUUUUGUGGUCUACGAUUCCAAUUUCUUGAUGAUGGGAUUUUUGAUGAUUACGAUUUCAUUGAGUAAAUUUGAUUGGCUUGCAUCUGUGUUACUGGAGCCCGUGGGUUGGGUUAUGACCUGCAACUGAUUUGCCUAGUCUAAUAUAAUUGUCAUUUGUUUGGGCUCUUGAAGUACUGUCUAGUGUUGUUUGUAUUUCUUAGUGAAUUGAGUUUGCCGUUUGAUUUCAUUCUUCCCUGUGCGUACACCAGUGGUACUGGUUGUGGUAGUUGCCUAACAUUUAUUCAUUCUCAUUGGUGUGGCUGUUGGGAUUGAAAGCUCAGAACUUGUGACUAAGUUGUUAUUGCCUAAAUGCUGACCUGCUAUUACUAGACUUGCUGAUUUCUUGGGAGCAUUUGUUGGGAUUUUGGGUGGAUAUUAGCAAGUGGUAUAUUGCUUGAUUUUUUUUACCUGUGCCUUGCUUGGAGUUUCUAGUGCAUGUUUGGGGCUGCCUUGGGAGUUAUUUGCCACAAUUGAUUGCCGUUUUGGUUUCUUCUGUUUCUGGUACUGCUUGUGCUGAUGGAUUUAUCAGUGUUUUGGGCGGCUUAUUUGAAUUGCUUCUUCCCUGUGUGUUUGGUCAGCUGUUUGCUUGAAAACCCAAACCCUUGUGCUUAUAUUUGCUCCCAGUUGAGUUAUGUGUUGGACUUUCCAAUUGGUGACAACUUUUGGGCUUUAGGGGUGAGUUCAUUUUGUCAUUAUUUGCUACCUUGUUGGGGUCAUUUUUGGUUUCACCUGAGUCUAUUGUCCUGCCUUCUGUUUUGAGUCCAUUGGAGUGACGUGAGUUGAGUAAUUUCUGCUUUUGUUUGUUGAUUUGGAAGGCUACUGUGCCACUUUCAUUGCUUAUUGCUUAGUGAUUAUGUCUAAUUAACAAUGUGCAUAGCAUGGCGCAGAAUUUGGCAGCAUUCAUGUAGCAUGCCGGUCUUAUACCUCAAUUGGGUACCUCUAUUUGGUUGGCUGCGUUCUUAUUGUCCAAUAUCUAUGCUGUUUUCAAUGGAAUUGCUGAUCUUGGGUUAAGACUUUAGCUGGCCAACUGGAGCCAUUUGUUGAGAUUUUGGGUGAACUGCAAUACUGCACUCGUUUGUUCAAUUGGGAGGUUUCUUUUGGUAUUCUGGUUGAGUUAUUUCUAAAGUUGCCUGAUGAAUUGAGAGACAUAGAUGGCUAUUGCUCUGCCCUGAUAUUGCUUGGUUGCCAGUGCGCAUUCUCUAUGCCAAGUGGCAAGGAUGUCUCAGAACUCGGCUUCCCUCCACUGUUCCCUCCUAUCCCUUAGCUGUUCAGCAGGGAAGUCUCGUUAUCCUCUUCGCUUUAAUUAUUUUAUUACCUCCAUUGAGGACAAUGUAGGAUUUAGGUGUGGGGGGAGCAGUUAUGGUGCUAGUGUCUUUCGUUCAUUUUCUUUUUCUUCUUUUUAGUGAUUGGCUCGUAAGUGCAUGCCAAGGUUUGAUGUUGGAUUAUUGCCUCUAUUUCUACUUUUGCCAAGUUUUAAUAAUAAAAGGGUAUCAAGUUAAUGUGGUUGAAUCCAAAAACAUCUCUUUGGUGAAUAUCAAUAAUUGUUUUACUCUUAUAAUUUUUUGGUUAACUUUCCUAGGCAUAGGGAAUGAUUAUUGGCAUUUUUAGUGAAUUGGUCCGGUUAUUAACCUUAGUUCUCCAUGUUUGAAAAUGAGGCUAGCUGAUGCAAGUUUUCUUUUGGUUCUUGUGUUAUAUUGAGUUUUUGUGAUUUUUAGCUCUGAAUAAACUUGACUGUACUCCGCUAUUAGUUACUACUGAGUAACCGGGGAUCUGCACCUAAAAGUGUUGAUUCUCGCGUCAAAAGAUAGUAGUUCCUAUGAGUACGUGGUCACGUGGCGAUAGAAGCUGAGUAACCGGGCUCCUUCAUCUGGCCAAUGUUGGAAUUCGCGUCAAAAGGCUCUAAUGGCUAGCGACUAAGUCUUUUGUUACUAUUGAAAAAAAACGAGAAAGAAGAAGAAGAAAAAAAAAAGAAAAAAAAGAGAAAAGUAGAAAAAUGUGAAAGAAAAAGUGAAUGCUGUGUUAGUGUAUAAUAAAAGUCAGCUUGCCGAUUUAUGGAUUUAAUGUUGAGAUUUUGGUUAAUAGUUGGACCAUUUGCUGAUAACUGUUAUGCGUCAUUCCUUUUUCUUAGAUUGGUUAACAUGAAAUUAGAGGAAUUUAUGGUUUAGAAGCUAACCGGAGUGAUGUUUCUUGGACUAGACCAUUGAUGCUUGAUUAUUAUAUUUUCUUGGUAUCUUGGCAAUAUGGUAGAUGGAGUAAUAGCCAUUGGCAAGUGUUGGUGUUUAUUUGCUGUUCUCAUGCUUGAGGACAAGCAUGGUUUAGGUGUGGGGGGAAUUGAUAGGUUGCAAUUUUAUCAUUUAUUUUAUUAUUAAUUUUCCCUAUUACUUAACCCAAUGUGAAUUAAUUAUUAGAUUCUACUCACUUUUAGUAUUUUACAUAUAUUUCAGGGAGUAGAACGAAAAUACCAUAAUAAGUGUCCGAUUUGACAGUUAUCAGGAAAGAGUUCAAGUAGCAGGCAUCCAGGGCAUUUUUGGAACAAGGAGAUACAAGUCCUUUUUGGUAAUUCGCAGAGCAGCAGCAUUAAAAGGAGGAACGAAGGGCUGAAGUAGGGUCUUCUUCCGCCUGGGAGGAACCGCCGCACAGCAGAGGGCUGUCUGGUCCUCUUAGUUUUUCCGUUUCUUUAGUUUUAGCUUAGGAUUUUGACUUUUCUUCUCGUAGGAAUUUUGGGUAGCCUUUAGCUUAGCAACUUUUGUUGACCCUUUUUUGGCCUUUUAGCUAGUUUGUUCUUACGCAUGGAAGAUGGCUGAAUAGCUGAGGCUUGUUCUUUGUUUUUCUUUGACUUUUCCUUUUGGUUUGCUUCCUGCGGACGCCCAGACCGAAGGAAAACUAUGAAGUCCCUUUUGUAGCUUUCUCUCUUUAUUAAAUAGACGAAUUGAAUUCCUUCAACUUGCGAAUUGAUGGCCGCAGCUUUUGCUUCAAUUUCUUGUGGGUUUAGUUCAUUAAUUAUGAACUAAUUCUACAAUUCUAGUCAAGGGGACAACUGACGAUUUGGUUCGACAAUUACUGUGAGAUCGAAUCUGUUUUAAUUAUUUUCUUCAUUUAUUGGUAUUUAUAUGUUCCUUGAUUUUAAUUGCUAUGGCCUUGUGUAUGAUUGAUUAGUGCGCAAUAAUUAAUUAUUCAUAUAGGCUAUUUUUUGCUAAAUAGGGGUAAUUGAACCCGUAAUUGUUCGUUAUCUCUACCUCAGUAGCAACUGGCGUAAUUGGGUUUAUGUCAGGGGAGCAUAUGAUCUAGCUUAAACAAACCCUCGUAGCGUGUUUGUUGGUUAGGAUUGGGCCUUUCUAAUUAUUAAUGCAAUCUAGAAAUUAAAUCUUACGGUCGUACCUAGGGUUGUUUUUGGGUUAGAGAAAUAGCUAACGGUCGUACCUUAGCUAUCGAUAAAUUAAGGAAGGGUUGGUUGUUUAUCGCGUGCAGGACAACUAUAACCAAUCUAUUAAUAAAUGUUGGGAUUAUUUUUGCAUCAAUGAUCAGUGCAUGAACCAUUUCUGAAGUAUACCCUUGGCUAGAGUUUCUCUUAGUUAUUUCUUUUAAUUAAUUAUUUUCUGCAGUUAAUUUAUUUAGUUAGCAUUUAAUCCAAAACCCCCCAUACUUUGGACUCUAAAAGAAACAAUUACUCCCAGUCCCUGUGGAUUCGACCCUGCUCACCGCUAUCUACAGAAUUAAUUUUAGUUUGAGCAGGUUUUAUUAUUGUACAGGCUUCGACAACCUGUCAUUGAGCAUUUGAAAAGUGAAAUUUUUGUCCACCAAACUGCUUAUACCCGGAAGGUAUUAAAGUAGUUUUAUAUGGAUAAGGCAUAUACAUUAAGUACCCCAAUGGUCAGAUCAUUAGAUCCUAAUAAGGACCCUUUUAGACCGCGAGAGGAAGUUGAAGAGAUACUUGGUCCUAAAGUACCAUAUCUCAGUGCAAUUAGUGCACUAAUGUAUCUUGCUAAUUGUACAAGACCUGAUAUAUCAUUUGCAAUAAAUUUAUUAGCAAGAUUUAGUUCUCGCUCACAAGACGACAUUGGAAUAGUAUUAAACAUAUUUUUUGUUAUCUCCAAGGAUCAAUUGAUCUUGGCUUAUUUUAUUCAAAUAAAUCUAAACUUGAAUUGUUUGGUUAUGUUGAUGCUGGAUAUUUAUUUGGCCCACAUAAAGUAAGAUCUCAGACUGGUUAUCUAUUUACAUAUGGAGGUACAACCAUUUCUUGGCGAUCUACAAAGCAAUCAUUAGCUGCCAUUUCAUCGAAUCAUGCUGAAAUAAUAGCAAUUCAUGAAAUUAGUUGAGAAUGUGUUUGGUUAAAAUCAAUGACCCACUAUAUCCGGAAAAGUUGUGGGUUAUCCUCCGAAAAAGAAAAUCCUUCAACUAUAUUAUAUAAAGAUAAUGCAGCUUGUAUAACUCAAUUGAAAGGAUGAUAUAUUAAAAGAGAUAGAACGAAAUAUAUUUCACCAAAAUUCUUUUUUACUCAUGAUUUACAAAAGAAUGGUGAAAUUGAUGUGCAACAAAUCUGAUCAGAUAAUAAUUUGACAGAUUUAUUUACCAAUGCAUUGCCAACUGCAAUAUUUAAGAAAUUGGUGAAGAAUAUUGGAAUGCGACGACUAUAAGAUCUCAAAUGAUAUUUGCAUCCGGGGGAACAAUCAAUACACAAGAAUAGUGUACUCUUUUUCCUUCAUUAAGGUUUUUAUCCCGUUGGAUUUUUUCCUAGUAAGGUUUUAAUGAGACACAUUCUUUGUGUAAUGGACAUCCAAUGGGGAGUGUUAUGAAACAACUAAAAAUGUGGAUGCCCAUUUGUAUUCUCAAGAAGAUCAAUUCAUAAUUCAUUGCUUCCAAAAGGAUUAAUUCAUAAUUCAUUGCUACAUUAUAUAAAGGAAUUACAUUGGAUGAACGGUUUCAAUCCAUAAGAGCUAUUCAUGUAUUGGAUGAACCAUUUCAUAUGGUUAUUUAUGUUCUUGUAGUAAUGAGUGUUUAAUAGAAUUGAUGUACCUUUAAUUUUGUAGUACCUAUAUAUAGAGGUACCUUGGCACCUCUUGGAUGUACUUUUUGAUUAGUUGGAAUAAUAAAAAAAUCAUUCUCCAUUUCUGUACUUUUUUUUCUAAUAUUUUAAUUCCUAUUAUAGUAGUUCAUUUUUUUUUUAGUUUUACAACAUUACUCAAAGAAGAGGGUUAUUGGACUAUAUGUUUAUUGACCUCUACUAGGGAUGACAAUGGGGGCGGGUGACGGCAAUGGGGGCGGGUGACCGCGGGCACCCGUCCCGCGGGGGGCUAAUGGGGAGAGGGAUGGGGCCGGGGCGGGGGGUAGGGGAGUGUACCCCCGCCCCAUCCCCCGUCCCGCUACCCGCUUUAAAAAAAUAAAUAUAUAAAAUAUAUAUAGGUAUAUAAUUAUAUAUAUAAUAUAUAAUUUAAUUGGUUACAAACUUAUGAUAAUAAUAUUAUUAGUUAUAUGUAUUAUAUGAUGUCUAUUAGUAUAAAUAAUAUAAUUGAUAUUAUUAAUUAUACUAAUAAUUAUAUAUGUGUACUCAUACAAAUUAUUAAUUGGUUAUACUAAAUUUACUAAUACAUUUAUACUAAAUCCCUAAUUACACUUAAUACAAUAACAUUAUUUUCAUAAAAAAAACACAACCACAAUAAUGAAUUAGUGAUUGUAUUUGUACCAAAAGUGAAAAUUUGAUUACUUUAGUUAUAUUUUUUUCAUCAUGUUGGAUUGUAUUCAAAUAAUUUUUGUUUGAUUGUUUUUAUAAGUUUCAAUUGUAAAAUUGCAAUGAAUAAUAAUUUGAUGAUGUGUUGAUAUUUUAGUACUUGAUUAUUUGCUAAAAUUUAAUCAUAAUAAAAUUAUAUAACAAAUUUUUAUUAGCUCAGCGGGAGCACCCGCCGGAGAAGCGGGGCAGGGUGGGGACGGGGCGAGGGAAGCGGGGGAUGGGGGAGGGGUCCCCCGCCCCAACCCUCUUCCCCAUCUCCCGCCCCGUUGCCAUCCCUAACCUCUACUAACUUAUUUAAGGUCAUUUUAUAUCACUAUCCAAAGAAGAAUUAAGGUCAUUUUAUAUCACUAUCCAAAGAACAAUUCUUGGGCGUUAACAUUUUUCUUACAUGCCAAGACUAUUAAUGAAAGUUGACCCAAAUCUCUCUCUCUCUUUCUCUCAAUUCUUAGGACUGAUGCCAAUUCUUACCAUUUAGAAAGAAAAAUUAGAUUGUUUAUAUAUAUGAUGAGUUCCCUCUAAGUCAUGGUUAAGAAAAAUUCUUAGUUAGACGCAGUUUUAUGAAAUGUGAAUUUCCUUUUCUUUGUCUUUAUUCGUUAGUAUUAUUGGGGUUAUUGUAUUAUGAUUGCAAUGCACAGAUACAUGGAUUUUUGACAUUUUUUUCUCAUUUUUUCUUUUUAAUUGACUCUGACUAUGUCUCAAACUCGAGACAUCAAACCUGGAGAAGACUUUUGUCCAAAAUGCUUGUAAAAAUUCAGAAGAAUAAUGUUGGACCUUAUUAUUUAAUAAUGGUGCAAUUAUGAGAGUCAUUCCUGGUUUAAUUAUCAACAUCAUGUCAUUAUUAUUUUUUUGUUUCAUAGAAAAAUAAAGUAUUCUCCGACUCGACAUUAUCAUAUUAUUUUCAAUUGGCAGCUUUAAGUGAGAAAGGCCGGUGAAAAUUUUGGGCAUUACUAGUUUAUUUAGGCCUCACGCGCUCCGUGAAGGUGCCGACGUCAUCUUCGUUUUAAUGGAAAAAUUUGAGCGCGCUUUGAUCAUAAGGAAUUCACAAUCAUCGGGCCAACAAAGAAAGCACUAAAUGGUUAAAACAAACCAUGCAAAUUUGCUCAGCACUUAAACAAUAGACUCCUAAACCGACCAUUUUACUGUCUUGCCAAAAAAGGGCAUUAAAGUAAAAACAACCCAUGCCUAACACAACUAACAAACUUCAGCACCUUCACUUCACUGCCACGUCAUCAACAACAUCUGUAAAUUUCCAAGGAAGUCCACGCACUAAAGGUGCCAUGGGGGACCUCAGGUUAGUGUUCUUAACAUCAACUCCUGUCUUUAUAUUCUUAGGAAAUAUUGAAAUUAAACAUUAUAACUAAUCCUGAUUUCCUUAUGCUGUAUUUGUACACAAUUUGGCAACUUGAUAAAAAGUUUGUUCCAAUUUAUUCCAAUUUAAUUUGUCAGCUAGUCGAAUCUAAUUUGAAUAGUAUUUAACUUUGAAAUUUGAUAAAAAGUUUGUUCAAACUUGGUUUACUAAAUAAACAAGUUAAGUUUGAACAAAAUUUCAAACUUAUUAAAAUAAUUAAAUACGUUUGAAUACUAGGGUAUUCAAUUUAAUUAGACUCGUUUGCACCCAUAAUUAAAGCAUGCACUUUUUUAUAAAUUUAGGAAUCAACAUUAUCUAUUUGAUAGCUAGCUAAUGGCCCAAAAAGUUAAUUGCCUUAAAUUCUUUUAGCAGCCAUAAAGUAUAGUUGGAGGGAUUCCCUUGAAAUUGAUUAGAUUCUUCUAUGUGACUGUGACGUAUUACUAGUCCUACCCAAAAAAAAAUGGUAUUACUAGUCCUUUUUUCUUUUUGUGGCGUGCCACCGCCGUAGGGGGCGGGGAGGGCAGUCAGUGCGAGAAUUCUAGAUGGGGUAGAAGUAGCCAAAGUUCACCUUAUUCAAAGUAAACAACCGACAAUCUCAGUUGUCGACUUUCCUGUCGAUUGCGUAUAUAUUACUAUCUUUUACCAUGACUUUAGAGGAUACCUAAUUUUGCUUGCUAUUAAAUAAUAAUUCCUGGCACCACAUAAUUCUUUCAAGAACUACCAAAACCUUCUUGAAAUCCCUCUUUUUCCUUUUAGUUCAUUUCCAAGAAACAAAUUGAACCAUCAUGGCCCCUGUCACUUCCAGUUAUGAGGUCACCUCCUCAAUCCCUCCUGCAAGGUUGUUCAAGGCCACCAUCCUUGAAGAGAAGCAUCUUCACAAGAUCUUGCCACAGGGCGUUAAGAGUGUCGAAAUCCUUGAAGGAGAUGGUGGAGUUGGCACAAUUAAGUUGACCACAUUUGUUGAAGGUAAGAUAUCAAUACAAAGUGAUUAUUUUCACACAUUUGAAGUCCUCAAAAUGUUCUUUUUUUUUUUUAACAUUUUAUUUGUGGGGGUAAGUAUGUAUGUAAGCCCUAAUAACCUUUUUUUUUUUGUUGGGUUAAAUAUUUAGGUGGCGAGCUUAAGACUGCCAAACAGAGAGUUGAUGGAAUUGACAAAGAAAAAUUUACAUACAGUUAUACUGUACUUGAAGCUGAUGGAUUUAACGAUGUAAUCGAGAAAAUCUGUUGUGUCAUCAAAUUUGAACCCUCUGCUGAUGGAGGUUCAAUCUGCAAAACCACUAAUACAUACUACCCCAAAGGUGGUGCUCAGAUCAGUGAGGAACACCUCAAGGGAGGAAAAGAGAAGGGUUUGGGAAUGGUUAAGGCUGUUGAGGCUUACCUCCACGCAAAUCCUACUGCCUACAACUAAUUAAAAUGAAUGCUACUGAAGGACUCUUCGACAUAUUUUCUUCAAGAUUGAAGUAUAAACUGAGGGUGUCUGUUUCCUUUUUUGCUUGGUUUGCUUAAGCUGUUUGGUUAAGUUAUUCGCAGCAAGAGAAUAAAAUAAUUCACUUGCUGUUUUUAGAUAUGAAUUCAUGACUGUCAGUAGUCUAUAAAUACACUUAUUGCUCACCGCUCUUUGCACCGCAAAAUCUUUUCAAGAUCCAUCAAACCCUCCUGUUCUUGAUCUUUCUCCAUUUGUGAAAAAACAAAUUAAAGCAUCAUGGCCCCGAUCACUUGUAGUGCUGAGAUGACCUCCCCAAUGCCUCCUGCAAGGUUGUUCGAGGCCGCCAUCCUUGAUGACCACCUUCUUCCCAAGAUCAUGCCACAGGCUAUUAAGAGUGUGGAAAUCCUUGAAGGAGAUGGUGGAGUUUGAACCAUUAAUUUGAGCACAUUUGGUGAAGGUUAGAUGUUAUAUUAAAUGUAGAACCCCAAAUUUAAGGAUCGAAUAAUAAUCAACGCAUGUGGGGUUAUAGAAUUGAAGGGAUAAAACAAAUACUCAAAAUAUACGUGAAAGAAAAGAAAAUAAUAAAUUCAACUUACAAUAUUAUUAAAUUUUCAAACAAUGGAAAAAAUCAUACCACAAUAAAUUCAGCUGGUUCUAAUAAUAAUCAAAGCAUACAAGGUUACAGAAUUAAAAGGAUAAAACAAACGCUCAAAAUAUAUGUGGGAGAGAAGAAAAUAAUCAAUUCAACACACAAUAUUAUUGAAAUCUCAAACAAUGAAAAAAGUCACACCAUAAUAGAAAACCUUGCUUAUUCUUCUAGAUUCUUUCUCUUGAGAGACCAACCUAAAUAAUGUCCUAUUUAUAAUCUACCAAACUUGUUAAGAAAGAAACCACUUGCAUAAGAAAUUACGAAAUAAAUUAGAAAUUCCUAAAUCACACAACUACUAAAAACAUAACUCAAAUAAAACUAAAAAAUAAAUAAAUAUUUCUAGGCUUAGUUUAAUUUGUCAACAUUGCCUCCCUUAAACCAAAUUAUUCAUUGAGAUAGGUUCAACACCAUCUCGAGCAAUAAUUUCUAUGCAAAUCUAUGUUGUAGUACAUUUGACAUGAAACUCUAACUUGUUACCAGUUAUUAAUUUCAUUUUUACACGUAACAAUGGACGCACUAUAUAUUUUGUAAAAAAUUUCUCAGCAAUUUCUUCUUGAUCAAAGUACUCAUUUAUACAAACCCAUUCGUCACCAGAAUCACCAUAUUUACCACCAAUGUAAGUGCCUAAAAUUAAAAAAUCAUAGGUUGCUUUCUCGCUAAAGUUAUCAUCACCAAAUAAUUCAAAAUAACCACUACUACAAUUAUCCAAAAUUUUCAUACUGUCAGUCAACUCUUUUGGAGUAAAAUAUUUUUCAACUCCGAUGACAUCCAUAUCUAUCAAAUCAAACAUUCUCCCAUCACUUUGAAGAGAGUCCGAACCAACAAAUUUUUCAACAACAAUUUCAUGUUCUCUUCUUUUAUCAAAUCAAAAUUUUCUUCUUCUUUUGUCAAAUUACCAUAUUAUUUUUUUCAACAAAUUCAUUACUUCUAAUUUCUCCAAACAAGGUAUGCAAAUCAAAACUAUCAAUUGAUUCAAAAUUUUCGAUAUCACCCAUAUUAUGAACAAAUCUAUCAUUUUUAAAAUCCACAAACCAAUACCAACAACUAGACUUCAGUUUGAAAGCAUAAUUUCUCUCAAUCAUGUGCAAAACAUAGUAAAUAUCCUUCCAAAAUCUCUAAAGUAUUUUAGUAUGACCAAUAAAGGUUCUAUAAAUACUUUCUGCCAUUAUUUUACGCAUCACUUGAAAGAAUAAUUGUGCCUUUUUCUUAAAAACAUGUUUUGACAACUUACUUGCAUCAACCCAACAAAGAAUAUCAUCCAAAUUGCAUUGCUUGACAUAUUUUUCCACUGUUAAAAUCCAAUUAAAAUAUGUAUGUCUAUUUGUGCUUAUAGGAGUCAAUAUGAAAAAUUUUUCACCGUCAAUUAGAUCUUUAUAAUAUUCCAUUAUUUAACAAUUUCUAUACCUGAAUAAAUUUUUUUCCUCCAUCCUGUCAUGUUUUCUUGGCCUCCCUGGUUGACUAACCAAAUUAUUGUUGUAUGUAUACCCAUGCUCGUCAAACCUCAUUCGUGUACACUCGUAAGGAGUGGUUCUGAGCUUAUUGUGAAUGCUUAGUACCAAGAAGUAGAAGAGAGAAUGCAUAAGAGAGAAUUAACUUGGCUAAAGAAUUAGGAAACAAUUGAGGGAUUUUUUAAGAAAUUAAUUCUCCAACCGCCACUUUUGGAUCUUUUCUAUCUACAACUAGUUACCAAAACACUAGCACAUAGUAAGAAAUCGGGAUAAUUUCAGAAACCUCCCUUGAGGCUUUUAAUAAUCUCAAGAAGCUCCCCUCAAUAUUUUAAAAUUACACGUACCUUCCCUAUUGGAGCAAAAGUACUCUACUACCCCUAAUAGGAUACUCAAAAGACUUUUUUUAUGGGAAAAAAGAACCUCAGAAAUCCAAGCGAAAGCAAAAAAAUCAAUUUAUUUUCUCUUUUAGCCUUUAACGCUUUUGCCUUCUACCUUUGCUCACUUUCCCAUGCCAAUCUUCCUAUAACCACUUUCCCAAUCCCCUUUCCCCAACUUUUCUCCUCUACUUCAAGACUAAUUUUUGUCCAUCAAUCCUGGCUUGUGCUUUGUUCCAUUCCCUUCCCUUCUCCUUCUUUGAUUUCCCCUACAUCGCCCUUUCUCUUUGCAAAAGUGACUAGGCUCAUCUCUCUCUUUUUUCCCCUUAUUCUAAGUGUAGUGGGUUUGAUUAUUUUGCAUCUAUUUUAUUUGGUUUUGGUUGAUUAUGGGUGAUAAAACUUGGUGAUGUCAAAUAUCAAAAGUUUGAUAGAUGGAUAUUGGGCUUUAGACAAUGAUUUGCUAGAAAAAAAUGGCUGCAAUGAGAGGAAAAGGCAAGGGGAUUUGAAUGUGGGGUUGAUUGUUGAUGAAUUGUUGUUUUGGACAAAAUUUGAGGUUGAGUUUUGUCAAAUUUGGUAGCAAGUGGCGAGAUUUGUUCAGGUUUCGGGAAAUAAAUUGGAUUGUGGUUUCUUGGGCACCCACAGUUGUUGGAAUUGGUUUUGAUUCAAAUAAAGGUGGUUACUUGAUUUUCCUAAUAGUGUUGCUUAAGAGCACACGAUCAUCAAAAUUCCUUAUUUUUAUCUUUUUUUUUUUGUAGAAAAGAUUUCAUGACUUUCGUGAUAGUCUAAUUUGGAAGAAGGCAAUCAAGGGAUGCAAUCAACAUUUAGCAAAAGCUCUUGUUCUUUUCUUUCUAUUUUUUAGGGUAAAAAGGGUAGUUUAGGGUAUUUGAAGGAAAUGAUAGUCUAUUGGGUCUAUUUUGAAGCAUAAAUAGUGAACGUAAGGGAGGUUGGUGUAAUUUCUGAAACCUAAGGGGAAUUGUCUAAAUUGUCCGAGACCUCAGAGAAGGUUUUCGAAAUUAUCCCUAAGAAAUCAAAUGCGAAACUUGAUUAGUACACACACACACGACACUGCACCACGGCACGCGUGUGUUGAGAACUGAUGUCCGUAACCAACGACAAGCAGGUUUUCAAUUUUUUUUUCCUUUCCUGGAUUCUCCAGAGAUGGUGUCAGCUUCUAUUAUUGAUGAGCAGGAGGAAAUCCACAAUAUACAGUACACAUCACCCAUAUUCUUUUUAAUUGAACAAUGUAUGAAAUUAUGGUGAUUCGAAAUUAAAUUAUAUGUUUAUUGGGCAACGAAUCCAAAAUAAGAAUUGGAAAUGUAUUGUGGCAACAAUUGUUAACUUAGGCUACAAAUGAUCAAAAUAAAUAUUUAAGAUUUAAUAUGACAUUAUGGGUUCAAAAUAUAGUUACUUGUUAUGAAACAACUAAAAGUGUGGAUGUCCAUUUGUAUUCUCAAGAGGAUCAAUUCAUAAUUCAUUGCUCCCAAGAGGAUUAAUUCAUAAUUCAUUGCUACAUUAUGUGAAGGAAUUACAUUAGAUGAACGGUUUCAAUCCAUAAGAGCUAUUCAUGUAUUGGAUGAACCGUUUCACAUGGCUAUUCAUGUUCUUGUAGUAAUAAGUAUUUAAUAGAAUUGAUGUAUGUUUAAUUUUGUAGUACCUAUAUAUAGAGGUACCUUGGCACCUCUUGGCUGUCCUUUUUGAUUAAUUUGAAUAAUAAGAAAAUCAUUCUCUAUUUCUAUACUUCUUUCUCUAAUAUUUCAAUUCUUAUUAUAGUAGUUCAUUAUUUUUUUAGUUUUACAACACGUUAUCAGCACGAGUCUCUAUUUUUGAAUAAAAAACUGAAAAUGGAGCCUAUACCUUAAAAAAAGCAAAAAAUGUGAUUCUGCUGAAAUUCUGCAUGUAUUUUUCCGGCAACUUCUAUCUACUUAUUGAGAAAUGGAUGCCAAAUAUUUGGGAUUAAAUAAUGGUGAUGAUGACAUUUGUCUCAUUGAUUGUACUACUACGCACACUAUAUUGAAAAAAAAAAUUCUUGUAUGAAAAUGGGAGAGACAAAUGUUAAUACCAUAAGUGGUAGUGCAAAAUUGAUUGAAAGUUCUGGAAGAGCCACUCUAUUUCUUCCUGAAAGGACUAAAAUUGUCGUAAAUAAUGCACUACUAUCUCUCAAGUCUUGAAGAAAUUUAUUCAGUUUUAAAGAUAUCUGCGAAAAAUGGAUAUCAUAUCGGGACAAUAAAUGAGACAAAUGGAGAAUUUUUAUUAAUCACAAAUAUCAUUUCUGAGCAGAAAUACGUAGUAGAAAAAUUACCUUCUUUUUCUUCUGGCUUAUAUUAUGCACAAAUUAGUGCAAUUGAAAUUUAUCACCUAGGAGACCAGAAUUCUACUCAUCCCAAUAAUUUUAUGAUUUGGUAUGAUUGUCUCGAAAAUCCUAGAUAUAUAAUGAUGAGGCAAAUAAUUGAGAAUUCACAUGGUCACUCAUUGAAAAAUCAAAAGAUAUUAAAAGCAAAUAAAUUCUCUUGUGUUGCUUGUUCCCACGGAAAAUUAAUUAUUAGACCAUCACCAGUAAAAGUUGGGACUGAAUCCUCUACAUUUCUAGAACGAAUUCAUGAUGAUAUAUGUGGACUUGUAGAUCCACCAUGUGGACCAUUUCGAUAUUUUAUGGUGCUAAUUAAUGCAUUAACUAGAUGAUCACAUGUAUGUUUAUUAUCUACUCGCAACUUGGCGUUUGCGAGAUUGUUUGCUCAAAUAAUUAAAUUGCGAGCACAAUUUUCAAACUAUCCAAUAAAGAAAAUUCAUCUAGAUAAUGCUGGUGAAUAUUCGUCACAUGCUUUUGACGAUUAUUGCAUGUCCAUUGGAAUAACUGUUGAACAUCCUGUAACUUAUGUUCACAUUCAAAAUGGUUUAGCCGAAUCAUUUAUUAAAUGGCUAUAAUUAAUUACUAGACCAUUGUUGAUGAGAUCUAAACUUCCUUCAUUUGCUUGGGAACAUGCUAUAUUACAUGUAGCAAUACUUGUGAGAAUUAGAUCGACAAGUUAUCAUACUUAUUUUCCCCUAUAAUUAACUUUUGUUUUUGAGUCCAAUAUUUCUCAUUUACGAAUAUUUGGUUGUUCGAUUUAUGUUCUAAUUAUACCGUCCCAACAUCGUAAAUUAGACCCGCAAAGAAGAUUGGGGAUAUAUGUUGAGUAUGAAUCACCUUUAAUUAUUAAGUAUAUGGAACCAUUGACAGGUGAUUUAUUUACUGCGAGAUUUGCAGAUUGUCAUUUUGAUGAAUCACAUUUUUCGACAUUAGGGGGAGAUAAAAAUCAACCGAAAAAGAAAAUCACUUGAAAAAUAUCUUUGAAUUUCCUCGAUUCUCAUACCAAAGAAUGUGAACUAGAAGUUCAAAAGAUUAUACAUUUGCAAAAAAUUACAAAUCAAUUACCGGACGCAUUUAAUGACUCCAGAAAAGUUACUAAAUCACAUAUUCCUAUUGCAAAUGCUCCGAUUAAAUUAAUGUCUUUGAAGGACAAAUUACAAAUGUUAACGAGUCUAAAGCGUACCUAAAGCGUGGAAGACCUCUUGGUUCCAAAGAUAAAAAUUCUCGAAAGAAAAGAGGAGUAGAUGAAUCAACAAUUAGUGACAAAAUUCAACUUCCUGAAGAGGUCGCUCCUAAAGAGCCAAUUCUUGAAGAGAAUGAAAUUAUAGAAAAUUCAUUAAAUUUUGUCAUUUCAGGAAAAAGUUAGAAUCGAAAAGAAAUAAUUAUUGAUAGUAUUUUUGCAUAUAAUAUACCACUUGAUAUUAUGGUAGAGAAUAAGGAUCACGAGCCUAGAUAGGUUGAUGAAUGUCGACGUAGAAAUAAUUGGGCAAAAUGGAAAGAUGUGAUCCAAUCUGAAUUGAACUCACUGGUUAAAAGAAAAGUUUUUGGACCUGUAGUCCAAACACCUGAAGGUGUAAAGCCAGUAGGAUAUAAAUGGAUAUUUGUGAAAAAAAAAAUGAGAAAAAUGAAAUCGUGAGGUAUAAAGCAAGACUUCUAGCCCAAGAAUUUUCACAAAGGCUUGGAUUUGAUUAUGAUUACACGUAUUCACCUGUAGUGGAUGCUAUCACAUUUAGAUAUCUUGUGAGUUUUGCAGUACAUGAAAAAUCAGAUAUGCAUCUAAUGGACGUCGUUACUGCAUAUUUAUAUGAAAAUCUUGAUAAUGAUAUUUAUAUGAGAAUCCCCGAAGGAUUCAACAUGCCUGAAGCAUACAAAUCAAAUCCUAAAGAUAUUUAUUCUAUUAAAUUACAAAGAUUUUUGUAUGGGCUUAAACAAUCUGGACGUAUGUGGUACUGCCUCAAUGAAUGUUUAACUAAAGAAGGCCAUACCAAUGAUCCAAUAUAUCCAUGUGUCUUUAUCAAGAAAAAUGGAUCAAAUUUUGUGAUAAUUGUUAUAUAUGUUGAUGAUUUAAAUCUGAUUGAAACUCUUGAAGAGAUUAGUGUUGAAUAUUUGAAGAAGAAAUUUGAGAUCAAAGAUUUUGGAAAAACAAAAUUCUGCCUUAGUUUACAAAUUAAGCAUUUGAAAAGUGAAAUUUUUGUCCACUAAACUGCUUAUACCCCGGAAGGUAUUAUAGCAGUUUUAUAUGGAUAAGGCACAUACAUUAAGUACCCCAAUGGUCAGAUCAUUAGAUCCUAAUAAGGAUCCUUUUAGACUGCGAGAGGAAGAUGAAGAGAUACUUGGUCCUAAAGUACCAUAUCCCAAUACAAUUGGUGCACUAAUAUAUCUUACUAAUUGUAGAAGACCUGAUAUAUCAUUUGCAAUAAAUUUAUUAGCAAGAUUUAGUUCCUCGCCCACAAGACGACAUUAGAAUGGUAUUAAACAUAUUUUUCGUUAUCUCCAAGGAACAAUUGAUCUUGGUUUAUUUUAUUCAAAUAAAUCUAAGCUUGAAUUGCAUGAUUAUGCUAAUGCUGGAUAUUUAUCUGACCGGUAUAAAGCAAGAUCUCAGACUGGUUAUCUAUUUAUACAUGGAGGUACAGCCAUUUCUUUGCGAUCUACAAAGCAAUCGUUAGCCGCCACUUCAUCGAAUCAUGCUGAAAUAAUAGCAAUUCAUGAGGCUAGUCGAGAAUGUGUUUGGUUAAGAUCAAUGACCCACUAUAUCCGUAAGAGUUGUGGGUUAUCCUCCGAAAAAGAAAAUCCUCCAACUAUAUUAUAUGAAGAUAAUGUAGCUUAUAUAACUUAAUUGAAAGGAGAAUAUAUUAAAGGAGAUAGAACAAAACAUAUUUCACAAAAAUUCUUUUGUACUCAUGAUUUACAAAAGAAUGGUGAAAUUUAUGUGCAACAAAUCCGAUCAGAUAAUAAUUUGACAGAUUUAUUUACCAAUGCAUUGCCAACUGUAAUAUUUGAGAAAUUGAUGAAGAAUAUUGGAAUGCGACAAUUAUAAGAUCUCAAAUGAUAUUUGCAUCAGGGGAAGAAAUCAAUACACAAAAAUAGUGUACUAUUUUUCCAUCACUAGGGUUUUCGUCCCAUUGGAUUUUUUCCUAAUAAGGUUUUAAUGAGGCAUAUUCUUUAUGUAAUGGACAUCCAAUGGGGAGUGUUAUGAAACAACUAAAAGUGUGGAUGCCCAUUUGUAUUCUCAAGAAGAUCAAUUCAUAAUUCAUUGCUCCCAAGACGAUUAAUUCAUAAUUCAUUGCUACAUUAUGUAAAGGAAUUACAUUGGAUGAACGGUUUCAAUCCAUAAGAGUUAUUCAUGUAUUGGAUGAACCAUUUCAUAUGGCUAUUUAUGUUCUUGUAGUAAUGAGUGUUUAAUAGAAUUGAUGUACGUUUAAUUUUGUAGUACCUAUAUAUAGAGGUAUCUUGGCACCUCUUUAGUGUACUUUUUGAUUAGUUGGAAUAAUAAAAAAAUCAUUCUCCAUUUCUGUACUACUUUCUCUAAUAUUUCAAUUCCAAUUAUAGCAGUUCAUUUUUUUUUUUGGGUUUACAACAUUACUCAAAGAAGAGAGUUAUUGGACUAUAUGUUUAUUGACCUCUACUAACUUAUUUAAGGUCAUUUCAUAUCACUAUCCAAAGAAAAAUUCUUGGGCGUUAACAUUUUUCUUACAUGCCAAGACUAUUAAUGAAAGUUGACCCAAAUCUCUCUCUCUCUUUCUCUCAAUUCUUAGGACUGAUGCCAAUUCUUACCAUUUAGAAAGAAAAAUUAGAUUGUUUAUAUAUAUGAUGAGUUCCCUCUAAGUCAUGGUUAAGAAAAAUUCUUAGUUUUAUGAAAUGUGAAUUUCCUUUUCGUUGUCUUUAUUCAUUAGUAUUAUUGGGGUUAUUGUAUUAUGAUUGCAAUGCACAGAUACAUGGAUUUUUGACAUUUUUUUUCUCAUUUUUUCUUUUUAAUCGACUCUGACUAUGUCUCAAACUCGAGACAUCAAACCUGGACACGACUUUUGUCCAAAAUGCUUGUAAAAAAUCAGAAGAAUAAUUUUGGACCUUAUUAUUUAAUAAUGGUACGAUUAUGAGAGUCAUUCCAGGUUAAUUAUCAAACUUGUAACUUGAAAAUAAUGUCGACAUCAUGUCAUUAUUAUUUUCUAGUUUCAUAGAAAAAUGAAGUAUUCUCCAACUCGACAUUAUCAUAUUAUUCUCAAUUGGCAGCUCAUGUGAGAAAGACAAGAAAUUCACAAUCAACUGGCCAAGAGAGUGCCAACAAAGAAAGCACUAAAUGGCUUAAACAAAGCAUGCAAAUUUGCUUAGCACUUAAACAAUAGACACCUAAAUCAACCAUGUCACUGUCUUGCCAAAAAAGGGCAUUAAAGUAAAAACAACUCAUGCCUAACACAGGUAACAAACUUCAGCACCUUCACUUCACCGCCACGUCAUCAACAACAUUUGCAAAUUUCCAAGGAAGUCCACGCACUAAAGGUGCCCAUGCCCUUAGGGGACCUCAGGUUAGUGUUCUUAACAUCAACUCCUGUCUUUAUAUUCUUAGGAAAUAUUGAAAUUAAACAUUAUCACUAAUCCUGAUUUCCUUAUGCUAUAUUUGUACACAAUUUGGCAACAAGGUUGUCCUUUUUUGGGCCAAAUUGGACAAGUAAAAAAAAGAAAAUUAAAAGGUUUAUCUGCAAACUGUAGUUCGGCCUGCCUCUUUUUUUUUUUUUUUUGGGGAUAAGAUCGUCAUGUAUCAAUAUUUCUGUACUUAGCAUUGGCUUCUUCUCGCCUGAAGAACACACGAACCACCGGAUGAAAGUGGUGAAUGAAAGUGCACUUAACCCUUUUAAUUUUUCAAAACAAUGCUUUUAGAAAAAAUAAUAAAGACUUUUUUGAAUUUAAUUUUAGAGAAGAAGAAUUUUAAACUUUUUUGAAUUUAAUCUUACAGAAGAAGAAGUUUAAAAUGUACUUUAAUUUUCACAACUGAUGAUGAGAAUAGCAAAAUGUAUACGGACGGUGACAAAAGUGCCGUCUUAUCCUUUUGCUGACGGCCCGUUUUCCAAUGAGAGGAUGCCUCUGCUUCGUAUUUUAUCCAUAUUGAUAUAUAUUCUUUUCUGUCCCCCUAACUAUUAAAUGUGAAAGGUUGCCCACCAAAUUUGACGAAACCGUUUAUCCUAAUUGAUUAUUAUCCAUAGGGCAUAACUUUAAUAUUCUUCUUCCAACCCGUCCGUCAAUGACCACUAACCACCUCUAAUCUAUUCUCAAAUUUUAAUGAAAUUGCGCAAUUAGUUUUCAUUUCUCACUUUUAUUUCAAAUUUGGUCUCAAUUUAAUGUGAAUCCCAAUAAAUAAGACCGGAGUUGAAAUCAAAGAACGUAUUUCAAUCACCAUCGGAUAAAUUCUUCAUGUCUAGUUUUGUCCUUGAGAUGCAUAGAAAAUGUAAGCUGAUCUUGCAGUCUACGAGAAAAACGAAGUCUAAGAGAAUAAUUUUGUCAAAACUUGACAAUGGAAUGAACCGGUGGUCGCUGGUUGGCAGCUGCUAGAAGUCAUAGCAGUUUUAAAACAUAAUUGCAGCAAGUAAAAGAUUAAAACUACGUUGUGUACUGUUAACGACUUACAUUGACAAAAUGGUUAAGGACAGAGUUGAAAGAUGAAUCAAACUGUUCGACAUUCGAUUCGAAUUUGACUUGGUAAAAACUUAUUCCAAUUUGAUUUGUCAGCUAGUCAAAUCUAAUUUAAAUAGUAUUUAACUUUGAAACUUGAUAAAAAGUUUGUUCAAACUCAGUUUACUAAAUAAACAAGUCAAAUUUGAACAAAAUUUCAAACUCAUUAAAAUAAUUAAAUACGUUUGAAUACUAGGAUAUUCGAUUUAAUUAAAUGCGAUUGCACCCCUAAUUAAAGCAUGUACUUUUUUUAUAAAUUUAGGAAUCAACAUUAUACAUUUAAUAGCUAGCUAGAGGGUCAAAAAGUUAAUUGCCUUAAAAUUCUUUUAGCAGCCAUAAAGUAUAGUUGGAGGGAUUCCCUUGAAAUUGAUUAGAUUCUUCUAUGUGACUAAAGAAUUUCGGGUGUGACGUAUUACUAGUCCUACCCUAAAAAAAAUGGUAUUACUAGUCCUUUUUUUCUUUUUUAGCGUGCCCCCGCCGUGGAGUGUGGGGAGGGUGGUCUGUGCGAGAAUUCUAGAUGGGGUACAAGGUGCCAAAGUUCACCUUAUUCAAAGUAAACAACCUUCCAUCUCAGAUGUUGAAUUUCCUGGCAAUUGCGUAUAUAUUACAAUCUUUUACCAUGACUUUAGAGGACAGCUAAAUUUGCUUGCUAUUAAAUAAUAUUUUCGGUAGUCUAUAAAUACUCUUGGUCCUAACUGCUUCUUGCACCACAUAAUUCUUUCAAGAACUACCAAAACCUUCUUGAAAUCCCUCUUUUUCCUUUUAGUUCAUUUCCAAGAAACAAAUUGAACCAUCAUGGCCCCUGUCACUUCCAGUUAUGAGGUCACCUGCUCAAUCCCUCCUGCAAGGUUGUUCAAGGCCACCAUCCUUGAAGAGAAGCAUCUUCACAAGAUCUUGCCACAGGGCGUUAAGAGUGUCGAAAUCCUUGAAGGAGAUGGUGGAGUUGGCACAAUUAAGUUGACCACAUUUGUUGAAGGUAAGAUAUCAAUACAAAGUGAUUAUGUUCACAAAUUUGAAGUCUUCAAAUUGCUCACUUUUUUUUUCUUUUAUUUGGGAAAAGCUAAUGACUUUUUUUUUUUUUUUUGGUUGGGUUAAAUAUUUAGGUGGCGAGCUUAAGACUGCCAAACAGAAAGUUGAUGGAAUUGACAAAGAAAAAUUUACAUACAGUUAUACUGUACUUGAAGCUGAUGGAUUUAACGAUGUAAUCGAGAAAAUCUGUUGUGUCAUCAAAUUUGAACCCUCUGCUGAUGGAGGUUCAAUCUGCAAAACCACUAAUACAUACUACCCCAAAGGUGGUGCUCAGAUCAGUGAGGAACACGUCAAGGGAGGAAAAGAGAAGGGUUUGGGAAUGGUUAAGGCUGUUGAGGCUUACCUCCACGCAAAUCCUACUGCCUACAACUAAUUAUAAUGAAUGCUACUGAAGGACUCUUCGACAUAUUUUCUUCAAGAUUGAAGUAUAAACUGAGGGUGUCUGUUUCCUUUUUUGCUUGGUUUGCUUUAAGCUGUUUGGUUGAGUUAUUUGCAGCUAUGAUCAUAAUAUUUGAUCGAAGUGUGCUUUUCUUGCAAC
RNAcentral lists this long non-coding RNA (104111 nucleotides) under Coffea arabica (coffee). RNAcentral describes it as "long non-coding RNA (CARA_LNC002175)". Lineage: Eukaryota; Viridiplantae; Streptophyta; Magnoliopsida; Gentianales; Rubiaceae. The record is from RNAcentral.